CACGACAUCGAAUCUCUGGUACCAAUGAAGAGAAUGUAAGUCCACUAAAGUCAGGAGAAAUGUGAUGAUUCAACUCUAUAGUUGCUCUAAACUGUGAUACACCUGCUGUUUGUCUGCGUGAGUGUGCAGAGAGCAGUGCUUUUUUAUUGCUGGGUUUGCAGCAUCAGUGUCAAUAUUGGUGAACAGAGUGUGGUACAUAAGAAGUGGUGACUGCUGAAGGAAAAGUAAAGUAGGGGAGAGUGGGGUAAGUUGAGCCACCUCCUGUUGCUUGGAAAUGGUAAAAGAAAUUGAUCAUGUGACCAAAUAUUUAGGAGAUGGGCAUCAAUUCAAGUUAGAAGCUCAUGGGUGAGAGGGUUAGACAUUUAUUUACAAAAUAAACCAUUUUUUUCACUCUUGAAAGUGAAUUUAGUCUGUUGUAAGUUUUAUUAGAAUUGUGUUCAGACCAAAAAAGAUCAUUUUAAAUUUAACAUUAAAUUAACAUGGCUUAUACAGUGGCCUUUUUGUGUUUUCUCUAAGUUUAGAGGUAUAACACAAGGAGAGAGUUCAAAUGUUCUCGUCUAUUUAAGUAUAGAGACUGUAGUCUGCUGUGUAAAAAGUAACACCCAUGCUGCAGUUGCACCUGGCUCUAUAAGAGGAUGAAAGAUGGAGUUGGUUGGAUUAAUGUUGCGAUCAAAACAUACCUUUGAUCAGUCGAGGAGACCUAACCUCUCUGCAUCCUGUGCAGAGAGUUUUCCUUAUAAUGAGGAGCUGUAUGAGGAUUGAGGAGUGGGAUUAUGGUUGCACUUUUGACUUUACAGCAGUUUCUUUUAUUUAUUUUUUUUACUUCAUCCAAAACGCUGCUUGAUUAAAACAUUAUGCUUUGAAGUUUAAAUAACACAGCAAGGUGUCAUAAACAGAAGCUUAUAAAACCUAAUGUUGAAAGCCUCUAAAUCCUUCUUUGUGCUUGAUACUGGUAGGGUGCAAAAAAAGCAAAUAAGUCAUACUAAUACAAAAGUUUGCAAAAGCCAGAUAAAAGAGAACUGCAAAGAAAGAUUAGUGGUGAAGUCUUUGCAUGGGGUGAUUUGUGCCUUAAAGGUAAAGUCUACUAUCUCCCCAUAAGUAAAACUAUCAGUUAUACGCAGAUAAACAAAUCUGUUAUAUACUGUUGCUCAGAGAAAAACAAACAGUGUGCCUCUCUCUUUGUUGCGACAAACACACUGUAUGUCUACAUACUCACUUUGCUUCUGGCACUGCUCCACUGCUGUUCUGUUGUUUUGAAAGAGGAGUGUAUCCUUCCUAUUGUAUUUGGUAUGAUAAAUCCUCUCUGGAGUCUGAGCUGUGGUGUUUAUGGAUAUGUAGUUGGUUUUUGUUUCUUGCAAAAUGAUCUCCUCUCUAGGCAUUGGCGAGUGACGGGCACGCUGCCUUGAGUCGACAACAUGGUCACAACCUCAGACACACAUCACGGCACUUUUCGCAGUAAAUGGAGGAAAGAUUCAGCCCUGAGACUCUUUGUAUUAGAAAGCAUUUUAAAGGUCCACAAGAAAGUGUUGAAUCCCCUCUGGGCAGUCGGUGCAAAUAUGAAAGGAAGUCAGUCAUACUUAGAUUUUUUUUUAUCAUUAAAGACAAGCAAUGAGGAUUUACUAGGAGAUGUAAUCCCACUUAACAAGCACAGCUAUUAUCAUUAAUCUGUUGUCCAAUACAUACAGCAUAAGCAGGAUGCUGCUGUUCAGCUACAUAUAAAAAAUGGUCCUUAUUAACAACAACCAUGGCUCAUCCUAUCAACUGCUUUUGGUAGUUUGUCGAAACAGUUCCCUCACUUUUAAGAAACUGCGUAUAUAUCAGUGGUUUCACUUUUAACCUGACUGGCAUUCAAAAUGUCCUUGCGAGGGCUUUAACAGCGAUACCUUCACCUGUGGCUCUGUAUCUAAAAUGCCUGGAAAGGAGGUAUUUAUUAAGAGUUUAUCUCCAUGCCACGUUUAGUGUUUCCAAAAGUACAGACCUCAUGAAUAAUUGGUGGCUGAAUCAUUUUAAAGCAAACAGCAGUAGAUGGUGGGCGUCCACUCUGCUCAUUAGCAGGACUGACAGUCGGAAGAGAUGACCCUUGACUGCUUUCCUUUAAAAAAAAGUAGCGCCAGACAGAAAAAAAGCUUGAGGUCCUCAUUACCGACUGCGUUGUUUUUGAAAGCAUCUUCUUUUUUUUUUCUCUCUAUCUGGUUGUUUUUCGCAGCCAAGAGUUAUUUUUUUUUACUGUUGGUGUAAAAAGGGGCAAAGCAGAAAAGAACAAAGACUGAGCAGAGUCUGAUCUGAAGGCAAACGGGUCUCAAGAUGAGUUGUUGGAGAUAUGAUCAAGCAGGAGAUACUCGACGUAGACGUGUGUGUUGUUUUUCGAUCGAGGGAGAGGGAUAAAGGGAGCAAGAGAGCAGAUUAGGAAAGAGAAAAGAGGAUGAAAGGCUAUUGUUUAAAGAGACGGAGAGGACAGGGAAAAAGAGAAAUAUGAGGAAAUGAAGUUUGUCAGAUGUGUUACCACUUUUUAUGCCUCUUUUCUUUUCUUCCAGCAGAUUGACCUGUUGCUAUGGGAACAACAGAGACCAUAUGUGGAAGAAAAAAUAAAUUUCACCCUGUGAUUAGUCGUGAAAGCUAAAGGCCCAGCCAGCUCUUUUAUGGGCUUUCCAGACAAGCUCUUAUGAUGUAAAAAUUAGAUUUGAAGCCUAAUUUGAGUCCAGCAUCACACCCGAUCUUCAUUUUUCUCUUUAAAUCUGAGUGAGUGUCUGCACCUCUUUACACAUGCAGACUGUGCUCACAGUUUUCUGCUGCCUUUUUACAUGGAGAGUAAAACCACCAAACAAGCAGACGGCUGGUUGUUCAUUUAACUUGCUGUGCAGUCAAAUAUUGUUUGGGCAGACGACAUCUUACAUUUUGUCUACAAGGAGAAUACACAACACCUAAAAUAAUGUUUUCAGUAUUUUCAUGUGGCAGGAUCAUGCUUCAUGAGAAAAAUAUGUUUUGGAUUUUAUAUUGUAACUCUGUAUUUCUUAAAUCAGCAGCUUCUACAUGGUCAAAUUAAAGCCCCUCUGAAUUACACAUCACCUCAUUCAGACUCAGUCCAAAACUGAACUGUUUUUAGUUUUACUUCAUAGCCAUUAACAGCCGAGUUUAUAUAUGUGGUGGUAGGACUCUUGUAAGUGAGGUAGCCUUCGUUUACAUGAAUCACAUGCAGGCAGUAGGCAAAGAUCGUAAGUCAGGUUACAGUAGGGCUGGGCGAUAAAUAAAAAAUUUACGGAUACCGAAAUUUAGGUCAAUAACUGAUGUCAUUUUACUCAUGUUAAUAUUAGGGCCCGACCGAUAUGGAGUUUUUGUGCCCUAUGCCGAUAAUGAUCAUUAAUCGGAAAUCUGAUUUCUGAUUAAUUGGCCGAUUUGUAAAAAUUUUUUAUUAAGUUAUAAAAAUUUAUAUAUAUAUAUAUCUAUAUAUCUACCGUCUAUUAAAACUGUAGAUAUACUCUAGGCUACUGCUCUUCAUGCCCCCCCCCCGGUCGCUGUGCCAUCUAUAAGAUAAGUUGGGGAGCGAGUUUUGGCCGAUCAGUCUCAAACGGACUAAUGGGCUCGCCGAUAAAUCUGUCAGGCCCUAGUUAAUAUAUUCGGUGUCAAAAAAAAUAGAUAAAUAAAAGUUCGUUUUGGAUGUGUGUCGGUAGGCUAUGGUCUCAUGUCCCUUUUAAGACGCUGUCCUAUGUCAGAGACGUGACAGAGACGUCCACCCCAUCCAGUCCGUAACAAAGAGGGAAAGACAGGUGAGGAGAUGGAGGACAGUUCAAAAGUUGUUGCGGCUGGUGCAACAGCUGAGUUAGAUAAAGUUAAUGUGGGAGGGUGUGAGCAGCUUGUGGAGUAGUUAAUGUCCAUUUAUCGUUAUCGAGGUGAACUGCUCAAUAUAUCGUGAUAUUAAUUUGAGGCCAUAUCACCCAGCCCUAGGUUACAGGUACUGAGUAAAGAUAAACAUUAGAGUUUAGUUUGGCUGACUUGACCAAAAGUGAAAGUUGAGAUUUUCCCUUGAAUUACUCCCUUCAUUAAAAGUUUUCUGCAACUGCCACAAUUACUCACUUUUUGCUAUUAACUAAUAUAAGCAAACUCUUUCUCUAAACCACAGAUGUAAUAUUGUUACAGCUACAGAAAUCUAACUAGACUGUUAAUAAUUGAUUAUUUUGCCUCAUUAUGAGUUUGCCAAAUGUAAUUAUCUUGAUAAAGUUGAGUACUGGACAGCAAACAAAAACGACCCAAAGUUGACUGAAAUGAUUUUAUAACUUGAACUCUGUGAGAAGUAAAAAAAAAAAAAAACAACAACUUGACUUUUUUGAGGCUAAAGUUGAAUUCCCUUGCUCAGUGAAUGUCAAAAGCAAUCGAUGAGGUGAUAACAGCUCAAGUCUCCAGAUGUCAGGGUCGUUUAUUGGUUUGGGAUUUUAAGCAGAAUCUUCUUGGUCAUGAGCUUCAGCCGGAGUCUGAAGUAGAGUCCACCUGCUCGGCCUUCGCUACACUUGCCCUGUUUGAUCUCGCAGAGCUCUCGGUCUGAGUUUCACGGUUCGAUAACGCUCGAAACUCACCCGGGACCUGUUGCUAUGUCUUCAUACUUAUCAGCAGUCCUGGUCCAGCUGUGGGAGUCCGGACUGUGGAGCCCGCUCUGACCUUUCUGAAGCAGAGUGUUACUGAGGCAGGCUGGGUUGCAUGCAGCACGGAGAGGUCUCAGAGGGGAAAACAGUAACUUAGCAUGGAACAGUGUGUGCCCACAUCAGCAUGCUGAAUGUGUAAAGAAUGAAUGUACCCACAACAAGUCCUCUGUGACUCUCUUACUGCUUCCCUCCUUAUUUUUGUGCAACCUGACCCAAAUCCUUAUCCUCUCUGAGUCUGUUUAGCACACAAAAAAAGCCGUCUCUCUCUCGCUAACAAUGUUUCAUAUGGAAAUGAACAUAAUAAAGUCCUCUGUGUACAAAGUCAGUGGGAGGGAGUGGGUUGUUGAGAGCAGAAGGAAGACCUCUUUAUAAUAGUGAGAUGCUGGUGACACAGCAGAAAUGCUGCACUUACUCCCAGUAUUCAAUUUGAUAAUUGCUUUGACUGCAAAUAUAACAUUAUCAGUAUGCUACACAACACCUAAUUAUUGUCCAUUUCUUCUUGUUAUUGUAAACAUUUACAAGAGGGGGCAUUACAGUGAGGGUAUUGGGUCAGAAAUAUAUAUUAUAAAGUCAAAUAAGCGGGUUAGGACCAAGAACGUCUUGUUGGUGUCGUUAUAAAGUAUAGAGUAGUUGUAUUUGGAUUUGAAAAUGUCAUAUACAUUAGAGCAUGUCUGAUUGAAGAGGUACUCUGAUAUAUUCCACCUUAUUAAAGAGACAUACUGUAAUUUCAGCUACAAUUCACUGCAGACGCUUCAUGAUUAUGUCUGACUACUGAGGUUUGACAGGCUUCAUGAUAAGGCCUAAUGUGUGUUUUAGUAACUUGUCUCUGAGUCAUCUUAUUAUGCAUAUAUCUAUAUAUUUAUUUAAAUAUAUAACUGUGCUUUGACAGUGCUCGUAGUAUGCUAAAAUGCUGAGCCAUCAGAAGCUAAUGGUGUGUGUCGGAUGUAAGAGACAACAUGAUGGAGGAAAUGCACACACUAGGCGAAGUGAAACAGUGGAUUCAGUGAUGAGAGUUUUAAAUCUGCUUCAACAAUCACUUGAUGAACCCUUUUCAUUUGUUCAUCAUUUGUUUAUCUUAAGGAAUAUAUCUGUACAUAUUUCAGACAUUCAUUAAAGCCACUAUAAGGAGAUUUGUGACAUUUACGACUCAGACAGUCAUUUUUGACACCUGACACCAGUGCAAGGGGGUACGUGUCAGUUGAGAAGUGCUUAAUGCUGCAUUCCAGUUGUAUUCCGAAGUCGGAAUUUCUGAGCUCAGAGUUUGAAAUUCAUCUGGAACGCCCCCUUUAAGUCGGAUUUUGUACUCGGAAAGUUGGACGAUCCUCACCAACCCCGACUUGACGACAACGUCAUAAUCCAAGAUGGCAGCGCAGUGCAUCAACAAUAAAGAGAAACAGCAAAACAUCUCGUAAUGUAUUAUUUAUUAGCACUUCUGUUUUGUAUUUGUGAAAUUGAAUAAGUGUUUUAUGUUGUACUGCCCAACUUCUAACUGUGAACAAUGAUGCUAUGGUGUUUGUAGGAAUAAAAUACUGUGUUAUGUGUUGUUUACAACUAUUAUAGCUAACAACAACUGACAACGGCCAACGACAGCUGACAAUUGUAAAUAACAGCUAACUGUAGGCGUCCAUCUUGGUUUUCCGACUUGUGAACUGAAAUGCCGUCAACUCGGGUGUAGCGUCAUUCCCAGCCCCAACUUUGACUUCUGAGGUAACUGGAACGCAGCAUAAGUUCUCGACUUAAUGUCUGAGUUCUUGUAGAUCUCACUGUACUUUUAUUUAAAAAAACAAAAAUAUUUAACUUCAAGUAGAUUUUUUUCUCAACAUGUUUACUUUGUUUUCUUAUUUUGGAUUUUUAGUCACUCUUACUCUUAGAGUAUUUUUCCAUCAAUUUUAUCUUUUUGACCUUAAAACUUACAGAACCCCGACUCAGCACACCGGAAUACAUUGAUUUUAUGUGUAGAGGCUGAUGUUUGAGUCUCUCACAGCAAACCCACAGCACCAAUAAUUGCCCUGCGCUGUGCUGUAAAGUUCUCCUCAGGGACAAAAUAAAAAUGCUUAAAGCUGAUGAACGCAUCAGAGCCAAAUAACAGCACAGCUCUUCCCAUGUUGAGUCUAGUGCGGCGCAGAUUAAGACGGAGGAUGUCCGUGUUCCCUGAGCACGGUGUGCUUGGACACCUGUGUACCAUUUCCAUAUAGAUUGCCUGUCCAUCAUUUCCAUUUUGAUGUUGAGGGAGAAGCAGGACUGAUAGAACAGACUGGGGAAGACGCCAGGGGAGACGAUGUCUGCAUGUAACAGAGACAGAGAGAGAGAGGGAGAAAAGAGGGUGAGCGCGUAUAUUCUGUAAUAGCUAUAUCUGAUAUCCCUGUAGGAAAGCCACAGUUGCAUAUUUCAUGCUAUGUGUCAGAUUUUCUACCUUGGCCCUCAGUGGUAAAGAAAAAAAAUCGAAUGUGUUCGUGUGCACAAAUCCCAGAGCAGGAAAAAAACCCUCGAAGGACAAGUGCAGGGGCUGCUCAGGUGUCACUGAGGUCAGGAGUUUCACAUCUGUUGAUGCUAACCUUCAAUUGAAGAUUCAGCUGAAGUUUUUUAUUUUAUUUUAUUCUUUUUCUGUCCACCAUUGAGAUUAUAGAAAUUUAAAAGAACUCUUAACUUUUGAUCGAAACAGCCGACACCCAUCGAUGAUUAAUGUAGAGACUAUGUUGAUGUGUUGGAUGGUGAGUCGAUGUUCAAUUGUGGUGAUAUCUACCUGUGAAUUGUUGAAGAUCUUAUUUUUUUUUCUCAUGUUAAUUAAUACGUCUGCGCUGCAUGUUGUUGUGCAGACAUUUUUAGAAUGCAGCACAGCUCGGUGUGGCGAAGGUUGAGCAUGUUGGUUCACGUGUGUCAUUCAUGAGAGGGCACCUUGUCCCUUGAACCAAGAGUCUCAUUAAGAAUCCUGCACUGACCCUCCAUCACCCCAAUUAUGGCAUACAUUAAUCCCACCAGGCUUCCUGAUGAAAAUCAAACCCUUAUGCACACCUACAUACAUACAUACACACAAACACACACAUGCACACAGCCUCACUAGAGCUUCCCUGCAUUGACGUCCCUCUGAUUGUUUUGUUUGUGUGGAAAACCAAUCAGGGCAGAGUUUCUUUGCCGCUUCUGUCUUGUACUCUCACUUAGAGUAAAUGGACAUUGUUAAUGAAGAGGACUGUGACUGUCACGUGUUCCCAUGUGAAAUAAAGUACAAACACUGAUUUGCACAAUGAACCUUUAGUGGGUGUCACUUGUGUAAAGUUUCUUAUAUUUCUGACAGCAUUAAUGAGUUCACGCUUGUAAACAGGAGUUGGGGGGAUGGAGUCUGUUGAGCUGAAUAUACUUAUAAUGAACUCUGGAUAUACAGGCAGAGUGCUGGAGAUGAUCAUAGCUGAUAUUCAGUACAACAACCCGCCCUGAAGUACGAUUGUACUGUCAUGAGGACAAUACAGCAAUCAAGAGCAACACAACCAAGCAACAUAAGGGUGUCUCGAUACAACUCUUUUUACUUCCUAUACAAUACCGAUAUUGUAGCCUUCAAUAUCAGCUGAUACCGAUAUUGAUCUGAUAUUGGCACAAACUUGUGCAUGACAAGUUGACAAACAUCUUUUUUGGACUUAAGUGAAAAAUACUGCCACAGGGCUGACAUCACUCCUACUCCUUUCUACUUUGUUAGUACUUUGAUACACACUGUUGUUGUGAUCAUGAGGGCUCUACAUGCUGGAUCUGGGCGCUGCUAGCUAGCUAGAGGUGCCGGAGUGGAGUCUGAAAUGGACUGCUUGUAUCAGAGUGCAUAUAUAGGAGAUUUUAGAUGCAGGCCGAUAUAAUCUGCUGUCUGUUUUUUGGCUGAUAUUGGAUCGAUAUCUGUUAUCAGUAUGAUAUCGGGACAGCCCUAACAUGGUACAGUGCUUUUGUUGGUUUUGUGCAGAGUUGUAUGUCAAAGAUGAACAAGUCUUUGAGUCAGCGUGUUUACAUGCUCAGCUUAUCCGGACUAAGCUCAUAAUUUGGUUGAACUUCUCUCCUUGUCCGCGUAUACUUGCUGAGAAAAUCGAAUUUUUGACGUGAACAUGUCCUCCUUCCCAAAACAAGGGGGCGAUAUACAACUGUCAACAACAACAGCAGGUUCGUGCCAUACGUCAGAAGUGGCUACGACUGCUGCUGGGCAUUUUCGAGCAAAAAGAUGGAGCAUCGUACAGAGUUUUUUUUUUUGUUGUACAUGAUAUAUGCGCUACUUUUUCUGCAGAUGAGAUGCACACUACUCCUCUUCUCUGGUGUUUUUGUUCCGGAGUUACAGGGGCGUGGCGCACGUGCACAUGCUUUGUCCAAUCAUACUCCGACUACGCCGGUUACAUGGUAGAGAAAAUUCCAAUCGCAUUAUCUGGGUGUCUUAAUUAGAGUUCUUCGACUCCAAUUGUAGUCGGACUAAGGUGUUUACAUGCACUUCAGUUGUCCAGUCUUAAUCGGAAUAAGGCAAUAAUUCAAUUUUCUCAAGUGUCAUGUAAACAUACUGAGUGUCUGUGUAUUCUACCAUGUUUGGGUCCCUUGUUACCGUAAAGGUCCAUCUAUAAGCUGAAAGUAGUUUUUCAGUACAUUACAGUCGUUCAUACUAGACCUUCACAGUAAAACAACCUUAAACACAAAGAUGCUCCGUCCUUGCCUCCGUUUAGUUUUGAUCUCUUUCUGCAAACUCGUCCUGCUUUUAAUCUUUCUUUCCUGCCACUCAAAGUCUGACUGAUAGUAUAGUAGUGUGCAGUGACAAGCCAGAGUGAACAUGAUGUGCCCAAGGUUAAAAAAGUCAUCUGGGCGUCUUCUUCCCCUGCACUUUUAGCCCAUAAAAGCCCAUCUGUCUCCUCCUCUCUGAUUCACAUCUCCCUCUCUGCAGCCAACAGGAAGACAGAUAUUCGGUCCAAAAAAUGAGGAGUGAGAGACUUUCACUUUGGAGGGUUUCAUCAGAGUGCACACCGUGGAUGUGCCAGCUGCCAAAUACUCCAGCGUAAAUGGAUAAAAUUCUUAUCUUGGAGGAUGGAUAAUUGUUAACACUCCCCCUUCUCUCUCCCUUUUUCUCUCUCUCUCUCUUGCUUUCUCUCUCUAGGGGUCAGUCCUGAGCUUUUCUGUUGGAGAUAAUUGGCCUUUCUCUGUCAGAUGCAUAAGCAUGCACAGAGGAGAAUCAGGACUUGUUGGUGCAAACACAAAUAUGCACUGAUUAUUCGUUUAAUAACAGAUACUUCUUCAGGAAACAUAGGUCUUUAUUGGUAAAAACAGUGUUUGGAUUUAUAAAGUCAUAAGUUGCGGAAUAAAGAUUUGAUAUUUGGAGUUUUCCCAGUCUCUCCUUCAUUCAAAGAAAAUAAACUUCACUGAUAUACUAACCAUUUGAAUGUCCUUACAAUAGUCGUCCUCACACACUGUGGUGUUAUUCUACUGUAUUUACUCAGGAGCACACAUUGUACAUAUCACAGGUGACAGAAAUGUCCUCUUUAUGCUGCGAUACACAACUUGCGACUGAGUCUCCUGGGACUUACGACUGAGCCGGAUCAUAAAUUGAAAAAGUCAUGUAAAGGUCAGGUCUUGCAUGCUGCAGAGAACACAGCGAAGAAACAUCGACCAAGAGCCUCGUAAAAGUAUCUGAAAAUGUAAGAAUGAUCUGCAGAGCCAUCGUGAGUGAAUGUAAAGCGCUGAUGUUUGGCAGGUUUUUGCUCGCGCAGUCCUGCUUUACUUGCGUUUCAACUCUCUGACUGUUAAACGAGUCCCUUAAUUUGUCUUCUUUCUUGUUGGAGAAUAAGUGGCUGAAAAGGUCACCUGUCAGAGCGCGAACAAAUGACUCAAUUUAUAGAAAAAUCCUGCACUGUGAAAAGAGGAAUUCACUCUAUCUUGGACUUUUUUUUCUUACUGUACCACUUUAAUCCUUUAACAGGUAAAUGAAAGACUUAAAUGCUGGAAAAAAAUCAUAUUAUUAGUCUUUAUUCAUCAGUUAAUAAGAGUUUUUGGAUUGCUAAGCUGAACAUGCACUUAAAGGCUCCUGUGAGGAGUUUUUCGAUGUUUUCAAAAUAGACAGAAAUUCAUAUCAUCACAGGGGACAGUGCUCUCCCCCUUCCUCUUCACCCUGUACACCUCAGACUUCAGCUACAACUCUGGGAGCUGUCACCUCCAGAAGUUCUCUGAUGACACAGCCAUCGUCGGAUGUGUAUCGUCAGGGGACGAGCGGGAAUACAGGACUGUCAUCACUGACUUUGUCAACUGGUGUGGCACAAACCACCUCCAGCUCAACGCCAGUAAGACAAAGGAGAUGGUUGUGGAUUUCCGCAGGAGGGGGACACCUCAAACAGUUCCAGUGAACAUACAGGGUCUGGACAUCGAGAUGGUGGAGUCCUACAGAUUCCUGGGUGUCCACCUCAACAACAAACUGGACUGGUCAACAAACACAGACGUUCUGUACAAGAAGGGCCAAAGUCGUCUCCACCUGCUGAGGAGACUGAGGUCCUUUGGAGUGUGCAGGACUCUGCUCAGGACUUUCUAUGACUCUGUGGUAGCAUCUGCACUUUUCUAUGCAGUGGUCUGCUGGGGGGCAGGGAGCACCGAGAGGGACAGGAAGAGACUGAAUAGACUGGUCAGGAGGGCCGGUUCUGUCCUGGACUGCUCUUUGAACUCCCUGGAGGAGGUGGGUGAGAGGAGGAUGUUAACAAAGCUUAUAUCCAUCAUGGACAAUCCCGCUCACCCACUGCACCAGACUGUGGGGGCUUUAGGCAGCUCCUUCAGCAGCAGACUGAGACUCCCACCCUGCAGGACGGAGCGCUACCGCAGAUCAUUCCUCCCCUCUGCAAUAAGACUUUACAAUGAACAGUAACAAAACUGGAUUUACACCACCACUUUUUUUAUGGCAUUUAAAUUGUGUAUAUUGCAGAAAGCUUUAGUUUUUCUUCUCCCUUUUCUCUUUUCAAUUUUUUUUUUUUUCUUAAUUAUUACAUUUAUUAAGUUCUUAAUAUUAGGACCCUUAUUGUUAUAACUGCAUUUUGCACUUUCUGUCUUGUCUGUGAUGCUGCUGUGACAAAAAAUUUUCCCCCAUGGGGGAUCAAUAAAGGAAUAUUCUAUUCUAUUCUAUUCUAUUCUAUAUUGAUGGCAUUUUAUUAUAUUAAAGAAAAUAAGACCAUCAGAAACAAGAUUGAUGAUUUGUCUAAAUCACUUUCUUUCUCUCUUCACCCUCCGCUCAACUUCCUUUGAGUUUUGCCUUGUACACUGGGAUCAUGUUGUGAUCAGAAUUUAGAUGCUCUGGCCUUCUGAACCUCCGUUGCGCGGUCUCUAGGUGGCGCUGAUUCUGCAUUUCUUUCUCCUUCAAGUUCUGAGAAGCUCCUGAGGGAUGUUAUCCAUCAUCUAAUGGUAAUCACGGCUUGAUAUCAUCUUUUGAGUUGGUGCCGGCGUGACCCCCCACCACAGCUGUUGGUGUUUCCCACAGAGGAGAAUUGUUCAAGAAAACCAACAUCCAUAGAAUCAAAAUUGUCAGGGUAGUCAUUCUCCUAAAUACACUAAACAUUAAGACAGGGCGGGUGAGUCGACUUUAGAAAUUACCCAAGGUUUAACAAAGAUCGGCCCAAACAUAAAUGUUAACGUGAGCGUAAACUCUAUUGUACACAUUCGCAGUCCUUAGCCUUUAUUGUUAGAAAGCCUCUUCCUACAUAUAUGUAUUUCUGCUCACAGAAUUGUAUAAAUGUACAGCAAUCCCCCUUCGUUACAGCCUAUUGUGCGACAGGAAGCCAGAGGACCGCCUCCGCAGGCACUGACAUAUUGAGCCGGCGCAGCCAACGCUGAUUGCAUUGACUGGUGUCACACCUACGACACUGACAAAAACACCAUGAAAGCCUUUAUUAAAACAUCAGAAAUCCUCCAGGUAGGUCCAGUCAACAGUUGGCUUGAUUGAUGCUUGUGUUUUGAUGCAGACAAUUAUGGCUUCGAAAAGUUCCAGGACAGUCGUGUUACUGUUUGUUUUUCUCCUGCCAUUUCUCCUCUACUAAAGAUUGCUGUAGGUGCUGCAUUUGUCAGUAGAGCUGUCAUCAUUAUGGUGACCAUAUGUCCUCUUUUACCUGGACAUGUCCUCUUAUUUUGGGUGCUGUCCAGCCUUGUCCAGCUUCGUCUGGGGAAGUUUAUAACACCCUUCAUAUGUCCGCGGUUUUGUAUGGAAGUUUUGAGUUUGGCCACAUGGACUUACUGAGUUAGGAGCGCGUAAAAGACACUUGAUCCGACCCAGAUUCAGAAUAUGGUCACCCUAGUCAUCAUGAUGUCACAUCCCCUUAUUUGGAAAUUGAACAGCUUAAUAAAUCUAAACUUCUUAUAACAAAAUAAGAAUGUGGACAUAAAUCUGCAUAUUCAAAACGACCUGUAAUGACUGAAAGCAUGUUAGGGAAUAUGUUGUUAUUAUGUAUGCAGUUGAGUUUAUGACCUAUACCACAGCCAGCCAGUAGGGGGGGGCCGACACCAUCUGGUUAUUGACAGCCUGCACCUACAAAUAGAAAUGGUCAAUUAUUAAUACAUCAGACAACAUGAGAGCAUCGAAAUUAAAGACAAAAGUUACAAUUAUUCAGUUUGUACGCCUCUAUGAAAAGUUCAUAUGCUAAACAGAUGGAUCUGUUCAAUGGGGAUUUUGACCAUCUAACAAAACAAACACUCUGUCACUGGAUUUACCCAUUUUGCCAAUUUUAGUAUUUAUUCAGGGCUCGAACGAGAAAACACAAACAGAUUUUCACAAACCGGGGUAUUAGAAACCAUUCCCCUCUGUCAUUCCCACUCUCACUAAUGACAAACACAAGUACAAGGUAACAAAGCUUGCAUAAUUUCAGAGUUUUUGCACACAAACCCAUUGUCUCACCUGUUGUUGUCUUGGCACAUCACACAGCCCCUCAUGUAUGUCGUGAAAUUUUCCCUCCACUGAAGCGAUGAAAGGGGACCUACUUUUGGCGAAGUCAGAGAAAAACAAAAACAUUUAGCAUUCAUUCUCUGAUCCCAAUUUGUCAUGUUAAAAGGGAUUGGAGGAAGAGAAAAAAAAGGGAGCGCCGGCAGCAGACUGUAAAAUGAAUGGGUGAAAGGAAGUGUGAGGAAUCUGCUCGACUGUGACAUGCUGACUAGUUGUGUCAGCAAUCGCAGCUGUUGGUCCUAAUUACCAAACUGUUAUGGUAGAGCAAGUGAAGAACUUUAGGGAGCUGGAAAAAGGGUGUGUGUGUGUGUGUGUGUGGAAGAAGUGUCUGGAGAAUAGAUGGAGCGAAGAAAUCCAUUAUUCACUUUAAACUCCAUAUAUGAAAACAAAACUGAUUCUGUUUAAGGAAAAACGCAAUUAUUCAUCGUUGUUAAAUCAUCCACAAUUUGUAGCUCAGUGGGCCCACUUUUACGAAGGGGAACAGACAGAAAAUGAGAAGAUAAAUUAACAACAGAUAAAAGUUUUAAAGACAUAACUAAACACUACAGUCAAGGGUGAUCCUACGUCCUCUUUUACCCGGACAUGUCCUGUUUUUUGGGGGGCUGUCCGGGUUUGUCUGAGGAAGUCUAUAAAAUUCUUCAAAUGUUCACGGUUUUAAAUGUGUGUCAUGUGGACUUACUGAGUUAGAAGCAUGAAAAAGACACUCGAUCUGACCCGAAAAACUCAAAAUUAUCUUUGUGUGACUCUGUGACUCCACCUUUGCGUAGUCGUGUCCUCUUUUUGAAAGUCAGAAUAUGGUCACCCUACUACAGUGGCAAUUAAGUAUCAGAAAUCAGUGAAAAAAGUGAAACCUCAGUAGGGAUGUCCUGAUACUAUAUUGAUGUCAGAUGUUCGUCUGGAUCGCCUGGAUCUAGCAUGAAGAGCCCACGUAAUCACAACAACAGUGUGUACUAAGGUACUAACAAAGCAGCAAGAAGUAGGAGUGAUGUCGGCCACAUGGCGGUAUUUUUCGUUAAAGUCCGAAAAAGACUUUGCAGCUGAGUGCAAAACUUGUCACGCACAAGUUUGUGCCAAUAUCAGAUCAAUAUCGGUAUCAUCCAAUACAGAAGGCUACAAUAUCAGUAUCGUAUGGAAAAUUAAGAAGUUGUAUCGGGACACCCCUAAAGUUAAGUAUCCAUAGAAACUAAGAGACAGAUUUGACAACACUCUUAGUCUCAACACAGAUCUGAUCUGGUUAUGCAUCCAUUUGCUGUUUGCCAACCACCAAUAAAACUUUAAGAAGACUGAUUUCAUGUUCCCGCUACUUCCUGUCAGAUUUCUCUGGUUGUCCUUGAGCAGUCAACUAAAGAGCCGAUUCUAAGCCGAGAUUUCCACCAUAUCCGCAACGACUCCGAUUUUUGCCGUACGUCAAUUCCUACCGGAUCUGUUUGUGAGACGAAUUUUGUGGCGGAUCAACAGUGGUUAGGCCUGUCACGAUAACAAAUUUUGCUGGACGAUAAUUGGGCUACAAAUUAUUGCCAAUAAACGAUAUUAUUGACACCGUUUUUUAAAUUAUAGAUAAUGAUAUUAUAUGACAGCUAAACAUGAGUAGGAGAUGACUAAAAUGUGACGAGACGAAAGUGCGUUUACGUUGAUGGGACGAGACGAAAAUGACGAACAGAGUUGCAAAACUCAGUCAGUUAAACGCUAAACAUAUAGGAGCAGCUUCAGUCCGCUCUGACAGCUCUCAUCAGCCUGCUGUGCUCCUCCAACACACAGACACACACGCGCGAGCGCGCGCACACGUGGAGUUUUGUGGUUGACGAAAACAAAACUGGUUUAAAGCCGAAAUAUUCCCACACUUUGGGCUGUUGCGUUCGGUUUAGACACUAAAGCUGCCGUGUUCAUUCUGUUAGCUUGCUUUUCACUCACGACGCUCACUUGCAGCACUGUAUCCAAAAGUCUGUGUCUGUGUGCAUGUGCGCGCCAGCCCCCUCGUGACAAAGAGACUGAAUGACUGACAGGAGGGUUCACUCACUGCGUUCAUUCCGCUAUAGAGCCAACGCCCCCAGGUGCCGAGAACAAUGCGCAGAGUGAGACCUCUUCUCUCAUCCAGCGUGUUUGGUAGCGAGAGAGGAGGAAAACAAACGCACGUAAAUUAUCGAGGCUGGCAAAAUGACCGACCUCGUUUUUAUUUACCGAGCGAUAAGGCGAUUUAUUGAUUAUCGCGACAGGCCUAACAGUGGUUAUUGCAAGAACUUACAAAAACCUGUGAAUUCACGUGCAACCGCGCGAUAACGAGUUGUUUCUUAGCCACAGAGGCUAACCAUGAAAGCAGUAGAUUUUGUUCUUCAAUAGGAGGAAAUCCACUUCUGGACUUCUAAAAUUUGCAUCCCCUCACCCAUGGUAUCAUUGGGGUGAAAUGCUGUCUGAAAACCUUUCACUUAGUUGUCCCCGCCCGUUUGCAUUGUGUGAAAUACGAUCCGCUUGAAACAUGCAGUGUUUUAUUUUGAAAAGAAGCCGGAUGUUUUAUUUUGGGUCUGUGCCGGACUUCCUUUCCAGCACAGACUAAUCUGUGCUGAAUUAAUCCGGCAUGCUCCGGCAUCCAGAAAAAAUAGAACACUUGCGAUCAGCAUGCGGAGUCCGGCGAUUGGCAGCUGAACGGAAAGAAGCCGGUGGAAAUUGACACAUUUACUUUAAUGGUUACGAUCAGCUGCGACCGGCGGUUAUGGCCUUCAUAGCCGUUCCGGAUGCAGUGGAAAUUUGGGGUUACACUGUCAUCUAUUGUCAUGCUGUUUCCUGUGUCCCGCCCUCUCUUUCUCACUGGUUGUUGGCAUCACGUGUUUAAAGUAACCAGUUAACACCACACAAUAGCAUCCAAAUUCAGCAAAAAAAUUCAAACAUGUUUGACUGCGGCUGAGGUUGGGUCAGGUCUGUCCCCGUCUCACACGUCUUGCAGAUUCGUGUCUUCACCCCUCACGCAUUAACAGAUUUUCGUGCGGAGUUGCCAAGCCGACUGCCCCCAGCUUGUGCAAACUGACUUACUUUCUCCUGAGUUUGUCAAGAUCCUUGAUACCUCAUAACCCACACAGACUAAUAUUCCCGGCUCUGCACAUCUGCUAGUUUACAACCAAGCUGAGUUGCCUCUGUGGAUCAGUCUUUGAAUGUCAAUGACCUUGAUACCUGAGAACCUAAAGGCCUAAAACACUCAUAACAACCCAUGUCUGGAGGUAGCUAAAUAUAACCUGCAUCCCCAAAAGAUUUCCACAGCGAAUCGUCAUUGUUGUUUUCCCAGAAGCAAUAGAUUGGUGGCAAUUUGUCACACGCCCUAAUAUUUGAAACACAUACCCUGAGAAUGACCCCAGAGAAAAAUGGCCUCCAUGCACCUCAAAACAGCUCUGUGCUCGUCUUCUUCUUGUAGCUUCAUCCUUAUGCCUGGAUAUAUUCCCCCCCAAUGUGUGUCAAUUUCAUAUCAGAGUCCGCAUGUUGAUGGCGAUAUGAUCAAACACAUGAUUACCUUCGGCUGCAUGAGGAAGGCCAUUGGAGAUCAGGAUGAUGCACCGAGGCAGGGGUCUUUAUGGAGGCCUGAGUGUUGGUGGCUGAUAAGGUGACACGUUGUGGUGCCUUCAGGGUCUUCCUCUUCUACUCCCUCUGUCGUUAACAAACACACACAGACACAGACACACACACACACGCCCACACACUCAAUGCUGCUGCUUAUCUUCCAGGAAUGAGAGCCCUCCUCUUCAACUGCACAAUUGCUCUGCCUUUCCCUCUGUCUUUAUCUCCUCACAGUCAUUUAUUUUGGAGAUGGAAUCAGAGCAGCUCCCUCUGCUAACACACUGUAGCUCUGGAGAUGUAGAAAAAGACGCACUGAGAGAAGAGCACAGAGGAGAACAGAGUGUUGCUGGUGAGGAAAAGAGGUCAAAGCGGCGAGUGAAUAAGGUGAAAAAGAGGCAAAAAGUGGAUGAGAAAGGGAUAUAGACGCUGCUCCUCUUUCAAUUUUGACUGAGGAGACAUCAUGCAGGGUAAAAAGAGGCUUCUUAAGAGACAGGGUGAAAGAAGAAAGGCAGAGGAAAAUUUCUGGGUAAGAGGAUGUAGAGAGCUCUGGGAUUUGACACAAGGAAAGGGAGAUGACACAGUCAAACUGAGGAGAGAAAACGCAGUGUAAUAAUAGUCACACCAAGAGAACCAGGACAAGGAGGAGACACCACGCAGAAUCUGUCUGUGGGUUCACAACGGGUUGAAGAGGGGGGGUACUGCUUCAGGGAAAAAAAAGAGUAAUUGUGUAAAAGGCUGAAUCUAAGAGUUUGGCUGCGUUUCAGAAAUAAACUGUGACGAAUUUUCGGAUUGGCUGUCAUUUUUCGCCAUUUGACCGAUUAUUCUGGGCACCCUAACCUUCCCGAGACAGCUUAAGAGACAGGAGGAAAUGUCACACUUCAACCCACGAAUAACAGAAGGUUACUUCAGAAUGAGACGCAUCUGAGAAAAAAUUGAAGAAGACAAAAGGUGUUUGGAAUAAUCCAGAGAUCUAUCAGCUAAAAUCCAGGCUGUCUUUAUUACAUGUAACACCUUUUAUUCCCCCUUCUUUUCUCUCGUGCUGAUUUAUAUCUGGUUCUAAAAGAAUAGUAAAAAAUAAAGAUAUCAUUCCAGGCACGACCAGCUUAACGGUGCUCCUGUUUUAAUCUUUCAGUUAUAUUAAGUCUUAAAACAGGGGGAGUAGAUCCUCUUGCUGCCUCAGAGGCUUUUCCUCGAAUAGUUCCUCCAUCUCUGGAGUGCCAUAAGCAUAACUAUGACUAAAUAACAUGAUGAGCUUUAUGAAAUUAGCGGAUUUCUAAUGCUCUCUGGAGGGUUCAUUAGUCAUAAAACGUGGGACCAUAUAUCCCAUCACAAAUCUUUCUUUCUUUCCACUUAAUUACAGGAGAGGAAACUAUAUUUAUACAACAGUGUGGGUAAACCAGUGAUACUUUUAGAUACUGAGAUUACUGACUUGCAUCUAUAUUUAUCUAUAUCUAUAUAUUAAGACUGAGUGAAUUUAGUAACCUUUCUCCGGCUCAUUUAAGUAAACUUACUUUAAGGCAGUUGCUGUUGCUGUGGAUGCUUGCUUUAAACCCACAGAAAUUGGGUAUUUAUUUUCUGUGCUGGAAUCCUAAACAGAGCGUUUAAGGAUUUGUGUGUUACAAGUUUGUCAAGUAAGUUAUUAAGAUUCGAUGAAAGGACCAGCAUCGGUAUUUGCAUUUCUUCAUGGAAAUGCAAUCAGACUGAGACGCUAAGGCAGAACUAGCGCUUCUGCAGUGCAACAUGAUUAAUACUGUGAUUAUUACUUCAAGGAAAUGAUGAAGAAAUGAUCAUAAAUGUUCUUCCUUGAGCUGCGUCACCCCGCUGCAGACUCGUCCGAGCUCUCCCUACAAACAAGCGGCUGCUGGAAGAGAGUAGGUGAGUUGUGUUUCAUCUCUUCGCUAAAGAAAUCAGGCAAAGCUAAAAAGAUGUUUGGUGGGUAGGACUAUGGCUUGGACCCUAUUUGUCCUGUUGAUGAAGUUAGGUGCUGUUCUGAGCAUUAUUUGUGGCUAUAAAGUGGCGUUUUGGUUGAGGUGUGCACGUGGAUCCAUAUACCACUGUGUAUUGCUAUCGUGCGGUCGUUAACUCGUGUCUAACUCGGUGUGUUUGACCCUGACCUAAUUGUAUGCCAGAAUAUCCCUUUAAGGCUUUUACCAGCAGGAGACAUCAUCAGUUAUGUUCCUCAGCAUCAUUUAUCACAAGACACCCUCUGCUUAGGCAGGACCACCACAAGCCUGGAUGUGUGUUUCCCGGUUAACUGUUCACCUUAGCAGCCCAGGUGGUGUCAGUCCUCUUGAGCAAUAGCCAGAGACUGGUCCUUUAAGUGGUGUUGGCCAGUUCUUCGAUGGCCUGUCCCCUGACUCCAACCUUCACCCCACCUCCACCAGGCACACCUUCUUUCCUGCUUCUGUCAUCUGCCUCAGCUGCUAAGUUGAAGUACCACAGCUGGCGUCUUCCCAUGGCACCGUCAUCUCAAUGAUGUAAGCAAGUUGGCAGGAAUUAGACCAGAGGACGCGGUGUGGUCGCAGGGUGGUUGUUGUGAUCUCCAAAACGAGAAGAGGGAAAAAUUAGCCUCUGAUCCAAGUCGACUUGUAACUGCCAGUCCCAUCUGGACGGAUCAGGGAUUGAGGGGCUAGUCCGUGGGCGUUGAUGGAUGCCCUCUUCUACUCAAGUUUCUUGGCUAGACAUCUGGGGACCUGGUUGUGUCUGUACGCAGGGGGCACGACGGGUCCUUCCAGGGCCAUAGCUGCAGUUUUGUGGGAUGAGUAUUUAGAUUGUAGCCCUGAAAUGCCAGACAUGUUAUUCCUAACCUGUGAUCCAGCCCCCUGGCGGAGUUUGGGAGUGUUUUGAUCUGAAAAAUGGAGAUAGAUUUGUGUAUUCGCUGUAUCUGAUUAAACUGGUAUAGAACUACUCAACCACAGCAAUGUUUAUCAAGCACAGGCCUGCAGGGAGGACUGGAGGCUGCAGGUGUGAACUCUGCUAACUUCAGCCGCACUUGGCAAAUUGAGCCAUGUGACAUACACUGUGCUCGCUUUAACCAUUUGUAAAGCUGGUGUUUUGUUUUGUUUGAUAAUAUCCAGAUAAACAGCGAUGCAUGAAAAGUGCGUUGCAUGACGAGCUCCUGCUAUUUGAACAAAACAGCAGCCAGAAAUGAAUCCAGAGGUACCAAUAAACUGAUUUAGUAUAUAAAAGAAAUAAACACUGAUCAGCUUUUGACUUUUUAAAUCAAUUUAAUUCUCAUAACCAAGAAUAAUUCUACAUUUUGAGAGUGGAAAGAGCAACACAAUAGUCGUAAAAAUGAUGCAAUAAACUACAAAAACCGAACAAAAACACGGAGGAAACAACAAGAAUUGAAUCCACAGCAAGUGGGGCAAUAUAUUCAUCAGCAGUUUGCUGCUGUCAGAUCAAAUCUACAUUGCACUAUACCAAAUAUUCAUAGAGAGCAAAUGUGCUGUGCUUGCUCCCCACGUUAUUAGAUUUAGCAGGAAGAAAAGAAGGUGAACAUAAUUCCCCCCUCUUGAGAGCCAGUAUGAAGGACUAGAUAAUAUUUCAUUUUUGCAGUUUUCAAUAGGCAGGAAAUAAAACAGGUAAACUCUCACUUUAGGAGCCAGCAAGGAGUUUUUCACCUCAACAGACAUACAGCAAAUAUUAAUGGUGUUGGGAUUAUUGAGUGCAGACCAUGACUGUGCCGUAUCUUCAUUUUGUUGCAGAGUUUAUAAGUCUUUGAAAGUGUGUAGCUCCAGCCACAAUUAAAUAAUUUAAUCCCAACAUUAAUAAUUAAUCAUUCAGUGAGGUUAAUAAGCUGCAUGUUUUCAGACUUCUACUAUACAUUUCUUAUUGUCCGUAGUGAAAUUAUGCGCCUUCGACUUCAUUUCACAACCUUCAAAGAAGUCAUGAUUUAUUUUUAUGGUAAUCAGGUUUUUUUUUUUAUUUUGCACGCAUCUUAUUUAGAAAGAAACACACAAACAAACACGCUCCAUAAGUUGUGAGUGACAGCAGAGAGGUUAUGAAUCUCGGCUCUGAAGGGAGUCUGCCUAUUUUUUACUCCUGCGGGGUAAAAAGAGAGGAUGAUGAAAGGAGAGUCGUGUACCUAUGGGAGGUCAAUAUCGACACAACCCGAGUGCAGAAAAUGACUGGCCUGAGGAGGGGAGGAGUUGUUCAGGGAGAAGCCAGAUUGAGUACAUGGCAGCUGUGUAGCAGUAAUACUGUUCAAAGCCCGAAGGCUCUCGGUCACUGCCAUCGCUCCUGUUAUGAUCCCUGCUGAAGGUGCUUUGCUGUUUCAUGGGGCCCUCUGAAACGUGGCUGUGAUGGCUGUUUACACAUUAAAGUUCAAGACACAUUGCUACAGAAAAGUUUCGGUGCUACAGGGUGAGAGAAAGUCUUGCAGUCGUGUUGCAAAAUCCCAGUCCACUGUGCUGCAGGCCACAACGAGCAUCAACCAGCUGAGCCAGGGACUUUGCACUGUGUGAAGGCAGCAGGGGGGUUACAAUUCUGAACCCGACUAUAAACUAUGACACCAGAAACACAAGGUGCGAAGAGGUACCUAGAGAGUGUGCUCUGACUAAGAAGUUUGAAAAGAAAUCCAAUAAAGGCAGUUUGUUUUUCAUUCUUUAUUUGAAGCAAAUCAAACAAACUCAUUCAGUUUAGUCUGGUUCAUUUAAAAUCUGUCAAUCAAACUCUUGUGCAGUUAAAACAGCUCAGCAGUUUUCACUUCUUUCCCUCUUUUUUUUUUUUAAUGCUGUAUGCCACUAGUUUUUGUGGUGCAACCUAAUACAACAAUCAGAUAACUUUGCCCUAACAGGUAACCUGUGACCGUGGCAUGACCUCAAAGGUUAAAAUACAUUAAUGUUCUUCCUGACAUAUAUUCUUUAUUUUUGAUCCUUGAACAAGAGCUGCAGACAGAAUCUGACUUACUAGCUAAUUGCAAUGCAUCUCGUUUGUUCCAUAUUAUCCCAGACAAACUAAACUCUAAAUACUCUUAACUCAAGUUCACUAAAUGGAGCUGAAUAAACUUAACUAACUAGAUUAAUCUGAACUCAAUUUGAAUAAACAUGACUAUACUAAACUCAGUGUACCUGGACUUAACUAAACUAAUCCUAUUCAGUCUGAAAUAAACUAAACCUAACUUAACAAAACCAAACACAGUCAGACAGAUUAAACUAAACUAAAUUUAACUCAACUAAACAGAAGCGUACCGAAGUACAAUAUUAAACUCUACUGAACUUAACUAAACAAAGCUGAGCUAAAUUAGACUAAACUUGACUUACCUAAAAUAAACUUAACUCAACUAAACAGAGCUAAACUAAACUUAACUGAACUUACCCUGACUAAACAACCCAAAUUACAUUUACUAAACUUUACUGAACCUAGCCAAAUGUAGUAUAUCAAACUAAACCAAACUUAACCAGACACUAAAAACUCAAGUUAACUUAAAAUAGCUUAACUCUGACCGAACUUUACUUAACUAAACUUAAUAAGACUUCACUUAACUUAACAAAGCUAAUCUAAAAAAAGCUUAAGUUUAAUAAACGUAACUUAACUUUAAGUUACUAAACCAAGCUACACUUAGGAAUAAGUGUAAGCAUAUCGAAACUUAAUAAACCUCAAAACAGCUUAACUUAAAAAAUCUAAACUUAACUUAGUUUAACUCAAUUUUCCUGAAAUGAACAAAACUAACAUUCACUUUGAAUUAUCUGACACAACUAAACAAAACUUGACUUAACUUGCCGAACUUAACUUACUGUAGCUAGACUUAACUAAACUAAGCCAGACUUAAAAUUGUACUCAUCUAAACUUGAUUUGACUGAACAAAGCUGAAAUCAACUAAAAUCAAUUAAACUAAACCAAACAAAGAGUUUUCAAAGAGUCGUCAAGUUCACAAAAACUUCAAGUGUAUUUCUGCAGCAGGUGAUCAAUCCGCCCACACAAGACCUCAGAUCAGACUUGAGAGCGAGAAAGAUAUACUGCAACAUGAGAGGAGCAGAGAUGGGCUGCAUUGUAUGUUUCGUGAGAAGAAAAGAAACUCAAGUUUUUAAAGUUAGACAUACAACAAAUAUGUUUCUGCAAGACAUGAUACAAGGAAAAACAGCCAGGUUGCAGCCACCCAUCCACUCUGCUCAUUUUUCAUCUCAGCUGCCUGCAGCCAUAGAGUGAUGUCAAAUAAUUUUCCAAAGUGAAAUACCUCUUUAAUCCAGUCCAGUCUGUGGGGAGGAACUUGUGAAGCAACAUGACACUCAGUAAAAGCCUCGGGGCACCAUCUUUAUUAUUUCAUCCCCUCAGAAAAAAAAGUAUGCUAGACACCUCUGUAUUUUCAGUAACUCAGUAGGGCGUGUUUUGGUCUGAUGUGUCCAUUAAAAAGCACCACAUGUUCUCCUCUCUUCUACCACACACACUGACACACUCGAUGAGAUGAUGCGGGGGUAACAGGUCAGUCUUAAAGUGGACACUGCUGGUAGUUUCAGCCACUAUCUGAGAGUGCAAUCGGGCCCUUAGAGGGAAAUAGAUCAAUUCACAGGAAGCUUCUGCAGGAGGCAUGCAUAAAUUAAAGAGAAUACAAGGAAAAACACACAAAAUGGUUCUUAAGAAAAGCGUCUUUAAAUGAUAAUAAAUGAGUUUAAAAGUCACAGGAAACAUGCAAAUGAGUGGCUGCACUACCCAGUAUGACUCCACUGAGUCACCAGCAUGAAUAUCUUUACUUGUGAGCUUCCAUUACUGAUUUUAAAAGGAUAUUGCGGCAUAAAAUUAAUUUAGGGUCAAACACACCGUAACACCAAGUUAGACACCCCCUCGAGAGAUGAAUGUUGCCGACUGCUUGUUUCUCUAGUUUUACCAAAUGUAGUAACAACCGCACGAUAGCAAUACACAGGGGUCUGAGGAGCCAGAAACAAACCUCAACCAAAACACCACUCUAUAGCCACAAAUAAUGCUCAGAACAGCACCUAACUUCAUCAACAGUACAUAUAGGGUCCUAGCUAUAGUACUAGCCACCAAACAUCUUUUUAACUUUGCCUAACUUCUUUAGCAAAGAGACUAAACACAUCUCACCUACUCUCUUCCAGCAGCCGCUUGUUUGUAGCGAGACCUCAGGCCAGUCCAUUACGGACUGCUGCGGGGUGGCGCAGCUCAAGGAAGAACAUUUAUGAUCAUUUCUUUAUAAUUUCCUUGAAGUUGUAAUCACUAUAUUAAUCAUUUUGCACUGCAUACGCGGUAGUUCUUCUGCCUUAGCGUCUCGGUCUGAUUGCAUUUCAAUGAAGAGCAUUUCUGAGCAUUAUUUGUGGCUAUAGAGUGGCGUUUUUGUUGAGGUUUGUUUAUGGCUCCUCAGACCACCGUGUAUUGCUAUCAUGUGGUUGUUAAGUUGGUAUAACUAGAGAAGCAAGCGAUUGGCAUCAUUCAUCUCUCGAGGGGGUGUCUAACUCUGUGUUACGGUGUGUUUGAUUUUACGCCGGAAUAUCCCUUUAAAGGCUUACUCUGUGUUGUGGGUUAAUCAUAGACUGUGUGAAAGAUGGAUGACAAAAAUGAAGCUUGUCUGCCUUUUAUUUAAAAUCCAUCAGUCUCUGAAGUUCAUGGUCCUGUAAGUAUCUUUGUGAAACUGUAACGUCAGAGUUUUGUUUUAAACCAUAUAUCAACAGACUGUUUCACAUUUUCCUCUAAACAUCCCAGAUAUCUCAGAGUAAACUGCUGUACAAAUGAAUGGCAUAUUAUUCAAAUAGAAAACAUCAAUUUUAACCCAUUUGCUCAAAUGUUUGUAGUGAAAACUUUCCAGAAUAAUAUCUCUUUACAAGGUCGUUUCAAAGCUGAAGCAUUUCCCAUUUCUGUCUGAUAUUUCAAGGCUCCCGUUUCCAUUCACCGCAGGAGCUGAUGGAGUGAUUUAUGCAGGAAUAUCAAAUAUUACUUUCCAAAACCCUAGUUUUGUUUGCACACGUGUAAAUUUGUCUCCCAGUCUGCAUGCAUACCGUAUCUCUGUCAAAACAUGAUCCUCCUCAUGUGUAGCUCUGGGCUUCUGUGUGUUUGUGUUUAAUGUCCCCCUGAAUUCAUGAAUCCAGAAUGGAGGCUGAAGCCCACCCACCCAGUGCCCUAAAGUUAGCAUGCAUCUCGUCAGUGAAGCGUAUCUACCUACAGCGGUCAGAAUCAGUUGUUUAUUUUACUUUAAAUUUAUAAUAAAAUGUUGAGAUCAAACAGCUCUCUGAGACAGUAAAAAUAGAGUUCUGGCUCGUACAGAUAAAACUCUCUAAUGCAAAAAGCAAGGCUAUUUUUGACCAAUAAAGAAGGAGACACACUCACAAACACAGCUAAUGGGGUUAGUCAUGGCUUGACAUCAUGAAUAAAACAAGCUUCACACACUCCCUCCCUCCCUCCCUCCUUACACCAGCACAGCGAGUUCACAUGCCCAAAGAGAUCUAAAAAUUAGAGUCCCUGCUGUAUUAUCACUGAUGUUGCUGCUGUUGGAGGCAUAGGUCACCUACAUGUUUGUCUGUACGUCUGCUGUUGCCAUGGCAAAUAUUGAGCUUUACGAGCUGUAAUGAGAGCUAGUUUGGUGGAGGGCAGAGAAUGGAGAGGGGCUGAUAUUUAGUGGAAACAGUGUCAGUGGGAAAGUGGAGACAUACAAAACCAGUACAAAUGGUUGUUCUGGAUAUCAGUGACACUUUUUUAGAGUUUUUAGAGUGGCACUAAAAAAUCCUUUUAAACCAGUGUAGAGAUUGAGUUUGUGUACAUCCUAAAUAAGGUUGGGUAUCGUUUGAUUUUGAACGAUUCCGAUUCCUCAUUUCGAUUCCGGUUCCUAGCGAUUCUCUAUUCAGAUCCUUUUAAAAGGCAGGAUAUAACAGUGAUAUUGCUUUAACAGUUUGCUGAACGCCUUUGUAUUAACUUUCCUGUUCAGAUUCAACAUACCAUAUGGAUUCUCACUGUCUCAAACUCAAUUGCGUUGCUGUCACAGCACCUCGUUGGUGUUCGGCAGCUAUUUCUUCCAGUCGGCGGACUUCGGCAUCGAAACUUGGAAUCGAAUUUUUACAAUUUUAAUGGUUUUGGGAGAAUCGGAAUGUUAGUCCCAGUCCCCGUUGAUGCUUGAGACUCGAUGCCCAACCCUAAUCCUAAAUUCACCAGCCCUGCUGUCUGGGGAGUGGCACAGGGUUCCUAACUGGGCCCACUUUUUUUCUUUGGUGCUCAUACGAAUUUUUUUUUUUUUUUGAUUCAGGCUUUUUCUUUUUGAUGUUCAGGUCAAGAAAGAUGUGUAAAAGGCAUUUCUUGAUAUGCUACAGUUAGAUACUGAAGGCCAAUGUGCUUUUGAUUGAAUAGGGGUCAUUAUAAAUAACCUGGAUGCAGUUUUGCUAAUCCUACUGCUACGUUUAAACUAUAUUCUUAAAACAUUGCAAAAGCUUUUAUUGCUGUGAAUAUUAUUUUAUUGUCAAAUAAAUUUCCAGUUUUUUUCUAUUUUCAAACUUCUUUUGUUGUGUUCCCAGUAGGUCACAAGUUGCACAAACAUAAAAUGCAAAAUCACUUCUUAUGAUGAUGACACCCACUUUUACGUUCCAACUGUCCCAUAUUCUUUAUUCAAAUCAGCCACAAGGUGCCAAUUGUGUUGAUUUGUCUCACUAGUGUUAUGCCUCAUCUAUGGGUGGCCAGGACAUUAAAAAACAGUGUUACCAGACUGCUUUGUACUCGGCACAAUUUUACAAUGAAGCACUUACUUAUUAAAGCGCCAUCUUCUGGGUGUAAUACACUACAGGAUACCUCUAUCUGCAUUAUAUACUGGUAUUAGUUGCACUGGUGUAAAAGAUGAAGUUCAUUUUUAGAUUUUAAUGAAGUGUGUCUUAUACACUGAGUUUCAUCAAGCAGCCUUUUUUUUGUUACUAAUUUCAAUCAUAAGUCCUCAAGAUUUGCAUCAUGAAUCCUCCAAUCAGAGACUUAUAUUUAGUGUAAUGAGCUUUUUUGACUAGUAAAUGUUAAAAAUUCGCUAUGUAAGAGAUUUUGUAGUGUAUGGACUUCACUGAAGCAUUUGUUGAAUCCCUUCCUUGGGACCUGAGUGUCAAAUCUGAGGCGAGCCUUAUCCUUUCAGAGGAGGUCAAGAAAGAUGUAGGAGUCUGUUGUUGCAGACAGGAGCCGUCUCCAAAAUGAAGUCUUCUCUGUCUUUUUGUGACAAAGAGAAGGUCAAACUUGCUUUUAACUUUUCCACACUUGACAUCCUCAGCAUCUCUCUGUUUUUCUGCUCAAAAGGAGCUUGCAUGCCUUUGAAUAGGUAGCUUUGGAAGGAAUAACAGAGAUGUCAGCACAUCCCAUAGAGGCACCAGUUUCGAAUCACUACUAGAUCAUGUAGGAUAAUUGCAGACACGUAAUAAAUGAAGUUUUUACUAUGAAAGCACAAUGAAGGAGGAUUCAUAUCAGUCCCGUAUUUUGGUGGUAUUUCUCUCUUCCAUUUCUUCAUCUGUUGCCAUUCGACAUGAAGAUUAGAGGUGAGCGGGAGGGGACGUGUAUCCCGAGACAGAAAGUUUUCCCCAGUUCAUUAUUCUUUCUGUGUUGUGAGUCAGUGUUGCAACAUUUACCCCACAGAUUUCAUCAAACAACAUGUCAAGGAUAAUGACAGGUAUUUGGGCGUGAAGUUGUACAGAGGGCAACGAUUGAAAAAAAGAGCCUCGAGGCAAAAUCAUUGAAAAGUUAAAAUAGAGCAUGUGGUCGUUGAUGGUUUAAUAAUGCACCCUGUUGCCCUUAAACAGAGCAGUAUGCAUGAAGCGUUUGGAAAGGUGUUUUCAGGUGUGUUUGAACAUAUUUAGCCUCCCUUCUUUUUUGUACCUUUACUUUUUUCCCCCUUUCACACACACACACACACACACACACACACACACACACACACACACACACACACACACACACACACACACACACACACACACACACACACACAGGCAAAGAAAACAUCUCACUUUCACUGCCCAUUCUUAUUUGAAAGUAUGUUCAAUAACAGAAAAAAAGGAGUCUCAAUUUUCAUCCCUCAUUAUCUAUAAUUGAAAAACAAAUAAAAGCAUGAUUACUUCUUCACAGACAGGCACAAAAAAUAAAUAUUUCUCGGUCUAAAUUGCCGCAAAGUUCAACACACGGUGCAUUUAUCACAACUACCUCUAGAGUUUGUGCACAGGCAGUGUAAACAGGCAAUCACAGGCAGAGUGUUCUCAGGUAAUCUGCUGGAGCUAUUUGUCUCGGUGCAAAGGCUACCAAGAGUUUGUUGUCUGAGAGAGAGGGCAGCAGGAUGGAAACCAGCCAAGAAGAGCCAGUCCCCGGCUAAGAGUGGGAGUCCGGGUUUACUUAAAGCAGUAUUAUAUCCAGAGACUUAUCAGUCGGAUGUAAAUACAGUUUAUCCACCUCUCCGAGAAGCAUUUACAAAUCCCCCGGGGGUGUUUAUGCAGAGUCUACCUGGGUCAGGGUGCUGUCUCGCUCUUGUUCUGCUCUAUAAAUCCUGAGCUGGUUUGUUAUGUCGCUUAUGAAUCACCCUGAUGUGUGCAGAGCAGCCAUCAACCAAACACCCACUCAUUACAUUUGGAAUAAGAAGACAUGCUCCUUAUGGCAGACGGAUGAGCAGCAACAGGCCCCUGACUGUUACUGAAACUGACACACUGGGAGAAAAAUGAGUGAAAUUCAAGUUGUCUGUUAACUUAAAGCUCCCGAAAGAGGUUUUGAGGUUAUGAGUCAGAGAAGCAAACAAGUCCAUGAGUGACAGGCUUGACUAUUUCAGUACUGUAACGCAAAAAAAAACAGCCUCUUAUUACAAUGUGUAAAACAUUUGAUGGUCAAGAAAUUCAAGAACACAAGCCAAAUAUACAUCACAGUAGCUUUAAAAGAAAGUCAUUUGUAAUUAAUUUUGCCAACAUGUGAAAAUCUACACACAAUACAGAGAAGGUAAAAAUCAAAUAUGAAGUAUAAAACAACCAAGAAUCAAAAUCUGAAGAAUUUCUCAAAGUUUCCCAUAUCCUCCUGACUACCAGAAGUUCAAAUUGUCCUCUGUGGAGGACCAUUGUAAACCUCAAUAUCUCCCACCCACUGCAUACUACUGAAUUAACUCCUUUUGGUUUCUACAGACGACAUUUAGAGCUUUUCAAUGAUACCAAAUGUGAAGGGGUGGGGCUUCAGUGCUUUUCCUCUUUCCAUAAAAUGUGCAUGCACUGAUGGCAGCCAUUUUUUCUGAGUGAGGAAGAGAAAGGUACUGAAGCCCCACCCCACAAAUCUGAACCUUCUGGUAGUCAGGAGGUUAAAUGACAUCUUCACAUGGUUAAUGUCUCCAACAGGUCUUACACCAAAGCACAGGAGUGACUGAAAUAGUGAACUAAUGAAAAUUGAGUUCACCGAAGCUAUUACGGUUCAUUCUGAAGGGAAGAUGAAAACUUGAUAUUUAAUUAAAUCUCUGAAUGUAAUUCAGCCUUCACAGGAAUAGAUAUGUCUUUUGUUGGAAGAUAAAAUCCCCUGAUUACACCCACUGAAGAGCCGUUAGCUCUCCGCCUUCUCUCCGUUAAAGCUUAUUGAAUACCAACACAGCUCUCAGGGUCUGAGAUGGACAGAUUUAAUUGUGUAUUCGACUAAGUCAAAAGUAAACCAAUCCACAGCAGAACUGAAGACCAGAGUGAUUGAUCUUACAACCUCUAAUUUCAACAGGAAACUGUUGUUGAAAGUGUUCUAACUCAGGACUCAAGUUGAACUUCAGUCCUACUGACUCAGACUUGGACUUGCUCUUAAAAAUUGAUAUAUGCUGACCAGUGCAUAUUCACCUGCUGUUUUGUUCAGCAGCAUUCUCUGUCAUGUUGCCUGAAGAGAUUUCAUAUUUUGCUUUUAAAUAUUUCACGUGAUAUGUGAGAAACUGAAGAGAUGACAGGGGCAAAGUCAAACUUUUAACAAACUUCUGCCCAGGAUGCUCUCACAACAGUUAGUGAGAUACUGAGAUGCUUACUUGGACUGUUAAUACUUAGCAAGCAAACUCCUAGCCUCUGAACAGUAACAUUGGGUGCAAGAUUUUUAGUUUGGUAAGGUUCUGGUUGAUAAACAGUGGGUUUUGGUUGUUUUGAGCUGAAUACACACCUGCAGUGAUCUCAUUGGAGUUGAAGUCUUUACCUCUGUCUUCUCUUCGCUGUAUCCCCUCUCUAAACCCAAUGCAGCAGCAGCAGAUGGCUGGCUUACAUGAACCUGGUUUUGCUUAAGGUUUCUGCCUGUUAUAGAAGUUAUUCCUCUCCACUGUAACUUGCAAAGUGCUGCAAAGUGCUGCAUGCAUCUGGUUGUAGAUAGGAUGGGAGUGGGUCUGAUUUUGCAGGAUGGGGCUCAAUCUUAUCCCAUCUUCAAAUUGGGUCUUUGUAAAUAGAGUUUAAUCUAGACCUUUUUUUUUUGGCAAGCAUGUACCACAGCAAAGGUGAAUGCACAGUUUAAGUUUUGAUGUGCAUUCCAGAGUGAUGACAGACUCAUGCUUGUGCAUUUUUGCAAAACUCCAGUGUUAAAAUAAAUCGGCCUGUGAGGGAGGAGAGAGCAUUGCAGCUUCCAUCACACUUUUUAUUUACAGACUUUUACCUUAUCAGUAAAAAAUUAGAGGAAUAUUCCAAACUGUAUUGUUGUAGGGAUGCACCGAUCCGAUAUUUGAUAUCGGUAUCGGUCCCGCUACUGAAGAAAAUUCUAGAUCGUUUUUUUUUUUUUUUUUUUUUUUUUUUUAAAUUCUAUCUCUUCUAGAUCGGUAUUGUGACAAUGAGCUGGAUGCAUAAGGGCUGAUCUGUUCUGUCUAACUCUUUGCUAUGUGUCGUGAGUGGCAUCCACAAGUAAACACACUGACCGGAUGCCCACACUGUUUUCAACAUGGAGAGAGCAAAGGGGUCUGCUAUCUUAAACUUUAUCACAGUACUAGGGCUGCAGCUAUCGAUUAUUUUAGUAAUCGAGUACUCUAUCGAUUAAUCUGUCGAUUAAUCGAGUAAUCGGAUAAGAAAUGUUUUGCUCUCACUGUAAUACUUUGCAUUGAAUCACGUUUGCCUCAUUAAAAACCAUCAGUAACACACAAAACUGAAAUAGGCCAGGUCUUUCAAAUGAAUAUUUUUACUGCAUAAAUCAGGAACCAAAAGAUUUACAUUUUACCAUGUAGUUCACAUGAAACUACUGAAGGCAAGGUCUGCAGAUGGUCUUUUAAUUGCUAUGGUAAUGAUCUUUGCAGUUUUCACUAAACCAGUCACAACUAUUUCCAGGCUUUGGAUCUAAUUUUACUUGUUUAAUUAAUAGGCUGAAAUAAUAUAAUUCUUGGAUACUAACAUAAUUUGACAAGCAAAUGUACAUUUAUUCAAUAUAUAAAAGUGUUACAUUUUUAUUUACAUGUUGUUGUGUGUUGGUCAUUUUGCAGCCCUCUGCUGCUCAUCACACGCCUAGCAGGUGGUGUAUAGCAUUAUCACCAUGGAUACACGGAUGUUUGUGUGAUUUUUUUCAUCCACUGCCGCCCGGUUUGUGUCGUGUAGAUGUUGAUUAUGAAAACACUUCGCAAUAAUUUGGAAACGUGAAGGGGGAGCUGCUGCUGCCCGGUGUUUACGGUAAAUAGACGCAAACACCGACCAAGUGGACGCUUCGGUCUCCGAAAACGCCGAGACAAAUUUACAAACAGCCACUAUUUCAAACAACUGGGCUCAUAAUCGUGAUGUAAACACUUACUUCCUCGCUAGAAAAAAUAUUAUUAUUGAAUGAAUUUAUAUAAUUUGUCCGGUAUGCAGUCGUUCUAUGUAGCUUGUGGUAGGACUAUUUAAAUUUUCCCGGCGCUGCGUCCGGCCGGCACGAAAUGCAUUCUGGGGUAUUUAGUAUGUAUGUGUGUAAACGCUCGGGCAGCCGCGGCAUACUCACAUCAUCUUUGAGUAGUCAGUAGGCAGUAGCUACUGCUUGAGUAGGUAAGUAGAUAGCAGGCAGUAUGCCAUUUCGGACACAGCUUCUGUCUGUCCUCGUUUCCCUCCAUGAUUGAACCAAACGCGCGGCAGCGGAAGGAGCGGAAAGAGCACGCUUCUGCGCAACAGAAAUAACCGUCCGUGUCAAACACCGUGCACUGCACAUGGUUCCGGAUUUAAACGAUUCCUCGAGGCAUAUAAUUUGCCUCGAGGAAUUUUAUUAAUCGAGUUACUCGAGUUACUCGAGUAAUCGUUUCAGCCCUACACAGUACCUCAGCCUACAAGCUCGACGGCCACUUGCACAGUAAACGUUCUGAGGAGCAGUGGUAAAACUCCAAGUUACAACAAAAGAUAAUUCAGCACAGCUUUUCUGUAUCGGAAUUGGAUCAGUAUCGGCCGAUACUAAACUGUAGAUAUCUGUAUCUGUAUCGGAGGUGAAAAAAGCGGAUUGGUGCAUCCCUAUAUUGUCGUACAUCUCUGCAAACCUUUUCUAUCCUUACCUACAACCCAUUCUAGGUGAGGGAGUUUUCGAACAAUCCAAAGUCUCACUCUCUGAUGAGGAUUCUUAUCACUGAUGUUGCUGCACUAUAUUUGCACCUGUGUGCUCGUCUUUACCUGAACAAAGUCUGAGAGGAAUUCCCCACACUGAGUGUCACAUUUGGUUUGGCCUGUUCUUUUUUGACAAAUCGAGUAAUUUUUUUUUGUUGAUGUGUGACCCCACUAGUGGUCCAUUUGAUGCUCAGAAGGAUAAGCAGGACAGGAGUGAGGCUGAAUCUCAAAAGGGCCAUUUUGGAGGAUAUAAGCAUGUCUGUGAUGGAUGGUGGCGAUAUGAUGGAUUUUAUCUUAAAGAGAAGAGACAGAUUCAAUCAUUUGUGCCCUAUUCUUCUCAGCGAAGGCUAAGCAGACUCCUUUUUUUCCAGAAAUAUCAUCAGAAUAUGAAGAUUGACCAGGAGCUGUCAAACGCUCAGCACUGAUUUUGUCAUUUAUACCUGACAGAAGUGUGUCUGCAGGCCUUGGCAGUCAGCAGCAGGGGGGAACAGACUAAUCCCCCAGACUCACAUUUAUUAAUAGGUCUCAUUUUAUAAAAUCCUGGAACAAAAUGACAUACAUUCACGCUCUCUAAUCAUGGCUCCCCCCCAGAAGGUCUGCGAGGGAAUUUAAAAAUAUCACAUUUAAUGGAAAUUGGAUUACCUUUUAGCUUUCAUGUCCUCGUCAUGCAUGGUUCAUUUCACUUAACUUUCUCUUUGAUGAAAGAGAUGGGAAAAUUGUUUCUUUUAGUCUUCACAGAGGGAGGAGAAAAAAAGAACGAGAAGUCAAAAGUUGACUCUCAGAAAAAAAAGCAUUUGAUUGUCUCUCAUUAUGCAGAAAUCUGUCAGUUUUUACAUGAAGCAAUUUUGUUUAGGAAUUUAUGGGUAUAAUGAGAUGUGGAGUAAACAGAAAAUACUUCAAUGGAGAAGCUCAAGGCUGCAGCAAUGCAAAACUCUGAGUUGCUAGUACAAAUAAAUACUUCUGCAUGUUGAAAUCGAUUGAUUUUGUAGUUGGAUUAUGUGUUUUCUAGUUAAGAUACACACACAGAUGAUUAAACACAAUGCUCACACAGUACUGAGUCUGAUAAUGAGAGGUAGGCAGGGUAAUUUGCCUUGAGUGUGGCGAAUCUAAUGGGUAUGAAAAGAGAGUAAUGCUGUUUGAAAUAUCCUGUUUUAUCCGGUAGUAUACGGCUGGUGCCUGGAGCCUCUCGUUUCAUGCCUAAAGACCACGUGGCCACGCAGCUGGAGCUCUACAUUUUCAAAAUAAAAGCUUGUGUUUUGUCUGUUUUUAAAUGUUGUUUUUAAUUAGACCAUAAAUGUUAAUGAGAUUUAUUAAUGAGAGGACAGGGCAGGAACUUUUUCAGCCAUUAAUAAAUGUAUGCACGUGUCUGCAAUAAGGAAUCUAUUCACGUGCAUUUGUGGUUCUUUGGUCACAUUUUUAUAUUUCUGUUAGGACUUGGCGAUUAUCUGAUCGUGAUAAAUGAUUCUGAUACAUUUCAGUUCGAUCACGGUGAUCAGCUGUGAGCAUAUUAACUUGAUAAAACAUAGCGGAAAUCGUCACAACAGCCAAUCAGAGUCGAGCUUUUCCUGCUCACCUCUGUAAAUUGCCAGAGAAGUAAACAGGGGGGAAGUAAACAGAGUGACCGAUCCUGGAGCAGCAAAAUAGAUGUCAUCCUCCGGAGAUGCGAUUGUUGAGACGAAAGGUUAUUCAAUGUCGGUUGUGUGACGGUGCCGUGUUUUUGAGUUAGCAUUGGCAGUUUAGCCACAACUAGCGGUGCAGCCACCAGAAUAAAGCAGCAGUCAAUCUAUCAUCUAUGUUUCCAUCAUCUAAUAUUUACAUUUUAAGACGUCUUCGUUAUCUCUGAGGGAGCGAUUUGUUUAUUUUGGGUCUUGCAUACCUGCAAAAACACUCAGGACUGUAAACUAAUUCGCUGUAUUUAUUUAUAUUUAUCUGCAUUUGUUGUACUGUUAAGUUUAAAUGGUUUUUAUAUUUUUCGAAGUUUAUUUUAUUUGAUUUGCUUUAUUUACUUUGUUAAUAAAAUGUUGGACUAGUCUCUAGUUUCAGUAACACUUUACAAUAACCAUAAUUUAUAAAUGGUGAAUAGAUAGUUUAUUAAUCUAAGUUAAUAGUUACUUUACCAUUAACAAGCAAUGAAAUCAUGAUUAAUAAUUUUCCUUAAUUAUUGUAAAGUGUUUCUCUAGUUUUUAGUACCAAUGCCUUAAAACUGGCAAAAAAUAAAAAUAAAUAAUCGAGAUCAGACAAUAUGACAAAAUAUGUUGUGAACAUUUUUUUUUUUUUUUUUGCUAUAUCACCCAGGUCUAAUUUCUGUACACAUUUGUAGGUCUGUGCAUACGUUCGUGGCUAAUGAAUCAUUUUCUUCGACUUGCAUAUGUAGAUUUGUCACUGCAGGAUUUACAUUGUGUAAUCUAAUCUGCAUAAACAGAGAAUGAGGCUAUUUAAAAUCCACAGUAGACACUGCAAUGACUUUCCUUCAGUACAGGUAAGCAGUAAUUUACAAGGGCAAACAACGCCUCGCUGUGAAGAGCUACAUAUGUAUUUAUGCAUGCAUUUCUAAAGCCAUGCAUACAAUUGGAUCUGUGCGUGCAAUUUGCCACCCGUGUGGACCUGCUGCCAUUGUUCACAUAUAUGAAUCUCGUCAUACAACAAUACUGAGAUGUCUUCUUUAGUGAAGUAUGGAGAUAAUAAUGCAGUGAAUGUAUUUGUAUUUGUUAAACAGGCUCUUCAUGUGUCUGAGAUCUUUGUAUGGUGCCAGACAGAAACACCGAUUUGUGUGUUUGCAUGCAGCCUAUGAUUUAUUCAUGUUAGUACUAUCAUUAUUGUGGCAAUCAUAAUUUGUCUAAUGAUUAUAUGGUUCAGCGUAUGUGGUUGUCUGAUUAGCUCAAUUUGUUUGGGUCAUCUAAUUUCAUGUGUUUUCAUGAUUGCUCCACCUGAUUAGAGUUGCAUCUAAAUCAGGUAAUGACACUGUAAUCUACAUGAGUGUGUAUUUGUGAACAUUUCAUCAGUUGUAUAUAUAUUUUUAACUCGCAUAUACUCUAUUUGUUUUUGUUUUCCAUCCUCUCACAUAUUUAUGACGCACAAAUCCACACAACGCAGCCGUCGAGAGAUUUGUAAUAUCCUUUGGGUAUUUUCCGCGUCUGACAUGUUUUGGUUUUGUGCCGCGUACUCUUGAAGGCUUAAAGCUGCUUCAUCAAUAUUAGAGGCUGAGGUAAGGGUUUUGUGCGUGUGUGUCGGAGAGGAGCUCAUAAAAAUACACAUGAACUUUUAUUUAAAGUUGUAAUGUUUUUGAUUGCUGCUUUAUGAUCUUUGAAGCUGUAAACACAGCAUACAGUUUAAACGAAACCUUAUGUAGCGCGUAGACAUCGCAGCAAAUUAUAACAAAUUGGAAAGUUAUUCAAACUAUUCAUCCAGCCAUUGUGUAUUCAUGAAUUGAGUGUGCGGCCACAGACCUACAGUUAUACUAAAAGGGUGAUAAUGUUCUACCAUAAAAAUGUUGAAGGUUAAUAUUUAAAUGAGUGAAGAACAAAGAGCAGGGUUAUGAAAGCCAACACGCUGCACAUGGAGACAUAUGGCAUCUGCGCACACAUUCUCACACACACAGACACGCAGCUCCAUAAACACCAACAAUAAAACAAAGCACCCUGGCAAUAUUCUGCAGCUUGCCUGUGGUGAUGGCACCAUUUGUUAAACAGAGAAGUCUCUUUUGCACAUCAUGAUUAUUUCCCCUCCUGUCUGUCUCCACUCCCCCCGGUGGUUUUCUUUGUUUUUCUCGCUAAUUACGGCCACAGGUGAAAGGACCUGUGUAAUAGCAGAGCCUGCUGUUGUCGAGGCAAUCUGUAAAAAUCAAUUGACUCGCCAAUUUAGUCUGGCAUUCCCACAUCUGUGUUUUCGUCUCUGUACGUCACGUGUAUCAAUGCAUGGGUAGGCUCUCCCUUUUUUUUUCCUGUAACAGUCAGGCACAUACACAUAUGUAGAGCCAGUUCAUUGUUAGGCUGCACACACACUCUUGCAGAGUGCAGACAGAGAGGGGAACUGCACCAGGCCGGGCUGCAGGUCAUUAACCGAACCAGUGAAACAUGCAUCUCUGACCCGUCUCUGCAGGGGAGCAGACAGGAGUUAUCACACACUCCAUCGCCCAACCUUACUAGGACCAUCAGUGGACUGCAUGCAUGUUUGUGUGGGAUUGUGUUUGGAUACCUGUGUAUAUACCCUUCAAGGUUAGCCUCAGGGCAAACGCGCAUACAUGAGCGCUUACCUUGGUUGACUGUGGAGAAGAAAGAGCAGGGCUGGAGUGUUGGUCUUGACCCUGUGUGUUCUUGGUUGAGUUUCAUUAAGUACGAGGCCUCAGUGUUACUUCUCUGUAGCGCUCCCAAUCUUUGUGUUGUGACCUUUGUGUGCGAAGGAAAAGUGUGUUUACAUACCAAUAUAUUUAUCAUUUACAUGGUUGCAUAUCUUGGUGUAAACAGCCAGCAGAAAGGUUUCUGAAUUUUGAGUCUGUGAAAACUUAUGUAGCGUUUUUGAGGACUUGGAAAGUUUCACUUAAGAGAUGAUUUUGGUGAAAUUCUUUUUUGUUUUUGUUUUCAUUAUGCUGUUUUAAUCCACCCAAUUUGCAAGGAUUAUCUUUUGCUGUUGUAAUAAAUAUGCAUACCCAUUGGCCAAAACAAUACCAUCUGCCGGAGUUUUUAUGUGUCGACAACACAGUCUGUAAAAGACGAUGGACAACACAGACACUCCCUAAAAGUGAAGCCCAAACUGGAUUUUUCUCCAACAUGCUUUCUGUCACAGAAGUUAUUCGAUAUUGUCCUUUAAUUGUGCAAGUUUUCAUUUAAUGGAGAAAUUUGGUUUCAGUUAAUUUGACACUAAAAGGAGGAGAAUUCAUCAGAAGAAUGUGUUCUGGUGUUGGCUGGACUGACUUAAAAGGAUUGUGAAAGUGUUACUAGCAGGGUAAAUGUUUUUAUUUUGUUGGCAGAAGAAGUGAGACCUUAAUCCUGCAGCUCCACCAGCUCGGCCACAUCUGUGCACUUUUUGGCCUUGCAGUGUUUUGUCUUUGGUUUUGAAAAUGGGAGCAGAUAGAGGUUUGUCGUCCGCUCUUAUCUACACUGCAUAUACAUGGAAAUAAGGCGUACGAUUGUUUAUGUAGAUUUCCUUCAAGUUUUUCUCUUAUUUAUUUAUCUCUUGAAUUUAUUCAUUCAGUCCCAUUUUCAGAAACACUGAAAUGGGACUGAUAAAUUCCAGUACAACAAAUCAAACAAGGAGAAACUAGGAUAGAGUUAAACAAACAACAACAUUCAAGUCCCUUGACGGAGAGGCUGAGACGCAAGUACUACACAAGCCGUUAGCCCCUGAAGGCAGCACUUGGGAUCUGUAAAAUCCAAGACCAAAUGUACCUCACUGGCAGACUCACCUGCUGAGAAACAGCACUCCCAAGUUGAAAAGAGUAAAGACAUAGAUAUUUUAUGAGGAAUUUGCUGGGGUAACUUGCUGCAUCGUAUCCUUCACUUAUGGAUCAAAUUGCAUACAAUGUGAAAGUCACACAGGUGACUGUAUUUUUGACUUUCAUCAUGCAUCCUUUUACUUAACUUUUAUGGAUUGAAUGAUGAAGAUGAGAAAAUAGGUUGAAGACGGCUGUUUUCCUUUUCCAAUAAAUUUUAGAAGUGAUUUUGGUUCUGGGAAGAGACAGACAACAGAGACAUUAUAUUGUAAGGAUAGUUUAAAAGUGCAAAUGAAGUAACGUCAGUGAUUAAAUGACCAUUUUAAAGGGAUAUUCUGGCAUAAAAUUAAGUAAGGGUCAAACACACCAUUUCCUUAAAGUAGUAAUCAUCAUAUUAAUCAUCAAGUAAUAAUCAUAAAUGUUCUUCCUUGAGCUGUGUCACCCCGCUGCAGUCGAUGGACUCGCCUUGAGGUCUCUGUACAAACAAGCGGCUGCUGGAAGACAGUGGGUGAGUUGUGUUUUUAGUCUCUUUACUAAAGAAAUCAGGCAAAGUUAAAAAGAUGGUUGGUGGCUAGUACUAUGGCUAGGACGCUAUAUGCACUGUUGAUGAAGUUAGGUGCUGUUCUGAGUAUUAUUUGUGGCUAUCGAGUGGCGUUUUGGUUGAGGGUGUGGCUCUCUGUAUUGCUAUCGUGCGGUCGUUACUAGAGUUGGUAUAACUUGAGAAGCAAGCGGUCGGCAACAUUCAUCUCUCGAUGGGGUGUCUAACCUGGUGUUAUGGUGUGUUUGACCCUAAAUCAAUUUUACACUGGAAUAUCCCUUUAAGGGCCAACUGAUAAGUACAUACUGGAUUAUGAACUAUUUUAGGCUUUCAGCAGCCCAGUGCUAAACUAAAACCAUCUGAAAUGAAAGCUUUGGAUCCCUCUUAUUUUGGUAGGGAGAGUUAAAGUAGUUGUAUGGUUUUGUUGCUGUCCAUGGUGCUGAAUCUGUUCAGUGACAGCCAUGGAGAUUGUGAGGUUUCUUUACCGCCUACAUUUUACACACACGAAUACAAGGAUCCUCUUUAUUCAACAAUAAGCAGAAGGCGUCCUGUCCUGUCAUUCCCCUCUAAACAGUUCACAGGGUCACUGUGUUCUAUAUGCAAGUCAGAGAGUCGACAUCAAACAGCAUCAUAAUGUUGUAGUAGUAACCACACCUUUGAUGCUUUUGCGACUGUAUCUGAACCAGGCUAGAGCUUCAUUAAUAUUUAUUACAGGAUAAAUGUGUGAUAAAGGACAAAGAGACCGAGAGAGUUAGUGGGCAGCAGAAAGAGAGAACAGAUGAAAGUGUAAAAGAUGUUUAACUCUUAUUUCUCCCCAAGACUAAACCCAACUUUGAAGAAGAAGAUGAUAUCAGAUCUGGAAAAGUCUAUUGCUGUUGAAGUCUUUGAAAAAAAAAGAGAGAGAUUGUGGUUUUGUCUAUGAAGAGGAGACAGUGGGGAAUUGGUAUUCUUAAGUUCCAAGAAAGACCGGGACACCGCACAGCGAGGGUCCGCUUCAUGAUGAGUUUUUUUUUUCCCCUUUCGUUUUUAGAGCGGUAUUCAGCUCACAUUUGUGAGAACAGAGCAUUCAAUUUAUCAAGUAAUGACCUUUUCUUCACACAAAAUGAUUGGAUGCUGUUUCAGGUGGUUAGCUAUUUGCUAAACCUUAUCAAUCACAGAAAUACCAAAAAACAAAUUGGGGGGAUGAGAGAGAUUGCUUUUGCAGCUUCUUUGAUAAGAUGAGGCUUAAAAUUACAAUAAAGAUUGAUCUCGAUUUCAGACGCUCGGGUUUGGAUUUGACUUUGGUUUGAAAUCCAAUUGGCUUUGAAGAACGUCAAAAUUCCACAUCUUUUAAAACUUUUGGUUCUUCUGUGACUUCUGUGAGCAUGAAUUAGUCUCAAUUUCAAGAUGUACUGUGACACAAUUUAUAAUCCAGCCCUGAGGUGAAAGCAUUGUGUCUAUGAAACUAUUGCACCUGCAUCUGAUUGAAGGAAAUUAAAGAAAAUUGCGCUUGCUGCAUGAAAUUGUUUCUGAUUGGAAACGCUAUCAUCAGUUACUCCAUAAUUGCGUUUCCUUGCUGUUCCGAUUGAAAUAGAAUAAUGUGUAUCACAGUGUGCAUACAUUAAGGCCAAAUUACUGUUGGAGCCACGGUGGCUCAUCACCAGGUAAAGUGUUAAUUACAGGGGAAUGGCAGAAAUGCUCCCAGGGGCUCAUGCUGAAUGAAGUUUCAUGGAGCGACUUAGCGGACUAGAUAGGGGAUUCAUUUUCUCUCCUCCUCUUUAGACUCUCUCUCUCUCUCUUACGCACACACACACACACACACACACACACUCAUAGACUGUGUCCAUGCAGUCACAGCUGUCACAGAGCUUUGGUUUCACCCCGCUCGACCCAAAGCUUUCAGGCCAUUGUGCGCUGCCUUUCAAUUUCAGUCCGCCCCGCGGUGGAUACGAGCCAUUUUGGAAACUGCUGAGUAUAUUGAACUUUUCUGCAUGGCUACCAAAAAGAAAAAUCAGCUCAUCAGAGAAAAAAAAAAGAGCUCUUGGGGCUUCAGACUGUCUGAGACAAGGAUUGGACAAUUCACACAUCAAGACAGGGUUUCACACUUAGUUGGACAUUUAUCUCCGUAGUGUGGAAGCUGCAUGCGGGUAAAUUGCUCCAUUAAGAAGAGCAUGGAUGACUCAUAUUUCAUGUUAACCCUUGGUUCCUAGUAAGUCUGUUUUGAGGACAAAGACUCUACUGUUUACUACCAUCUAGUAGAAGGUACAAGAGUCUGCCAACACACACUGAGGUCGCUUUCACACCUGACCGAGCGGACUCGGUUCGAUUGGGGAGCUGAAAGUCUCAACAUUGUUGCAUUUAUCACUUGUUUCAGUUCUGUUUUCACACUGUGAUUUCUAAAGCGCACCGAACUUUCCGAGCAGCAUCAUGUGGCUGAAAGGUGCGCUCGCUGAUUGGACAAAGUAGGAGGGGUAUGUAACCUCACGGAUUACAAACAGGGGUGGACUAGCCGUCUUGUAUUCUGCUUCGUCACAUUAUUUUAUGGAAUGCUACAACGUUAGUGAACGCCACUGUCCCUAUAAUGCUAUUGUAGCUUGUCAGGGAUUGAUCCUGUUAUUUUUCUAACUUUGCGAUCUAACAUGUGACGACAUAUGAGCUCAGAGUUUAAGGACUGUGACUGUUGGUAGUUGUGAUUUGAUUUUGUUUAAAUAUGCAAAAUUGUGAAUUUAUGGGUUAUUGUUGUUCAGACAAUUGAGCUAAGCUAGCUAGCAGCUGCUAAUGUCAGCAGUCAGCAGGACGCCGCGCUUCCUCUACCCAAGAUGCACUGGGUAUAGCGUCAUUACGUACAUUUGGUCCUGUGUUUGGUCCGGUUAGCUUUCACACUGCAUACGAACCGAACCAGAGUUCACUUGCAAGCGAACCGAGACCCACGUUUUCAGGCGGAUAGAGUUCGUUUGUUUGGUCCGCACCAGAGUUUGGAUGAGCUUUAACACCUCCCCAAACGAAGUGGACUAUCCGAGGAAACAAACUCUGGUCUGUUUAAAGCGGACCAAACAGCUCUGGUGUGACAGCGACCUAAAAGACCAGAGAACAGUUACUACCCGCAUGCAGUUAGUUUACUAAACUCCUGACAGUACCACUGGACAAUACACUGUGCAAUAACCCCCUUAACUGUGCAAUACCAUGUGCAAUACAGCAAUUCGUACACCAUUAUCCAUUAUGUGCAAUAUGGCAAUUUUCAAACCUCAUUUAUCCCACCGACUUAUCCUCCAUUUCAUACAUUCACACUCAGCACCUACUGCAUCGCUUGUGCACUUUUGUAAAUAUUUCUCUCACACUUUUAUCCAUCUUUGAUAUUUUUUAACCUUAUUUUAUUGUGUUCCUCCCAGUACUUGUUGUGGUUUUUAUCUGUACUCCUCUGAGUCGAGCUGUCCUCUCAUCCAGGGUGUUUCAUUGCAUUGUUGAUCUUGUUUAACAUGCAUAUGAAAAAUAAGUUAAUCUUGAAAUCUUCAUCAUUUUCAUCAUCCUUAAUUUGAGUUGAUAGUCACAUUUUUAUAGAUUAAGGCAUCAAAUUUGGCCAUUAUUAUUAUUAUUUUUCUCCAUAUAAUACAAACAAACAAAAAAAAGAAUCUUGCCCAUAAAACUCUGUUGACGCCAAAAAGCUCCAGCCUUGCUAGUGUGAAAUCUGGACCAUAAACUGAUUAUAUGUGAAUUUUUAUGUGUUACCUCCAUUGGGAAAUAGGUGUAGGCUUAUAUGCCUAUACUUAACAGCACACCUACUCCCUGUUAGUAUAAAGGAUUAUCAUUUGCAUUUGUUCAAACAUCCUCAUGCUUUGGUUUAUACUCCUUUCAUUUAUAUAUUUAAAUACUUGAAUAUUUACAUUUUGCCAUCCAAUAUGCAAAGGUUAAAGUUAUUGUUUUUCCGUCAUUCAAACACUGUCUAUAAUAAUCUUCUCUCUGCAGUGUCUGUUUGCAGAGCAAAGACUGGUCUGAAUCUCUUUCCCAUUUUAAUCAGUUCAGCUGCUGAAACUAUUACAGCAGAUUUGCUCUUUCAUGGCUGUUUGCUUUUCUCCUCCCCACACCUUUAUUCCCCUUCUGCUCCUAUCUGCCGCUGGAGAUCGCCUAUUCCUACCCCCAGCUGCAGCAUGAUUGUUUUUUCACUCAUAACCCUCCCACAUCUUCACACUACUAACACACACAUACACACACCUACACUCUCACACAUAUCACUUCUUCCUUGUGUGUAUUUCAGGUUUUGAUUUGGCUUGAGACGGGGCAUGUUUGCUCUCUUUCUUUUUGCUUUGCUGCCAGUACAGAGAAAGAGCAGGACGGCUGAUUAUUGUUUGCCAGCCUUGUGUGAGUGGGAAGUGAAAGUAAAGAGAACAGAAACAGAAAGAGGAAGGGAUGCAGAGAUUGCAAGGAUUUAUUUCAAAGACAAAACCUCCUGAUGGGACAUGAGAAGCUGUGCUGGCUGCAGGGUUCAUGGCCCCACUGUGCUGCUGGAGACUGGAGGAGGUGAGACACUCAUCAACCUUUGACUUUCCCCUCAACUGGAAGAUACACCGAAUGACUGCAGUCGGAGUCAUGAUCAUAUCCCCUACUACUCAAAGAUGGCAGCUUGGUCCGUGACCCGAUGCUUCAAAAUAUAUGCUGGGAAUUUCCUUGGACAGAUGGUUUGGGUUUGGUCAGCAGAAAAGGAAAUGUUUUUAGUCGGAGAAUCAUGACAAGAGACGGGAUCCAAAGUUCAGAAAGUGAAGUUUCUUAUCAGCAAACUGACAAACAUAAGCUGGAACACAGAGAGAGAGAGAGAGAGAGGCUGGUGUGUUUGGAGUCUAUAAGAUUUAAAUUUACUGCUAUUAGAUUAUAAAGUGAACAGAGUGCAGGAAUUUGUUCGAAGAAAGAUACAACGUUUAAACAAUUUUCAGUAACCGUUUCUAAUUAACAGGUAAUUACCUAGUAACAACAUGAAGUUAUCUGUUAAUUACAUGAUAACUAAUAAGUUUUGCUAGAUUUUGAUUUCGUGUUUUGGGUCUAUUCUGUUAGGCAGUGUAUGAAUAAAACUUUUUUAAUGUUCCCUUAAAAAAAAAAAAAAAACAUUUUGGAGAAGCAUGUUUUUCUUGGACAGCAAUGACAUGCUGUCCUGCAAUCCAGGCAACAGCAGCAGAGCUGGACUACUUUCUCUGGAGGCUGAAUCAUUGUCACACAAUAGAGAAUAAGUUCAUAGAUUUUUAAAUCACAUUUUUUUUCAUAGUUAAUGACAUUUUUUGACUUGAGAUCUCAAACUUUGAGAAGUGAAGCCACUUCGUAAUGCUAAAAACUGCAGUUCCAUCAUUGUCCACUCGGGGCUGAUUCCUAAAACCCAUUGAACUCCAUUAAUAGAAGUUUGAGGGGCUUCCUUGACCUCUAACUACCACUCCAGACAGAAUCACUGCAGACUCUUCAUACUUAGGCUGACCUCACACUCAGUUAUCAAAGUCACAGACAGAUUUCCAAAAGGCAAAAUAAACUCAUUGGAAUUUUGCUAAAGUUUGGAUGUGCUCCUUUGACCUCAGUCAUUUGGAUGUUCGGUCCUCAUGUUUAAUAUCACUGCAGGUCUCUAGUCCUCUCUUAUGUAAAUGGUGUUAGUCAAUGACAUGGUGCACCCUUUCCAGCACUGAACAGGAUGCUGCAAACAAACAGGGUGAAAGAACGGGCAGAAACUGUUGGAAUUGUGGCGAAAACAGGAAAACCUCUUUGAUGUGACUUCCCACUUCUACCAUGAUAACAUGGAGAAGCACAAAUACUACUCUUUGUUGUUGGGCUGCGAGUCGACUGUACAGUUCAGCUGCAUAUUGAUACCGUUAAUCAUGUAAAUCUGGCUGAGCUGCGCCCUGCGAGUCUUUCCUUUUCUCUCAAACACACUCGUGUUGUGUGGGGCUGGGGUGUGGGGGUUACUUUGAAGAAGCAGUGUUUACAAUUCAUUAAAAACUGACUUAGCAGAGGGAGCUCUGCACGUCAGGUGCAGGGAGGAAAAAUAAUUUCAAAAGAUUGUAUUUGUAGUUUUGCGGUUGUUUGUCCUGCAAGAUCCACAAAAUCUUUAAAAAAUAUUUGGUCUGUGGAUUUAAAUCCAGGACUUGCUGACACACUAGACUCUGUCUUUUUUUCUAUGUGCUGUACGAUAAGCCUCCUACCAAAUCAUGCGCCAAAUCCUGUUUAUUACAUCCAAUAAAACGACAGUGAGGGAAAUUACACUCAUUUGUAAUUAAGGAUUAAAGCUCAGGGCCAUGGUUUUGACAAAAAAUAAUUUUGCCUGCAUAAAUAUGCCAAGGUUUGCUGUUCUUGUGCUUGUUUCUUCAUAAAACAUCAGCUAAACUUAUUCUUUCGGCUGUCUUUUUUAAUUUCCUCAAUCAUUCAAAUCGUCACUUUGAAAAGAUUAAAUCAAUUACAUUCCUGUGGAAAAAAAAGCAAACCAAGAAAAAAAACCUUUCUCCCCCUUUUCUUCCCAAACAAUGACCUUUGUGAGGAUCCUGCCAACUCCAGGAGCGAUCAGGCAGAGAGUGGUCCGGAGGGGCCGCCGUCUCGUUCUGUGCGCCUGCCAGAGUGCUGUUGCCCUUUUCGCCUACAAUUGCACUUCCAUUUCAAGCAACUGAUUGUUGUAGCCGUGCCCAGGGGUCCUGUAGAAGAGACAUUCAAAGCCGUGCCCUUCUGCUCAUUUUAUGGCCGACAGACCAUGGCACCAUUGGUCGGACCCUUGUGCCAACUAGAAUUGGACAAAGCAUCGCCAUGACUCACAUGUUAACACUUUUUUUUUUUUGAGCCGAGCAGACGAAAACUAAAGAACCAAAAACAAAGCUGGCAUCAGCGUCUAAAUACACAACAAGUUUUGUGAUUGUUUUUUUUCCUGCUGGCACGGAGAGUCAUUUCAGGAGAAUAGCAUAAAUCUGGCUGAGCUAAGCUGACUCAGACCACAGCCUGAUAUAUAGUAACAUCUGUUUUUUAAUAUCUACCACUGUCUGUGUGCUUAUCUAACCAAGACUGCAGAGAAGAGGAGGAGGGGGAGGGCGAAAGGUGCGGGGCAGCGCUUCAAGCCGUGAGAAAGAAAGAGAAAAACAAUAUUAUGAAACAAACUGCAUAAUUACUGUGAAAAAAGCACAAUUGGUUUCCAUCCUUGUGGUUAUCUCAAAUAAAGUUAGACGCCAAGAUUUACUCAGAGGAUAGCCAGCGCCUCUGGAAGAGAGAAAAAAGGAGCAGCCCGACAGCUGCUUUUGCAAAUACAGAGAGAGAAAGAGAGAGAGAGCUCUGUGGUAAAGUCAUUGUCACUUUGAAGCCUUGUGCGUGUCUCCUGAAGUCUGUAUAAAAUGCUUGAUUUUAAUAUAAUCUCGAAACGCUUGUUACCCCUCCUGGUAAAGGACCUGAUGUCCUAAGACACAGCACAGUGAGAGAGAAAGACAGGGACUGAUAAAGCGAGGAAGAGCAAGUAGCAGAUUAGCGUAGCAGAGAGCAAAUCGGAGAGUGCCGUAAAAAGGAGGAAAGACGAGAGAAAAAAGAAAGUCGGAAGAGGAAGAUAAAACUCAAUAGAAUAUUCAUGAACGUUGCCUCAUAUUCAUUCAUGCUCUGCUGCUGGUGAUGAUGGGACCUUGACACCAGAGUCCCUGCUUUGCGAUAAGCGUGCUCUCACAUGCUCCCGCCCACCCUGCAGCUCCCCCAUGGCUGCAGCAUCCUGGCCCCCUAAUCCUAAACCUCGGUUUGGAUCCCCGGCUACAGAGAUCGAACUGUCUUCUUACCCAGAAGCCUCAGAGCGCCAGUACUUAGGCUACUGUGUGUAAUAUGAUCAGGCUGGUGCAGAGCUCUUUGCCACUGUGGACAGCUUGCUGUGGAGAUAAUUAGACGGAAGGGAAGUCUUACAUGACUGACUAGAUCAGGGGGCAUGAAUGCAAAAAGAGAAAAUGAAAAACAGCAACGUACAAAGGAAAAACUUGGAGAAACCCUGUGUGUUUAGCACAGCAGUCAUCGUGGUGACAGAGAAACCUGAAUUUGUAAGUUAUAAUUUUCUGUAACUGUGAAAAGUGAAGGACUUGUAAACAAAAUAAAGGCGCCAGCUGCAAGCAGCAGAGCGCCGGCACCAGAGGAGGAAGGAAGGAAGGAAGGCUCGGGGAAGCAUCGCUGACAUUGACCCCAUACAGAGUCAGAAAAUGAAAAACAGGCCAAUUCUGUGUCUCUGUGUCUGAAUGGUUUUAUAUUUUGAUAAACUAAAUAGAAAAUGGAAAUCAAAUUGAUUUUGAAAUUUGGCAGAUGUGGUUUUGACCAUGAAAAAGAAUAACACCAAAAAUGUUCAAAAAUUAAAUAAAUCGUUUUUUUUAUUUUUGGUGCUCACUGAAAUGAAAUUCCAAUGACCAGAAGAGGAGUCUAGUUUUAGUCAAAGUUAAAGGUAUUAUCCAGGCAUGAAUUUUGCACGCCUCAAGUUACCUUGAACACAAUUUACUCUAAAAAAAAAACCUAGACAAUUUCCAGUUUCUUAGCCCUCACAACCUUGACCAAGACUUUAAAAAGUUUUUGUCUUGGGUUUAAAGUUUGCAGGUUAAAGUUGUUUUAAUGAAAAAGGUCUCAGAUUUUCUCUUUAAAUUUUAAAACAAGAAUUCAUGUUUGUAUGAUAGUAUGAAUAUAAUCCAAAAACAUUGGAAACACUUCUGAACAUAACAGUAAUUGGUGAGCACAAACAAACCAGAUGAUGGCACACACAUGCUUCACUUGACCCUGCUGGUCUCGGCUCGGCAGUUCGCCCCGUAAUGUAGCGCCGCCAUUAUCACCCCAUUGGACUUUCAUAUCGAGCGUGUGAAGGUGUAAAUUGGUGUCCCAUAAAAGCUAAACUAACUCCUCAUGAUAAUUUGGCGCCGCAUGCAUAUUUAUCCUUGAAGAGGCUGCUCUGUGGUAUGCUGUAUGCACCACAUGUUUUUCUCCACUUGAACAUAUUUUCAUUAGCAAUGGUCCGCAGGGUGCCCUGGUUUUCUUCGACCUUUGACCGUCUUUACUUUCUGUAACUUCAUGCAAUUCAAAGUUUUCAUAUUCCUAUCAUCUGAAAACAGAAGUUAAAGUCAAUUUUCAGCAAAAAGCGGUUUCAGCAUUUUGACCCCUGCGCAUUUUCUUUCUCCAGAGCUCCAGUGUGUACUAAGGCUGCCUCCAUCCAACACGCAGGACUCAGAGGGUCAUGCUGUGGUCUCAGCUACCGAGACGACCCCAUUUCAGGGAGUCAUCUCUGCAGUCGGGGUUAUUUAUUAAUGAAAAUCACGGCAUAAAAAUAAAGAAAGUGUACUGAGACGAUCCUUCCUCUGUGCUGAUGUAGCUGGUUUCAUCAGAAGCACUUCAUUGAUGGUGGCCAGGUGCAGGUCCAGGCUGUGUAAUGGAGGCGCUGCAGCGAAUGGUACUCACAGGAUAACACUGAGCAGUUCACAGCAAAGAGGUUCAAGGAUACUCUGCAGCAUACCUUUUUUACAUUCAGCCUGAUGUAAACUGCAAACUGUCAGCAAAAAGCUUUUGAAAGAGCGGCAUAAUUCAGGCACUGACAGAAGCAAAGCCGCACACACAGACUCACAAACACACACAGAUGUACACAAAGAAGUUUAAGGAAUUAUCGAGCUGGGUACAAAACAGGAAAUGCAGCUGUGUCUAAAUAUUAUGGUCUAUUAUAUUUGACAAAUAAUGAGAAACUCUGGCUGGGAUGCUGAGACAACUCUUUCGGGGGCUUAAAUGGGGAGCUGCAUCUCCCCAGCGUUGUCUAUUUAGUGUAAUCCAGUCAGUUGCGUAACAACAACAAAAUCCUUCAAUUUGGCAACCUUGUAAUUCCCAUGCUCUUCUUCAGUGGUGUCCUUUUUUAGCCGGUAUUGCUGGGAAUAAUGUAGCUACGUAUUGAGCCAUUUCACAACUCACAAUUUGAGUCUGAGGCAAGAACUUUUUAGCUGUGUGUGUGAUGAGGCAAAAAUCACUGUGGAGGUGUUGUUGGAUGGGCUUAUAGUGCAUCAGGCAGUCACAUUACUAACUAAUGUUGAGUCACUGCUUUCAUAACUGCUUAUAACACAAUCAUGUAGAUAUCAGAAGUUGGAAUUUUGCCUGACGCCAACUGGAUGUCAGCAGCUACAUAUUAGUCUGGUUUUAGUCAGCGUUACCGUUGGUCAGUUUUAUGUUUGUUUUUAUGUCGCGUUCACGCCGAACGUGAGUAAAGUCAAUAGCGUGAGUAAUUUUACGUGUAAAGUCAAUGCAAAGACACGAUUAGACGCAAAUGACACUAAUUUCCAAAUGUGCAAAUGACACCAAUUGAGAGGCCUAUUCACAUGACUUGAGCAGGUCAUGAUGUGAAUUUGUGUCCGAUGCUCUACUUGCUUCCAACGAUUAUUCGCAAGAGUUAAGAAUAUCUCAACUAGGGGUGUCCCGCUACAACUUUUUGACUUCCAAUAUGAUACCGAUAUCGUAGCCUUAAAUAUUGACCGAUACCGAUAUUGUCCGAUAUUGGCAUAAAUUGUGCAUUUCAAGUUUAGCACUUUGCUGCAAUGUCUUUUUCAGACUUAAACAAAAAAUACUACCACAAGGCUGUCAUCCGACACAGGCAGUCCGUUACAGACUCUGUUCCUGCACUCCUAUCUAGCAGCACUCUAGCAUGCAAAGCCCACGUAAUCCCCACCAACAGUGUGUACUAAGGUACUAACAAAGUAACAAGGAGUUGGAGUGAUGUUGUAUGGCAGUAUUUUUCGUUGAAGUUCAAAAAAGACGUUGCAGCUGAGUGCAAAAGCAAUACUGAAGGCUACAAUAUCGGUAUCGUAUCCGAAGUAAAAAGUUGUAUCGGGACAGCCCUAAUCUUAGCUGUACGAUACAACUUCUCUGUAAAACCGAGACAGGACUAGAAAAAGAUCUCAACUAGAGGAAAGAGAGUAUGGUUGUCUGGUUAUCUGGUAACUUAUUUAAACUCAACAGAUUUGACAUCAACACAACAGUAAAGAAAGAUAUUCCUCCUGGUUGUAAACGGUGUAAUAAAAAAAAUCCCUCACUGCGUUUAAUCGUCUUGGCUGGAAACAUCUUUGUUACUUACACCUCCUCAUGCCACAGAAAAAAAACUGAAUGCCAGAAUCUUGUUUUGAAAAGUGCAAUAAGUCGCAUCUAAAAAACAGAAAUCCCCUCCCUACUGCGUUGAGCUGCAUUUAAUUGAAUCCUGCUAUUGUUUGCUGGAUGACUUAAGGUCUGAAUAUGAGUCUAAAGAAAUCAUAAACCAGGUUUUGGAAGGAGAAAGUGGACCCUAAGGUAGCUCGGCUCUGUUCAAGUUAAUGAGCAGUUAAUGUAGCACAGUAUCCUGAUUGCCAACAGGUGUUAUGUUGAGUUUUGUCGCCUUGUCAAAGAUUGCUUCCGUAGUUCUGAUCAAUAGAGGCCUGAUUCCACGAAGAAAUCAGAGUUUAGUGAGCAUAAACAGUUUUCUUUCUAAUACGCUCUAGGCGUCAAAUCUUCAAAUGGCAAUGAGAAACAUGAACAGAAGCGGAGUUAGUUUGACAAAAAUAAGGUUAAGUCUGCUUUUCCAACAUGGCAUCUGCUGUCAAUAAGGCCAAAACUCCAACACAAGAACCACUGAGUGACGUUAAUGAGGCGACGUCCCUGCUUCAUACAGACUAUGACAUUUAUGUGUCAUCAUUUCAUGUAUAUCUACAGCCUGAGUAGCUGGUUGACACUUUUUUACUCACAGUUUGUUUGAGUCAGAAUCCUUCCUCUUCCUCUCUGCAGCAUUGAACACAAAUAUUGUAAUACAGACGCAGGUGCCACCUGUGAAAAGGGUCUGAGUACACACUCUUCCAGUCAAUGACAUGUACAUUUGGUUGGCUCCUCAUAACAAGACACUAUCCUAUUCAGCAUCACUCUCUUUCAGUCCCAUUUUGUGCUUCGUCUGGCUUAAGCUUUCAGUUCCUCUUUCCUCUUUCCACUGCCUGCACCAUUCACGCUGCCGCAUGUACACGUGUAACCAUGGUGACUGGCAAAAAGGAGCUGUAUGGUGUCAUUCAACUUUUGUGGAUGACAUGUAAUUUGGAAAUGUGCAAAGUUGGAUGUUUGGAGGGAUAUUUUCGGCUUUGUGCUUCUUUUGGUGGUUGACCUCCAGUUUCGUAUUUUAUUGAAUUGAAAGAAAUACAAACCUCAGUUCCAGGGAAGCUUGGACGAAAACAUGAAUAAAAACAGAAUACAAUGAUUUGAAAAUCCUUUUCAGCCUUCAUUCAACUGAAUACACAACAAGGCCAAGUUGAAUAAUGUUCAAACUGAUAAAAGACUGAUUGUUUUUUUGUUGGAAGAAAAAAAAGCUGGGACAGGACCAUGUUGCUCCUUUUAGCAAUAAUGGAGCCUUCAUCGAUGUGACAGUCGUCCAGACCAUCACAGAUGUUGGCUUUUGAUCUUUGACCUGAUAACAGUCUGGAUGGUCCUUUCCCUCUUUAGCCCAGAGGACACCACAUCUGUGACUUCCAAAAACAAUCUGAAAUGUAGGCUCCUCAGACCACUGUGGUCAGUCUAUCUCAAAGAUGCACCAAUCCAUUUUCUUCCCCGAUCCGAUCCGACAUAGAUACCUGGGCUGAGCUUAUUGGCCGAUAUCCAAUACCGAUCCAAUACUACUGUUGAAUGAAUGAACUGUAUAUCUUGCCCUGUCAGUGAAGGCAUCAGGCUUUACAUUAGCCUUGUUAAAAAAUAAGGUAACAAAUAAACACAGAUAUGAAUUUACUUUGAAUAUUAUUUAUUAAAAAAUUACCAAUUGCACAUUAGCACACAGCAAAAAGAAGUAAGACUUUCAUUUAAACAUUUAGUGCAAAAGGAUAGACAGACAUAGGCUACAUUCACACUGCAGGAUAUGAUGCACAAUUAAGAUUUUUUGUAAAAUCUGAUCUUUUUGUGCGGUCGUUCACAUUACAACAAUGAAUACGCAUCCAACAUGAACGGAAUAGGUCCGUGAAGUGACCCGCAUGCGCACAAAACACAAAUUGCUUUCCGCGCCUGUUUGUGUUGUCGAAUAACGGUGACGUUUGUCGCAUAUUGAUGACGUAUAGGUCGGAUGAACGCGACCUGAGCGUCAGUCAUCAGAUAUCCAAUCCAGUUAAUUUGUCAAUACCGGAGCUGAUAUCCAAUCCAGAUAUCUGAUCAGUGCAUCCCUAGUCUAUCUCAGAUGAGCGCAGUGAAGCUGGCAGUGUAGAGAUUCAAGUCUUGUAGAUGUACAGAUGAACUGCGUUAACUGACAAUGGUUUUCUGAAGUGUUCCCGAGCCCACGUGGUAAUAUCUUUACAAAAUCAUGUUGGUUUCAAUGCAAUGCUACUUGAGGAGUUGAAGGUCAUGGUCACUUGGCGCAGAGAUUUCACCCAGUUGUUCACAGAGUGGUGAACCUUUAUUGUGCAUGAUGUGUACAGGGAUGCAGCUCUCUUACACUACACCCACUCGAUGACCUUCAGUUUCCUAGAAUUUACAUCAUUUCAAUCAUAAUGAAGUUUCCUCUUUUUUUGUAUCCCUUAUUCAUUAAACAUUAUUUGUCCACGUCAAGAAGUUUUCAAACUCCAGUACAGCAGCAAUCCCAUCUACUAUUUACAUCAUAAACUUGGGUAAAAAGAAGUUAUAUGAGAUGAAAGAUUGACACCAUCUGCUGCACUGAUACAGCUGUGAACGUUUGCUUAUCAGGUACCUGCAGAACUUCAGAUUUAAUGAGUAAUAUCUGUGCAGGUACUACUUAUUUCUUUUAUUACCAUCUUGAGUUUCAGUCAUUUUAGUGAUAUCCUUCAAAACCCGAGCAUCUGAAGCUAAGAACAUUUAGAGAUCCUUUUAUUUGGAGAACCAACACAUUUUAAAAAAAUACCUCAAAGCCGUGCCGGAGUCUUAAAUCAAAGCAGUGCUCCUGCAGUGCUGAUGUAUCACAUCUUAAAGUUUAGAUGGAUUUACUUUGUUCUUUGCUAUUAAAUCAACAAAUCAAUGUAGUCCAAGGCGUCUGCUGGAUGCAAAGGUUCAAGAGGGCAGCCGUAGAUGUAGUUAUAAAAAAUGGAUAUAUACAUUUAUACAGUAUUAAACAAUUGAGGCCAAAGCACAGGACAGUUUGAACUGUUCUGACUCUUUGUUAUUUAAAGUGCGCCUUACAGCCCAUGCUUUUAACACCACACUUUUCCAUAGCUUUGGCCAUAUUGCGUGCAUAGUCUCUAAACAUAGAGUGCACCCUCUCCACUGCCUCAGCAUGGUUUCAUAGUCUACACAGGUUGCUGUCUCUUUAUGCAAGCUGGAGCUCUCCUGUACGUGCAGUAAUGUCUUUUUCAUGUUUCAGUCUUCAUCCAGCCACUUGAGCUAAGCAGACUCACUGGACUAAAGUCACAAGUCCAAGUAACUGGUGAAACGUAUGCCACUGACACUGAUGUCUAUCAGAGUGUGAGUGUGUGUGGAAACUAUAUUAGACAGGGUAGGAGGGAAUAUGUCUGUAAAGCAGGGGUGACUCAGGAGGACAUACCAUGAUUCCAAGUGUGCUAUGGCCGGGGCGAGGUUGAUCAUCAAGUGCAAUACAUUCAGAGAUUUUGCCAAUAAUCGCUUUUGCCUUUGGACCGUCUCUGGCAAACUUUCUGCAGUUUUCAAGAGCCUUAUGUAUAUGCAUGAUGGUACUCAUCUUUUUCUCAGCGCUAAUGCCAGCUGAGGCUACUGCUACUUUCUAUUCCCUGACGAAUUUUCAGGUGAUUUGUAUGUUGUUGUUUUUUUGUGUUAGAAUCUGAAGAGCCUUUUUCUCCUGUGGGAAUCACUGCAGCAUGUUUCUUACUCUGCAACAGCAUUAUCCUCAUCGGGAACGGCGUAACAUUCUCACACCACUGACACCAUGUUGACUCUUUUUGUCCGCUUGCUCGGCUGUAUCACUCUGAAAAGACAUUGUCCGGAUGGUAAAUUAUGUUGCACUUUAACCUGUGUAAAAUGCUCAUAUGAGCUGCAUAUGCCACGAACACUUCAGCAUACAUCAUUGAUGCCGGCUGUUGAAUUGUGCAGUGGAGACCAGACAGGUCGCCCUUUUUCUGUAUAGAGCAGAGGAUGUGGUGUUCGUGUCUUUUAGAGAUCCACUCUAAUGAAAAUCAUGUUCUUCUUGUUGUCUACAUGUUCAUACAGCAUUUUUCAUUUUUUUUUUUUUGUGUUGUCUUGCUUUUUUUUAUGAUGGUUUAUUUUUAUUUAUUUUUUUUUUUUACAGCAUUUUUCUGACACUACAGGGCAUAUCAUGAGAAAAAUAAGUGCAAAAUUGCAUUUCUGAGUAAAGUGAGAUAAGAUUUUCUACGUAGAAAAUCCAAGAAAAUCCGCCCCUGGAGCCACGCUAUGCAAGCCAGACUCAGAGAAAUAGAAAGGACAAUCCUGGAAUAAGCAUGUGCGGUAGCGUAUUGCAAUGCUCGUAAAAAAAACUAAUUAUGAUACUCACUUUCAUCACGCCCCCGAAGACAUAAGUGUCCGUGAGCUGAAUAGCUACUUCUACGACAUCAGCGAUGUUAGGCUGCAAGCUAAUGUGAAGAGAAGCUUUGUCUCCAUCCAUGACUCAGAGGAGAAUUGCUAAUGAUCUACUGGAGCUCUGCAGAAGAAAAGCCCUUGAAAAUGACACACGUAUCGCAAUUUUGGCUUAAAACUUCAUAAUCACAAUUAGAAGACCAUUGAGAACACUUAAAGCAGUAAAGAAAAAGAAGAUCAAAGUGGGACUUAGAAGUAAUUUUCAGACCAUGUGGUAAUUUCUACAACAGUCAUGUAUGUUUUUAAUCCCAUGAGGCCUUAUUUUUUCCUUUAUUAGUUAUUUGAUGCAACAACAUAUGUGGCAGUGUGCAUCAAGAUAGCAGGAGUGAGGAGAAGGGUUGAUAUCAUCGCACAGGUAACCAAUCAUGAAGUCCUCACCAGCACAGACAGGAGUUAAAGUUUCAUAUUCAUCCUGUGUAUCUAAACCUCAUUUCAUGGCAAUCUAUGUGAUAGUUGUAGACACCAUCACCUAAAAUCAAUCUCCUUUAAGAUCUGUAUUCAUUACAGCUGCUGCUCACAGUGUGGGUAAUGCCAUUAUCUUCUCCCCUUGAAGAAGGCACCAUGUUUUCAAGAAAUACACUCAACAUUUCAUUCUCCACUCAGCAUGUGGCGUCAAUAUUGGGGUCUAGAAGAGUGAUAACUAUAAUUGUCAAGUGACUUAAUGCUGAUUAGAAAAGGGUUCAGUUGAGAUUACAGCACAGAGAUAAUCAAUCUGAGAUCAUGGAGAUUGACAUCCAACAUGAAGCUGAACCUUCAAUACAUCGGUUUAUCAAUAUCCCAGAUAUGUAAGCUUCACCGUAUUGCGCUGUGCCUCUGAUAACAUCCACUUCAUAUCAUUUCCCUGCAUUGACGCCCAUCAUGCAUCAGGCUCUUUGUCUCAUUUUAUGAUCUAUCUCCAACCAGAUCCAUCCUUUCACUCAUCAUCUGUCUUCAGUGAAGAUCAUGAGACAGCUGGAAAACAAGCCCUUUGCCGUAGCUACCGAUUGAAGUGGCAUCAAAGUCUGAGCCCUUUGCUUUCAGUACAUCACGUCUGCUCAUGUGCGUGUUGUGUAUUUAAUAACAACCUUCCUGCUCACUCUCAGAUGCUAAAGGGUUAUUUAUCACCAGGAUCAUCGUUCAGGGAUAUGAUCGCAAAGUCCAACCCAAUUAACGUCUGCUUUUAAACUUUACCAAAAGUUGCCAGCUACUUUGUAUUCACAGUUUAUUCAUUAUAUAGAUAGAGCAGUUUGAAAACACUCUUCUUUUAAUUGUUUCUGUUUGAUUCUGAGGCCAGUAAUUAAAAGAGAAACAGACAGAGGGGAGAUAAAUCCAGAGUUAAACUGCCAAAGUGAUCUUCAAAGUGCCCAAACAAGGAGUGGAAGCAAUGACUAGCACACAAAUUCAAGCUUUUCUUUAUUUUAUUUGUUCCAAACUGCAGAAGCCAGGAUGAAAUUUAUGCACAUAAUUCUAUAUUCAUGUGAAUGGAAACAUUAUGGAGAAAGUAUUUCACCCAGACUGAAUACUUGUCAAAAGAGCAACAAAGCAACGACGCAGAAUCUGUUCUUCUUUCCCCCAGCAGCCUGGAAAUAACCCAUCAUCAAGACUUUUCCGUGGGGAUGGCAGAGCUUGAUGCAGCCUCUGAUCACACAAACACUGAAAACACUGAAGCUGUACAUGCACUGCUGUAAGCAUGGUGGGGAAAAUGAAAUAUCUACCACAAGUGAUUUUUUAAAAUAAUCUUUAAAUAGAUAAACUGACACAAAAUACUCAAUUACCCCUUAAUCCUCGCUGUAUAACCAAAUAAUCCUGAAAAGGUGUCAAUGAGAUGUUGGAAAUGGUUGGAAUAUAAAAUAAAAGCACAUUGAGUUCAGACCGAAGUAAUCGUAUCAGUUUAGUGUUAUCCAUCCCAUUAAAAGUGUAAUUUAAACACCUUUUAUAUAUAAUUGCUGCUGUAACCUCAUAUUUAACGGUAAUAAGUCAGGCACCAUUUUCCAUGUGACGAAUAGAUAACCACAUUCACAGAGCUACAAUAUCCUGUUACACAUAUUUCUGCCCCCAACAUCAAAGCAGCAUUAUCUCUGCAUUGACCCGCAGGACGACCUGCUCUUUUGACGGGUUAGGCUGCAAAAGUGCUGAGUGGCUGCUUCCUACAAAUGGGAUUUCCUUAUCGCUCGUCUGAGAGUCCUCUGUCACCAGCAAUAGAUGACUCUCUCCAUUUCGCCUUGUUAUUCAUUUCCGGGUGUUCUUUUUUACCCCUCACCCUCUUCCUCCCUGACAGCUCAGAAAGAUAAAACAGUGAGCCAGUUGUUGGCUGAAGUGCAGGGGCGUGCCCGGCCACUUUAGAGCAGGGUGGCCCACCUGGGGUACAAUUCAUACAGGUGAGGUAAGGGAAUGUGUAGAAGGCAAGCAGCAAUCUCUGGAUCUUUUAAAAAGUGCAGUACCUUGAGGGUCCACUUGAGACACUCAAAGCGAAAUACACAUCUAUUUAAAAAAAGCCAACACCAACAACAGUAAUAAAUAGAGGUGGGAGAAUAAUCGAUUAAUAUAAGUAUCGCGAUUUUUUGUUUUACAAUUUUUAAAUGUUCAAAAGUCGAUUUUUUUUUUAAGAAUAAAUCUAAAAAACUGACUUGCAUAUGAUGUGUAAUUUUUCCGGGAAAUAUGGUUCCGAGAAUAGUGAGUAGACAAUCACAAUCAUUCAGCUGUUACACUGGUGUUAAAAAUGCAGACUAAAAAUCAAGAAAAUCGACAAGAUCGUAGAAUCGCAAUUCAAAUUGAAUUGACAUCCAAAAAAAUCGUAGAAGAAUCGAAUCGGGAGAAAUGCAUAUCGUCCCAGCCCUAGUAAUAAACAUGUUUACAGCCUGGUUCAUUUCUGUACAUACUUAACAGGGGAUUAACUUUUUUUAUGAGUUAUUGAUUAUGAAGACAUUAAGAUUGACGUAAUUUUUUUUUCUCAUGUUCAAAUUUAUGAUUUGAACUCUUUGGAGAAGUAAGUGCUUGAUGAAUGACUGCCAUGACUUUAUGUUGAGCUAGGGUUUGGUUUUUUGGUAGGGUGAUCAUAUGUCCUCUUUUACUCGGACACGUCCUCUUUUUUGAGGACUGUCCAGCCUUGCCCAAAUUUGUCUGGGGGAGUUUAUAAAAUCCUUCAAAUGUCCGGGAUUUUGUAUGGAAGUUUUGAGUUUGUGUCGCCCCUGCUUAGUCAUGUCCUCUUAUUUUAGUCAAAGUGUUUUACUGCUGGUACACCUGCACUUACAGAACUCAAACACAACAGUCAAAAAAAUGGUUAGGAAGUACAAAUACUCAAUAGAUUAGUAAUCUGAAGAAGCACCGACUUUAUUGUUGUUGUCACAAUAAAUCUGAAUGGCUGGAUCAUCUCUCAGAGGGCUAUCACAGCUUAUAACUCACUAGCAGUCUCCUACUCCUUCUUUGUCUCUCCUCUGCUCAUAGUGUGUGGCAACCAUUUUUCUCAAAAGAAAGAAGAAGUAUCCUGAUAUAUAGCAGCAGUCCUUCUUGCCAGGCUCAGAACUCUGUAUCAAAAACCAAUGGGUGACCUCACUGAGACUUCUCCCAUGUUUUAUUCAGUCUAUGGUAGCCUCCUACUUGUUUCUCCACUGUGAAUAUAAGCGGGUUUGAUAUCCGCCCACUGUUGGUUUAGUUGGUCUGUUGGUUUUCUGGAGCCGGAGGGAAUCGUGUUUAGAUCAAUGAGUAGUACAGGGGACAAGCAAAAGAUUGGAAAACACCAAUUUUAAAAGUAAUCAAUGAACACCCAGGGUCAAUUCAUCAGCAAGGAAAUUGAGCUUAGGUAACCAACAUGCUCCCACUGGAGUGAGACUCCGCUGCUGUGCUGGUGGCUGACCAUAGUGGUUCAUUUUUUAUAUUACAGAAGAUAAGAGAGUUAAUUAAAUUUCACAGACGAACUCGGCCAAUACAUCUACAAGAGAGUGCUGGGUUAGAUGAGAGGUUGAUCUUUAAUAAAUCUGUUUCACUAAUACAGGAGUUAUUGACAUUUCCAUAGCUUAGAAUCUUCACAUGAAUGUAUUCUGUGGCUUAAUCUGUGAGUGCAACAUCAGCAUCGUCAUGUGUUUUGGCUGCAUCAGCACAAUAUGUCAGUGCCCGUUUGAGGCAAUCUUUUGGCUGCCCAUCUCAUAAUGUGUAGACACGGCAGUAUUUAUCUCAGGAGGGGCCAUGCCACCCCAUGCCAUCCCCUGUAUGCGCCCAUGCCUGAGUGCAAAUGAGGGUUUCAAAUUCAGAACUGCACCGUGCUUUCCUUCCAGAUCUUCAGAGGCUUUGGAGACAGAAAUGAGGAUUGCAGAUAGCAUCCAAAUUCGAUUUUAUAAUUAAAAAUUCAAAGAGGCAUUCAAUUAUUUAACAUGCAAAUUAGGAAGAUAAUUUGGCAUUUUUUAAUUCAAAAAGAGCCUCUGCAGUGUUAUCAGCCUCACUGAUUUAUGCUUGUAUGCUAAUCUGCUGUGUUUAUAAUCCAACAUUUGCAAGAAUUAUGCUUAUCAACCACACACUGCUAUUGGCUUCAGUGUGGUGGUCUGCUGGAGGAGCGUCUGGGACCUGUGCCAGCCCAGCACCAUGUCAUUAUCUCCAGUUAUACAAAUGCUGGGAAAGCGGUGAGAAAUGGGCAAUGCGUUGCAACAGUUGUAAAUGACGGGGGAAGUCAGGACAUGCUCUGCACAAACACCAGUAGCCGGCAACACGAGCACGGAUUGAUGGCAGCGCAAGCUGUUGGAAAUGCCCAUUUUUCUUUCUCGGAGCUCAGCCUUUUCUGUCAACUCCGACACAUUUGCAUUUCCCAUCCAUCUGUUUUGGGAAAACUUGCCUGGAAAAGAGGGAAAUGAAUGGAAGGAACAAUGGUUUCGAGAUUAAAUUUUUCAUACCGGGCCACUGACGUAUUGAUGGAAAAAAGGAUAUGUCCUUAUAUUUGAUGGACGAACGUUGAUAGUCCAGAUAUUUCUUCUGUUGUGUUCGAAGUUCCUGGGCAAGGUCAUUAGCAAGUCAUUACAACCUCCCCUUCGCUCAUUUCUCACCUCUUUAAUGAUGCGUGUACACACCUGCCACCAGACAGAGUGAGAUGAGUGAAAAAUCAUCCGUCUCUUUCCUGACCUCCUCCCAUGCUCUCGCUCUUUUAAGUCCUCGUCUCCACCCCUCUAUUAACACCGCCUUUCCUCUCCUUUCUGCUCUGUAAUGUUGACUAGGUCGGUGCAAUAUCUUUCCUCUCCUCCUUGACAUUGAUUCUGGUGAUUUAAAUCCUCUGACUGGUGACACAAAUUACCUGUAAUUUACAGCCUGCCCCUUCAUUUCACUCAUAAUAUGCUCCAGUGAGGAUUCAAUGUUCCCUCUGUGUCUCUCCCUUGUUUUUUUUCCUCCUCUGUUCUCUGCUCUUUGUUCUCCUCUUUCUCUUUUUCAGUCUCCUUGCACUCACACCUUUACUGCAUUAGGAUUUAUAGUCCGGGCUGUUCUGUGUAGCAAAGAGAAAAGCCUAUGCAAGCACGCAGUGAACUCCGAUAAAGUCUAACGCCCUUCUUUUGAAUGGGCGCUGGGAUGUAAAGCUGAAAAUGAAGUCUGACUCAUACUACCAGAGUAGACAAAAGCUGAAUCCAUCAAUACUGAGCUUUUCUAUUGUUUGCAUGCAUCUAAAGGAAGGCCUUUCUUCCUGUAUAAUCAUGAGUAUUUUUUGAGCUUACCCUGAAUCGAUCAGUUUUUAACUUCAACCGAUAGAGAAAGAAAGGAGAUAUUUCAUCUGGAGACAUGUAAGGAUUCUGUCAAGUCCAAGGGGAUUGGGUUUCUCAAACACUGUAACUGUCAUUUCCCGUAAAGUUGAAAGGAAUUCAUUGGUUGGCUCAAACUGUGACAGCAUGAAUCCUGUCUUUUGUUUCCCUCCCUCAAGGUGAAGUCAUCACAAAGCAUCACAUCAGACAUGUUUUUUUUCUCUUUAGACUUCAGGCUUGAUCAGAAAAUGGAAAAAAAGAAGAGGGCUGGACUGUGUCACAAAGCAGUGAGUGGAAAAUGUCCUUUGUCAUUUAAGUGUCUGCAGGUAGAAGCCUUGCAGAUAUGGCACUUCAAGAAUGGAGCUUCCAAUCACCUCUGAAAUGGAAUUAGGGAGCGCUUCACGGCUCGCUGGCAUUUGAGCGCUUUCAGCAAUACGCUGUGAAGGGGAGGACGCUUAGACAGCUAAGAAAUGAUACAGACACCCGGACUAUGGGCGCAGGGAAGCUGAAGAAUGCACGUCAAGUAUUUCUGCUGCCCUUUCUUUGUAUGUUAGGGUUGGCUCAGGCAGAAGGAGUUUUAAAAUACAAUUAAAAAAAUAGGCUGCAACAUGCAUAUAAAGAUGAACUCCAAUUAAACGAUAACGAUAUAUAUAGAAAAUUAAUGUCCCUCAAUAUCAAUUGAAAACACGGAUAGUAUCCUUUCUGACAGUCUGCAUUCUGCCAUGUUUUGGUAGGCUGUACGAAUAGCCAAUGAAAAGGGGAGUUGCUCCAGUUCUGCUUUGUGCUGAACCAAUCAUGUGCUGAAUUAGAACCAAGUAGCAAACAACUGAAUAGUAGCAGGCAGCAGCUACAUGCAACCAUAGCAUUUUAACACAGCACUGUUGGUAGGAAAAGAAGAACAUGAGUGCUACCCCCCAACAGAUGACAACACCGUCGACAACACUGGCACGAAAACGUCGGUGGUGUGGAGAUAUUUUGUUUUUUUUAAGGUCGGACAUGAAGCAGAGUCAUGUGCAAUGCAAAUUAUGUCGAGUACAUGUUCUCACAAAGUCUGGGAAUACCUCAAAUCUUUUUCACCACCUGAAGCAGUGCCACGCGGCAGAGCACGCACAAUGCAAAAGGUUACAAACCGUAAGCGGAUCAAGGAGCCCAUGGCGCCUGUGCAGUCGAAACAGCCGACCAUUCAAUCCGCUUUCUCAAGUGCAAUGCCUUACGACAAAACGCCAAAGAGACACAAAGACCUCACAGAUGCAUUAGCUUAUUGUAUUAAAAAAGACAUGUCACCAAUAAGCACCGUUACAUUUCAUUUUUUAUAUCCUGAUAUAUCGAUGGAUAUGAAAACAAUAUAUCAUGAUAUACUUUUUCCCGUAUCGUCCAGCCCUACUCCAAGGGUAUAUAUCCUUUUUAUUUUGGAUCCAAAACAGUGCGGUAUAUUUUAAAGUAGCAGCACAGAGAUUCUCACUGAAAUACUUCCCAUUUUUGAAGACUUGGUCAACAAACAUUGUACGGCUUGAAGAACUGAAGGUGAAAUGUGUCCUUUAGUUUCCAACAAUGAGUUAACAAGGUCUGCAUGUACCUUCCGUCUUUUGUGCCAUUGAGGUCUGGAUAAGGAAGUUUUCGCUCUGUUAUAAAAAAGAAAAAAAAUCCAAAUAUCAAACAUCAAAUCUUUUUAAUAAUAGCCGCUCUGGCUCUGGUGAGUCACUGCUGAGCUAUGACAUGGAUAAGAUUUUUCACUUGAUUGUUCAAAUGUGGUGCAAAUCAGCCAAAAACUCCUGAAAUGUGAGUCAGCCUUACAUUCCUCUCUGCCUGAGGUCUCCUGCUCUAGUCAGUCUAUUUUUCUUCUUCGUCUUCAUGUCUUGGCAAUUUUCUCUUUUCUUCCAGAUUGCAGUAUAUCUGACUUGGAUUGUGAUUGAGACCUUAUGAACUUCAAAGUUACAGUGUCGAUAGCACGGGGAGGGAUGUGAAUACAGAUAACUUGGAGAAGUAACUUCUGUGAUGGAGUGUAUAGAUCUGUUUGCCCGGGUGACCAUCGUCAAGUCUGUGAGAAAACUUUUCUAGCUCCAAAACAUUUGAGUAAUGAUAUAUUUUCGAAAUGUCUCUCCGUGUUUCUUUGACUGACUGCAAACUACAAAAGUUCUCAAGGCACCGGCUCUCUGACCUUUUAGUACUGAUCAAAGGAAACCGCCUCUACUCAGAGAGUCAGGGAGGACCCAUGGAAAGAUGGGCAGAUGAUAAGGGGAAAGGGCUCGGGUGAAAAAAAGCUCUCCACCUGUAACACAAACCUUAAAGGGAUAGUCUAAGUGGAGUUGAUGGUGAAUGUAUCAUCCACAGAAGAUCCUGGUCAGCCUGGCCCCUUUGUUAAGAAACCAUAAUGGAGACGGGUUCGACUUAACCGUGUUCAGCUAAGUUAAAGCUCCUGUGGGGAGUUUUUGAUAUCAAUGAAAUGGAUUCAGAUAAGUACUGACGCCUUUUUAUGGCACACAAAAGCAAACAAGAUCAUCAGAGACAAGACUGUAGAUUUUUAUGCUCCAGUUUUGAACAUCUGAAAGUGGUUCAUGAAGUGGAGAAAAAGUCAAUUUUUCACUUCUUUAACAUUAAAUACUCAAGAAUUCGACUGUCAGACAUGAGAUUUCUUUUAGGUAGAAGACACAACUUAAGAGCUCAAAGAGGGCAAGAUAAGCAAAGACUCCACAGGGGUGCACCAAAAUUGACACUAAAAAGAAAAUUCCUCACUGGAUUUUUAAAGAUGGCUUAACUCAAACUAAAGGUGUUAGCUGUAUUUAAGAAGAUUUCAGCUGAGAAAUUCAGUUAAAGGGCCUGUGUUAUUCCCUUGGUGUGUCAAUUGACCCAUCAGUCUUUAUUUAUACAGAGCCAAUUCAAAGACCUACUCCCAUCCCAUCUUCACAACCUUCAUUUAAUAGGCAGAAACCCUGAGCAGAACCAGAAACAUGUUAGAUGGAAAGCAGGCAGGUCCAUGUCUGUAGCAGUGAAUCAGAGGAAUCGAUGACAUGAUGGAGCUCAGGGACUCCCAGAAAAGACUGCAGUUGUGGCAUUUAUGAAACAUGAUGACUCAAAGUUAAAGGCGUAAAUGUUCUUCCUUGAGCUUAGCAAAAGUUACCAUGUGAUCUACCAUCGUAUUACACAAAAAGGUUACAGAGGCUCCCUAAUUUUGCUGGAAAAUUCCACGAAAAACAACUCCAGGAGGCUUUCAUAAAAUCACAUCGGAGACUCUUCUCAGCAGAGAGGGAUUUGUAGUAAACAGAACGCUUGACAUUUCUAUUUUCAUUUUGAGUUGACCUCUAAUUUCUUACCGAAAAACAGAAUGAAAAGGGAGACGAUUCUGUGUUGCUUGGAUUUGUAUUCAGUCAGCGCAGACCUUUUAUAAGACAAUAGUCGUACUUUGUAAGCAACAUAAAACAGAAAACAUUUCUCCCAUUAAAGUCUCAGGGUGAUAUUUUAUUUGCCGUAGUAAUUUUUUCAAUCUUUAGUCUUUUCUUUUGACUGGUCGUAUCUACCUGUAGGAUCUGUUUUGCUCUUAAUAAGAUUGAUUUGAUGUGCAGUUAGACGCAUUAAAGUGAUGGAACGUCUCAAAUCGAUAGUUGGCAGUCCUGCACUUUCAUUGCACUUAAAUUACGGCGGCAAUACUACCGCUUAAGGUUUCACCUUUAACGUCUUACGACUCCAAUAGAUUUCAGGUGUAAAAGUACUUGAUUGAAUUGCUGAUGCUUUGAGUGAGUGUGUUGGUGUGUGUUUUAUGUGUGUGGGGGUUUUCCUGCAGUGUGUGUGUGUCUGUUUGUGUGUGUGUGUUUGUGCUUCAAGUAAAAAGAAAAUGAUAGUGCUGGCAUGUUUAUUGUUAUGUGAAACCUUAACAGCACACACGGACACACACACAUCUAUACACAACUUUAAUCUCCCUUGAGCAGUUUGUACUCGCCUGAUAUUGUGAUGCAUUACAAGCAGCAAUCAAUCCAUGAAGAGUCUGAGCCGGCUUCAGCACCAAAGGGAUUUCAGUGACUCUCCAGUUGAGGGUUUAGUAUUCAACUGCUGUGGCUUCUAUGUAUCAAGGUUGUGAUAGUUUGGGAUUUUUCAUUAUAGUUUUGUUUCAUUACAUUUGGACUUUUUAUUCCUCUAAUUCAGCUAGUUUUAAUUAGUUUUUAGAGCGGGUUCGUUCAUUUAAAUUUUUUUUUUUCUAAAUGAUUAGUUUUAGUUUAGUUUUUGUGUUAUAUAUGUUUAUAUUUAUGUAUAUAUAUAUGUAUAUAUUUAUACAUAUAUAUGAAUAUAUAUGAAUAUAUUUAUACAUAUAUAUGAAUAUUUAUACAUAUAUAUGAAUUUAUAUAUGUAUAUAUAUAUAUAUUUUUUUUUUUCUUUUCACUUUAUUGUUCAUUGAAAAAAUAUAAACAUAUAUUGAAAAAAGGAUUAAAAAAAUAGAACUAAUACAAAAACUAAACUAAAACUAAUCAUUUAGAAAAAGAUAAAAAUAAAAAUGAACAAACCCGCUGUAUCUAAAGAAAUUUUAUAUAAGACUCUGUCGCUUUCUCCCAAGUUUUGUCACCAUUUUGCCAGGUAGAAUGGUGAUGAGAAACCGACUCUAAACAAGAAGUGAACUGUGAGGUGCUGCUAGCUCACGUAAAAUUGCUCGUGCAAAAUAAAUCAAUAUCAUAUCAAUUCGAAAUUGAUGAAAACGAAGGGAUUUCUAGCUAUAAUUUUAACACGUUUUAGUUCGUGUUGUAAACACACAAUUCAGUUUUAAUAAGUUAUUGUUUUUUCUUUUAAUUAUAGUUUUAAUAUAUUUCAGUUAACAGUUUCAGUUUUAAUUAACAAUGAUAACUUUGCUUUGAAUAUAUAUAUAUAUAUGUUUGUAUAUAUAUAUAUAUAUAUAUAUAUAUAUGUAUAUUCUUCAUGAUGAGCCAUAACACCAUUUUUCAAAUCAUACUUCCACCAAACACAGUUUCUUUAAAAGCAGCCGAUCUGGAUGGUAAAGUGAAGCCCCCUUCAUGUCAUCAUUUACUUGACUUUUAUGGUUUGUUGUUUUUUUUUUUGUUUUUUUUUUGCAGAUCUAUUCUAUCCUCAUUCCUCCAGUGAAGCAGUGAUCCUCUUCAAAGUUGAUUUUCCCCAACUUUCUGCUCCUCUUACUUCUCUUCACCUUGUCCCUGACUGACUCUGCGGGGAGAUUUCACCGAUUCUCACAGGUAGGGCAUUAGGCAAUCUGUCGGGAGGACUUAAUCAGUGGUGAGAGGGUGAGUGGAGAACAAGUGAGAGUCCAAUGUCAGGGAGGGGGACUUUGCAGACAUUGCUGCUGCAGAUGCAAAGUGUUGUGAAGAAUGCAAUAGAGCUGGAGAUGGUGACUCUGUGGAUAAAUCAUAGUUUGAAUUCUGCUGAAAGAGCUUCUACUUCUAUCCCUGCAAAACCAGCAGGACUAAAUUAAGUAAUGGGGUUUGGAUUGGGGAGGGGGGGCCAGAAUGGACGUCAUCGACAGGACUGCAUCAGCAGAGAAAGAGAGAGAAGGUUCGGGUAAUGAUGGCUGCAUGGCACACCUGCAUGGAUGUAAUUGGAUGUGACCUGUCAGCUGUCGGAAAUGAAGGUGUUUGAACAGCAUGAAUAAAACAGCAAACAGAAAUCAGCUAAUUAUCAGCAGCUAUAUUUACAUGGAGCAUAAUAUUCAGAUAAUAAAUGGUUUAAAAGCACUAAUGGAAUAUAAAUGAUUCAUAUAAAUCAUAUAAACACCUCAGUCAGAAUUAAACAGACUCAAGUGAGGCAGAUUAAAGAUUUCAUCUAAACAUGUUUCUGAUGUUCUUUUCUCUGCAUGCUGAAAAUCUUAAUACACUGUUUAUAGUUAGUAACAGAAGGAUCUUCUCCAUUUUCAGAGGAAUAGCUCUAAAUUUGGGCUGAAUGAUGAUUAAAAAGUCUGUUUUCAGUGGAGACACUCGAGGGGCUUUAAGUUCCUCAAAGAAACAUACUGUCUGUGUUGAUUUUAGCGCCCCCCAAUGGACAAACCAGUGAUCCUUAUUGUCUCAUUCUCAUCAAAUUGGCACUAACUGACAAAAAUGUCCUCUUCUGUCUUUUUGGGAUGAAAUGUAAUCAGUUUGACUUUUUACUAUGGAAAAAAGAAAAUAUAAUUUAUCCGGUGUACCUACCCUCUCCCAACAACAAAAUAGAAAUGUCAGUUUUAUGACCAAUGGUCUCAUUUGUGUUUGGACAUCACAGAGUCACACCACUAUUUAUUUUAUUUAAUUCCAUUACCCAUCAAAAACUCCUUACAAUAGCUUUAAUAUAAUAAAACACUUAGAUGGUAGGAAAGUAAGCAAUAUUGACUGUUCAAGGAGGUCCACAACAAACUGCAUGGAGCAAGGAUGGACUGUGAGGUGGAGGAAUUAUCGAAUAAUGUUAAAAGAGGAGGAAUAAGAUCUCUUUUGGAUUUGUCACACUGCUACUCUGAUUUCAUGCUAUGUAAAUAUGCAUAAAUCAGCAUGAUACGAUCUAACUGCUAUGUCUCAAAGCUGAAGAUGUGUAGGUUUGUCUUGACUUUGAGGAGCUGUUGUGCCAUGCAGUAAUAUCUACUUUCAAUCCUCAUAUUUGUGAGUCAGCUGCUCCUCUGUAGUUCUACUGCAGCUUUUAUACUAACUGUGGAAUCAGCAGUCAGACCAGUGGAUACCUCAGUUAUCAUAUACGCUUGUUAAAAGAGCAGUUCACUCUUAGUAUCGGGCUACUUUAAAUUUCCAUAUCCAUUCUGGAGAAGCACAGACUGUUGUGUCAGGGUUUCUGUUGUCAGGAAGGUGAAUGUCUCUGCUAGACUGUUGAAUUUCAUAAUAGCUGUUCAAUCUAUUCGUGAUGUCAAAUCCUGUAAAUAGUAUCACCCGAGGUUCUUAAGUUUUCAUUUGAACCUCUGAAACACAUACAGGACACUUAUAAAAGUAAGACAGAGCGGGGCCUAGUGUGGAGGGUGUCAAGUAUAUAAGCAGAGGAUGGCAUUUAGACGAUGCUGUCACCAAUCCUCCAAAUAAUGUGUCUCUAAAUUUUUCAGUCCCCUCAUUUGUAUUAUAAUUGGAGUUAAAAAGAAAUCAAUUAUUAACAUGUUUAUCAAGUUAACCUUAUCUAAAAUGUCUGAACUGAUAAAUAUCAGUCUCCCCAGAUUCACUUUCCUAAAGCUAUGGCUGUGCUGCCCGUAUGAAUACAAUUAUAACCUUGCUUUAUUCAACCCUUUUUCAAUGCACCCAAAAUGUGAAAAAGAAACAGUUUGAGCUGCUGAAUAAUGAUGAGUGAGAAAGUAUAUUACAAUAAUACAGACACUCAGAAGCAAGAAUUUUAACAUGUUGGAGAAGAUAUCUCAUCAUUAACACCAACCAGCUGUAAAUAUAUAGAUGAUAUAGAUCUAAAAAUACACAGAGACUGAAAAACACUGCAAGAGAAAAUGCUGCAGAUCAUGGCAUGCCAAUGGAAGCGCUCCAGGCUCCCCUGGGUGCUCGGUGGAAUAAGUUUAUUAUUGAUGGAAGAGAGUGGAGAAGAAACUGCAUUUUCCUGAGUAAACUUUAUCUAAACUUGACAAGAAAAUCAAUUAGUUGUCAAAAUGAGAAAGCGGCAUUGUAUACUGAGAAAGUAUUAUUGAAAUUAAAGCAGCUGCCGGGCCAAUUGAGCUUCGCAGUUAAAGCAUGCUGUCUACACAGAGCCUGACAGCUGGGAGCAAGAGCUUCACUACCAACCAGUUAUCAUGUUUUUCAAAUCAGUAGCUGAGAUGUUGCUAUGGUGGGAAGACGUGGAUAGAAGGAUUUUAGCAAUUUGGACCUUGUUUCUUUUUGCUUUUUGCACUUUUUUUUACCACUGCUUCAUGUUUUCAUUGUUCAUGUGUUAACAAAACUUCAUCAUUUCUGUUUUUUGCAUGUUUCUUGAUUUGUCUGAUCAGCUUCUGUUCCAUAUCCCUAUAAGUAACAAAAUAUAAUCAGCCUCAAACUCAUUGUCUGUUGUACAAAUAGACCCUUUUCACAGUACGCAGAAGUUAGCAUUCUGCUCACUUCCGGUGUUAGCAUGUGGUGGAGCCACUUAGCAUCGCCCAUUGACGGCCAUUCAUUUUUCACGAUAUUAACGAGCUCACGACCAGUUUUUUUGAAAGGUAGAGUAGAAUUUUAUGCUUUGUGCUGUUUUACUAACUCCUGUUCUUUAUAAUACUGUCCAGAUUUUGUACUUUACUUUUCGGGAAUUAUGUUUAAUAGGUCUGGAAAUGUGCGCUCGAUGUACAGUACACACGUAGGCUAAAAUAAUAAGUUGUAAGGACUUGUUUCCCGUCUGCUCCUAAAUAUCCUUGCGUCUAUCAUGUCAUAUUACACAUAAAUGACAACAGUUCUAGUUUAAAAACAAAACAGACUCCCUGACAUGGCCACUUUAUGGUUUAUGAGAAGCUAUGAACUUCUACAGCAGAACAGAGCACAGCCGAAGCACAGGCUUUAGCGUCAAUUUGUAGCGCACAUUUCCAGACCUAUUAAACAUAAUUCCCGAAAAGUAAAGUACAAAAUCCGGACGGUAUUAUGAAGAACAGCAGAUAGUAAAACAGCGCAAAGCAAAAAAUUUUACUUUACCCUCCAAAAAAACGAGUCGUGAGCUUGUUUAUAUUGUGAAAAAUGAAUGGCCGUCUAUGGGCGAUGCUAAGUGGCUCCACCACAUGCUAACACUGGAAGUGAGCAGAAUGCUAACUAUCGUGUACUGUGAAAAAGGUCUAUAGGCUUUUGUUUGUAGUCUGAUGUCUAAUACAGUAAGCUUUUGAUAUCCGUUUGCUGAACUAUAAUGUUUAUCUCAGUUAGCAGCAUGAUGGUUCAACAUCAUUGUCAUGGUUAGCCUGUUAAAAAGAUGAUGCCAGCUUAAGUAAGAUUAUUUUGAUACUCUCUGAAGAAAGUUAACAGAAAGAAAUGAAAUGAAAUUCCCGUCUACCUGAUCGAGGCCGUCAGAGUAUUGCUAAAUUAAGGAUUCCUCAGAUACGCUCACUACAAACGCACUGCAUGCUCUCAUUGAAUUUCAAAGGACCUUUUUUUAAGUCACGCACUGAUGUCUAAUCCAGAGUGACAGAUGUAGAUCACAGUUGGUGCAGCAAAAUGGCCCUCUCUGCUUCCUGGGCUCCAGGAUUUUCUGAUGGAUGGCAUGAUGGGUUUCCAUUUUUUUGAGCUGGGACAUCAGGGUUCAGAGAGUGACAAGUUUGCACACGCAAUUUAUCAUUCGCUAUUUGGGAUUUUAGCAGACCGGGCCCAUAGUCUCUUAAUCAGAGUGACAUUACAACAGUGUAUGUGUGGUUUCCUAGUAACAAAGCCUGAUGAAUACCACAAAGUCCUGCAUACUCCCUGCAACCCUGCACAUGCCUGAAAUGAAUGUAUUUGCUUAUAAGACCUUGAAAUUCCUGGUGUUUAUUUCGGGUCUCUAGAGGCUUGUACUCUUUAAUGUCUUGCUUGUUGAACAAGGUAUUUCCAUGGUAUCAAAAAAGCAUUUAUUUGCUUUUGUAGGAAUGCUCUGUACACGAUGCAAUUAUCUAUGCAUAAUUACCUCCCGCGAUUUGAUGGAUUUCACAGCUUGGAUUUUGCAGCGUGUGGGCUAAUGGAAACCGACAAGAACAAUUCCUCUUCAUUAGACCGCUCCAACAUCCUCAUUGACACAAGAGGCCCACGUUCGCACAAAAAAAAAUAACAUGAACCAAGACUAAUACCAUAUGCAUUCCUUCCCUGUCUGCAAUCUUCAUUAACAUUGACAGUACCAUAGAGCAGAGACACCUUUUUUCUAACAUGGAAGUAUAUGUUCAAAAGAGGGAAUUCCAGACCUACAUCACAGGGACAGAUGUUGGCCAGCAGCAGCUUCUUUAAUCAGAUCACAGCGAAGCAUAUUUGCCAAACUGUUUCAUCAGUGAUACACACUGGCAGAGCUGUUACGGAUGCGUCUGUGAGGCUUGCAGCUGUGGGUGCGAAGCCCUCCAACGACGACGAGCGAUACUCAGAACUCUUUAGCGGAGAAAAUUAGCCGCCUCUUGGAGAUGUUGUCGAUUGAAGCAUUGUGGCACAAUGGAACAGAUUUAUGUUUGUUGAAUGUGUAAAACCGCAAGGGAUGCAUAUAAUAAGUGCUAAAUGUUGUCUUUGUCUUUAAAUAUAUCGUUUUUAGAAGAGAUGCGCCGAUCCAAUCUAAUACCGAUACCUGGGCUGAGCGUAUCGGUCGAUAUCUGAUACCGAUCCAAUACUACUGUUGAAUGAUUGAACUGUAUAUCUUGCCCUGUGAGUGAAGGCAUCAGGCUUGUCAUUAGCUUUGUUAAAAAAAGAGGGUAACAAAUUAACACAGAUAUGAAUUUACUUGAUAUUAUUUAUUAACAAAUUGCACAUUAACACACACCAAAACUAGUAGUAGUAGUAGUUUAUUUGUCCCAUAGGAAAAUUGAAUUGCAGCAGAUCACACAUUUGGCAUUUCAUCUAGAACAGUACUUCCUAAGUCUCACCUUUAGCCUGAUUAGACCAGCUGAGCAGGCUAUAGGUGACUAACUAUGGCUAUGUGGUAUUUAGGCAUUUAAUGGCCUGCGGCACAAAAGAAAAUUUAGCUCUGUUUUUAGUAAACAGAGGGGGCGAUAUCGUCACCCAGAAGGCAGGAGGUUAAAAGAGUGGGGAUGUAAGACUUCCAUGUAAACAUUUAGUGCAAAAGGAUAGACAGACAUAGAAUAUAGAGUGAACUGAAUCGCUGUGUUGCUGUGUGUGAUAUUAAAUAAAAGGAAAAAAAAGACAUUCAUCAGAUAUCCGAUCCACGUAAUUUGUCAAUAUCGGAGCCGAUUUCCAAUCCAAAUAUCAGAUCGCUGCAGCCCUAGUAAAGAUUUUUUUUUUUUUUUACAGCAAAAGGUGUUAGGGGAAAUAUUGUAUGUGUGCAUGUAUAGAUCAGGAUGUGAUACCAAACAGACAUGUUUCUAUAGGAUCACCUCUGUCUCCUUUUUUUAUAGAGUUCAUCCCUGUAUGUUUGACCUGCUACAGGUACAAUCAACAGUAAGUCAACAAAGCGAGUUAUUCCUGUGCUCCUGAGGAUCCGGGAGCAUUUGCAAUAUGAAAUAUGGAUCUAUUUUGGAGCUGAACUCUUCUUCUGAGCUCAUGCUUGCAGUGUGGGGACCAUCUUGAGGGCUUUUGCUGGGUUGGUAAUUGAGGAUGUGGGGGUUAGAGACAAGGCCCCUCCGGGAAAUCCCCAGCAGAUCAGCCAUUAUCCCGUGCUGAGGAUUGGCUGCUCCACUGCUGACAUUUCCAUUUAUAUCUGUCACGUUUGGAUCCUGAGAAAGAGGGAGGGAAAGGAGACAGAGAGAGAGGAGGGAGGAGACAGUCGAUGUGAAGCUUGUUUACGGCUGUAAACAGACGUUUGAAGCAUCUGUGUGUGAGCGACAACAAUAGAUUGGGGUCUUGCUGUAAGUGACUGCUACUGGAGUGUGUUUUGGGUCUCAAAGUUUAUCUCCCAUUCUGUUAGCAGUAAGAUGAAGCACCGGUGCACAUUUGUUUUGCUCAAUAGAAAAGGGCAGCCUGGAGAAUUUGGAUAAUAGUCAUGCAUCUUGUUGCUUUUGUCCUUUUGUUGAUCCUGUUUUUUCAUGUAAUAAAGUUAGUUUUAAUGAGUAUACCACAAAAACAACAUUUCAAAAACCCCAAAGACAUUGUUGAUUCUUUCAAAGCUCCAGGAAAUUUGGCUUGAAAUAGCAAAAUGUGUUUUGAUCCGUUGCAAAAGCGUCUUCCACAAAGAAAUUUCACAACUGUGCCAAGAUGGAGUUUUGCCAUCACUGCGCCUUUGUACUCACACCGAACCCCGCCGUGGUGUAAUACCGGUGUCCCAGUGUGUGAUUCAACGUCACAUUAUAGUACUGUGGAAGGUAUGAGAAGUGUGGCUUAUAGACAAACAGUAGGAGGCCCACAUACAAACACACUCAGACAAACCCGCAAACAUAUACUGUCUUGGCUGCUCCACACGUCUCCCUCCUAAUCCGUCUCUGUUACUACGCUGGAAGGAGGAUCAGAGGUGCAACAACUUUGCUUCACCAUUACGCCUCUACAUGUUAGACAUAUAUACAAGCAGCGUCUCCAGUUACUCAAGGUGUCCAGUCCAAAAAAUGACACCUUUAAUUAUAUAAUGAUAAUUUAGUCAGGUAGUGUUAUUUUUAACUGCAGUAUCAUAUUUAUUGCUCUUGGGGGCCCCCUAUUGGCCGCGGGGCCCUAAGCAGCCACUAUGCCUUUGGCGGGCUCUGCUCGGAGUUAUAAACAUUCCUCCAUGUUUGAAUUUUAAUCUGUGUAUUGUGCACAUUUCAUGCUUUAGUAGAUCGGAAAGGACAGCACAGCAGCAUUGCAUUGUGGGAAUUUUUUACCUAACAAUCAAGGUAAGGAAUCUAGAUAUUAAAGAAGUAAAAAUGCUGAGAAAGAGGUGUGUUGUUUGCACAGAUUUGAACGCUUGCACAGCCUAGGAACCAGUUUUUGUUUGGCUAACUGAAGGAGAAAAGAACUAAAUAUUAUAACUUUUAUUACUAGACUGGAUAAGUUUCAGCCUUUCGUUGAAUAAAUCUAGACUGAACCUACAAAAGCCAAAAAAAACUAAAACAUGUUUCAAACUGAUAACCUUUUUUUUUAAUAAUCUAAAAAAAAUGUUUCCUAAAAGAGUCAUUAGAUGUCUUUUCUACACUUUUAACAAAACCCCCACUAUUGCUUUUUAAGUCAGUGCAGCAGCAGUACAAUGCACCCCCAUACCUCUUUGCAUAAAACCUAACAUUCACAGAGCGGUCAGUCGGUUAAAGUGCACACACACACCGCACCGACAUGAUGGUUUCAACUAUUGUGUUUGAACUGUGGCAGUUAUAGCAGCUCAGCAGUGAAAGAUGGUAGCCUCUGUGAAAGGGGAUUUGCUCUUAUGUAGAUGUUAAAGGAUCAUUUUCAGUUACUACUACUACUACUUUGAUAUCCAGGUGAUUUUAUGCUGAUGGAAAUAUAUAGUAUACUAGAAAAGCACUUGGAGAGCGCAGACCUCCGCCAAGCAGCUCAUGUCCCCCCUUAUAUUGUGAUUCACACCAAAACUUUUACCAUUACGUGUCUUUUAUUAACUUUUAUUUGUGUUUAAACUGGUAUAUUCACUUUUCAUAAUGUUCCUAAAACAAGAAAUGCCCUAACCGUGAUUCAACCUUGGACCUUCUGGUUGUGAGGCAACAGUGUUAACCACUGUGCUGCCUAUCUACACCACUGUGCCGCUCAUUGGUUAUCUUUCAGCAUUGAAAAUUCCAACGACACCCUUAUUUUUGUGUGUUCUUGAUCACAGUAUCCAGAAUUUUGUCGUCUGUAACUUUCUCCGUAAAGUUGCUAACAGACAAACAAACAAACCAACGCUACUGAAACAUAACCUUCUUGGCGGAGGUAAUAACACACUGCUUCUUUAAGAUCCUCCUAAUGUGGAUUGGGUUUCAGGAGACCUUCAAUUUUCGGCUUCUUUGUGUUAACAUUAAACUUUACUUAAGUGGUUUAGCGUUGGAGGUAAGAGUUUAUUGAACAGUCGUCACUCCACAUCCUCAAUUAUCUGUAGACAUAAAGCUUUUCCUCUCACUGUCGUGUAAAGCUCAGGUGGCCCUCCCCCCCGUGUUGGUUAUUGUUGGUUCGAACUUCACUUCACAGAAAUGCUGCAUCAAUUAUACUUUCCUGGACUGUCGCCAGAUACUCUCACAUUGAAUGGAGGAGUUGCAUCAAAGCACUUCAGAGUUAUGAUUGUAAUGAUAAGUGAAACUCAAAGGUUUUUUACACUCUAUUAAAAGGUCUCAAGACAAGGUUCUGAAGCAGAUAAUGGGACUUGAUUGUGUUUAUUGUCGUCUUUAAGUGCUCCGUGCGUCUAAAUGUUCCACCUGCUGUGACGGUGAAAAGCAUUUUAUACCUGCUCGUCAAUUUACCCAUAGAAAGUCAUAAUUCCUUUGCAUUUAAAUGAAGUGCUCCCACAGUGAAUCUAACUGCAUAAUUCCUCCAAUUUUACACUGAAUUUUUUCUCACUGGGGGAGAUCACAGAGCACUUCAGUGUGUCAAGCAAUUAUAUGUUGAAGAAACAAUUAAAGGAAGUGAAUAAAGACAGCGAACGGAGAUCUUUGCAGAUUGGUGUUGCAGUAUCUUAAAAGGGAAACUGCACCUGGAUCACUGAGCAAAUAAGGAAAAGUCCCUUAAAGAUAUAUAUAUAAAAAAAGAAAAACACCAUAACUUAAACAGUUGCAAUUUAUAAGUGCCAGACACCCCCACAGGUCCUGAACGGGGGAUCUAUCCACUUGUCUUGGAGUAAAAGGCCUUUGGGAUCAGCGCGGUGCAGGAUGGAUGAGGUGUUGUGCCUGACACCAGGAGAUUCCAGUUAAUAAAUGGUGUGCUUGAUUCAGGACCGGCCAUGCAAUUGUAUUUGGACAGUCUGAUAAAUUGGGGACCGGGAGCUGUCUUCACUUUUUUUUUAGGCUAAACAGAGGUGAUAAUUUAUGUCGGAAGACCUGGUGUGGUUUUUAAGCUGUAGGUUUAAACAGUAACACCGAGCCCUCUCGCGCUCUAAAGGAAUACAGAGCGGUGUUAAUUUGUCAAUGAAGACUAUGAUUAAAUGCAUUCAUUGUGAAAUUUUCUUUUCCAUCAUUUAGUAAGACAAUUACUGAAAGGAAAAUAAGUUUAAUGGAUGGAAAUUUGGAAACCCUGACAAAUGGGCAAAUUAAGCAUUGCCACAAUCUCAUCCGGGGGACAGUGUGAUUUUAUUUCCCCUGCAAAUCUCUGAAAAGGGGAUCUGCCCGCACUUUCUCUCCCCUCUUCAGAAUUUAAUUUGGUUUUGAUCAAAAACUUUCCCAACACUUUUAUUGAAUUGUAGCAAUAUAGCACUAAGAUAAUGACAUACAGUAUAUGAAAACACAGUUUGACAUAUAAAAUCUUACUUACACCCCCCAAGUCAAAGAUGGGGUAGGCAGCAUCUGAGGAAGUGCCAGUUUUUGGGAGAAAUCUUGAAUGUUCCAGCAAGCCCCGCUCACAAACAGACGCUCCUGCUCGCUCGUAUCAUUCCAAUUAAAUUCAGAUAUAAUGCAGAUAAAUACUUCAGAUAAUUACAAAUGGGGCCCAGUCAAGGUGAAAGUCCCGUUUGACGAGAAACACUUCUGUUACAGACACUUGGCUUACUUUGUUAAAGUGGUUUACCUGUCCAACAUAAAGGUUACAGGAUCACGAAGAUCCCGAAGUAUCCCCAAUUGUUUAUGCUGAUGUUGACCCGGCUUCUUAGCUCUUGUCUGGUCUACCUCUGUUUUUAAGAGUCCGUUAUUCCACCAGAGUCUCUGGUACUUUCUGGUUGGUUUCUACUGUCUGAUUUUGAAGCCCGCUAACUUUGUUUAGGCUCGUAAAUGUUAUUCGAGGCCGUGAAGUGUGCCUCACAACAUGGGGGAGCAGCGUCCACCUCACAGCCAAUCAGGUCGGGAGGCAGGGAAUGGCCUUGUUUACAGUCAGAAAGAGCGGGCCGCUCUUACAGCGAACACAGCGAUACCGUGAUAUUCCCAAAUAUCAUCAAUAACUAAUAGCUAUUGACUGAUAUUAAACACUUUUUUUGUAUAUACACCACAAAAAAGAUGCUUCUUUCACAAAAUCCUGCUUACCCCACUUUUAAAUGUUCACAUCACUCACCUUUUUUUGUCCUUGCAGUGCUUCAGUCCAUAGACUGAGCCCGAUCUCCCUCUCCACUUCUGUUUGAUAACAUGUGUGAGCAGAGUGUGGCUGCACAAGUGGGAGAGGCAUUCCUGUCACAAGCAGAGUGGUUUACAUUUAAUAUUUCAUUCAAUCAGCUGAAGUGUUUGUUUCUCUCUUUAUGAGACCAAUGCUGGAUUAAUUCAGACGAAAAUAUAAUUGGAAUAUGUUAUCGCAGUUCCGCCGCACAACACUUACAGACAUGACGCUCUGCGCUGAAUUAACAAAUGAUGUUAUUUUGAUUGGAUGUUAAUCUGUUCCUGCCGCAGUGUGCCGGUGUUGAGGCCUGGUCUGUCAUGUACAGUUCCAAUGUCAUGAAACUUUGAUUUAUGGACUACUUCCUUUGAAAAAAACAGUCUGUGGGAUUACUGAAGUGCUGUGUUCCUAUAGUUAAGGACUGAAAUCCCUCUUGUAUUUGUGCAGCAGGACAGCUCAGGGACUUUGCAGAGCUACUUUAAUGGGCUUCAACCUCUGCGGCUCAUUGAAAGCCCUGAGACUGAAUCCCCCUUGGCCGUCCAACUAUUGAGCUGCAGGACGUGAAACUGUGAUACUGUUGCCUUGAGGUAGAUGCUACAAGAGACCAGAUUGUCCUCUGUUGCUACAUCGCCUGGAACUACAUACCACAUAUCUGUCUUUCAUUUCUCUCCAGCAGGGACCAGGCAAAAGGACAGGACAGAAUGUGCUGAUACAAGUCCAGUCCCCAAAAAGGAAAUAAGCAAAUAAAUCAGUGUGUGGGGGUUAUUGUUUGGUAUUUACAGUUAACUGCAUGUCCUCUAUUCGGUUGCCAGGGGACACAAAAUUAGAGGUUGUGGUAUUUCUCUCCUUUGCCCUUCAUCCACCUUGUGGAGGUACUUUCCAGUUGUGAAGUACAGCAAUGAUAAUUAGUGAACAUGUAACAGUGGGAGCUGUAAUCUGCCUCCAAAGUUUUCAAAAUGACCUUCAUUGUUGAAUGAAAGAUGUCUAUAAUUUGGCCAACACGAACAUGGCGCGGCUCGGUCUUUGUAUUCAGAUGAAGCCUCAGCUGAGCUCUCUGCCCAGAAUAGCUUGUGAAUGGGUGCGAGACAGAACUCAGUAUGACUAUGCCUAUGCCAAAUUACUACUUGCUUACACGGAGACAAAACAUUAAACGGUACUGCCUGAUCUGCGUGUGUCUCAUACCAGAUGCAUAAUGCAUCAAGAGCAUGAAUAAUUUACAUAAACAAGUGGAGGGAAUCUGUUUGGUGCUCUGCCAACACUGUGCUCCCCUACUUCCACCUAAAAGGCUUUUUUUUCCUCUCUUUUGUUAAAAUCCAAAACAAACCUCCAUAUUGGAGAGACAGAUGGCAGACAGGGCAAACUGAGUCUCCUAUCCAAAACCACACUGGGAUGGCAAUGGAGGUUGCCAUGGAAAUCGGGACGAGAAGCAAUUUGUUUGACUUCCAGGACGGACGUUGUGGUCACUUGGGGGACUUGGAGAAAGUCGUUCACAGCUGUAAAUACUUCUGUGCUUUUAGGAAAAAGUGAAAGGGGUUAGCAAAUAGUUUAACUGGAAAUAUCCUUGUAUUACCACCAUAAAUACACAACUACACAGCAAAUACACUCGUGUUUAGAAACGGGUCCAGACACAGUGUUUGGUCUCCAGUGCAAGUUUCUUUUUCUGUUUGUAAAUCAGCAGCUUGAUCUUGCUCAAGUUGUCUAUGAUCCAUCUUACCAUGUGAGCAGCAUGGGUAGUAAGGCUAAACGAUUUUGGAAAAUUAUUUUAUUGUGAUUUUUUUUUCCUCAAUAUUGUGAUUUGAUUUGCGAUUAUUUUUUUCAAGGUCCUCUCCUAACAGUCUGUAUAAUUCUAAAUAAUAUCAGAUGAAUUUUACAUAAAUUGUUCCUUCUGGCAAUUAUCAAUCCGCACACCCGAGGCUCUCUCUACUCCCACUAUCGUGUACACAAAUACAUGCGCCAUCAUGGCGAGCUGUAACUGGUGCCCAAAACUCUGGGCGGCAGUAGCUUGGGAGGUAUAGAGGUCGGCCAGUAACUGGAAGGUUAUCAGUUGGAACCCCACCCUAUCCCUGGUCUGUCCGUUGUGUCCUUGGGCAAGACACCUUGCUCCCAGUGUGUGUGUCCUCCACUGGUGUAUGAUUGUGAGUGUUGUGUGGUUGUGGUCGGAGAGGCCGUAGGCGCAAACUGGCAGCCACAUUUCCAUCAGUCUGCCCUUCAGGACUUGGCGGAUGAACGACAUGUGUCACCAAGUAAACAAUGCAGUGACUUCAGCAGCAGGGGAGGGGAGGGGCUCGUUCAAUGAACGAACUCGCAGCUGUGUCACUCACUCGCGUACUUCACCGACAGGACGGUUCUCCGAAGCACUGACUGAUUCAGUGAACGAAUCUUUUGAACAAAUCAUUUUUAGUGUCAAAAGAACCAUUCUUCUUAACACUAGAGCGCAGUGUUGACUUCUCUCUCUACCUGCUCUUCUUUGCUUCGCUCACUCACAAGUUGUGACCAGAUCACGUAAUCGGUCAAAAUUGCAGCCUUUGCGGUUAGAGAAUUGCGUUUUAUCGUGAUGUAAUCACACAUGCAAUUAAUCGCUCAGCCCUAAUAUGUAGCGGAUCAGCUUGUAGAGGUGAAGUAUUAACAUCGCACUACUUCCACAAGCCAAAACACGCAUUGGGUGGAAACUAGAGUAGAGCUGUCUCAAUGUCAGAUUUUUACCUCAUGGUUUUUGUGGCCAUACAAUAUCACAAUAAUGAUAUUUCCCAAAAACUGGACUUCCUGAUGACUCGCCUCAGAACACAUGUCGAAGUCGCAUUGUGUGCAGGAGCCUGCCAUUUCAUAAAGAUGGAUUUAGCACUGAAGGACACUGGGAACAGCAGGUUCACCAGCUCUUUUCUUCAGCUCGACUCGAGGAGCUGUUUUCUCUCCUCACCUGUGACACUGAUUUCCUGUUUGUGCAGCAAGUCAUGCUCAAAUGUGGUGAGAGAGUGUCAGGGGAGUGGUGAUACUGCUGGAGCCGACAAAUUCCACUUAGGGUGUAUUUUUAGUGGAAAAGAAGUAACACAUACACAGGAUGUGUUUUUUUGCUCCCUCCUGUGAAGUGUCAUGUAGAGUCUGAUUUUAAUCAGGAGCUGGUUCACUGCUCAUCCUGAGGCCAUCAGCUUCCAUUAAGGAAAAAAUAAAGACGGACGAAGAGUAUUGAAUGUGUUCUGUUGCUAGGAAACUGACACAUCAUAAUGACGACGCUGUCUUUCUACUCAUUUGGUACACAGUGUUGGCUUAUGUUCAUAACAUGCCUGUUGAUUUGAUUACAUUGAGCUGAAUCUAAGUGGUCACUGUCUGAUGUUGGAGAACAGGACAGUGAUGUUUCUCUUGCAAAUGCACAAGCAGUGCACACUAAUUCCUGUGAGUAUAAUUAUUCAUUAAGACCAAGAAAUAGUGUCACAUCAUAUUUUUUCCCAGCUUUGUGUCUAGAUGGCAAAGUUUUAAUUUAUAUGCUUGAUUCAACCUAAACUUCAUCCCGCAGCUGUUCGAAUUUGCUUUAAUCUUAUGGUCCAUGUAUUUUCACCUCAUGUAAUCUCUUUAUUUAGUGUCUAUCAACAUUACAUUUCACCACCCACAUUGACAAAAAUGUUUUAUUCAGCAGAGGAGGGAGCGCUCCCGCAGUGAGUGCCUCACCUCUGUCAAAUCAAGAUGUCUGUUAUGUUUUCAGAUAUAAGCAAACCCAUGCGCCUCUCCUUUAUUAGCAGUUGGUCUGAAAUAUUAGCACAUUAAAAGCCGUGGGACGACCGCAUGAAUGGUAAAGAGGGAUGCUGUGUUUUAAUGGGAAACUUUAUUGGGUCAAAUUGAGGAAGGUUGUUUUUGAGAAAGACCAAACUGUCUGCUUUGGUUGUUUUUGUUUGUGUGUUCACCCUCACCACUUUGAUCGUUCACAGCGGCAUUUUUAUGUCUAAUGAUCCAUUUAAUAAAAGUAUCUAUCUGGGAUUUUAAUACGGCAGUCUUCCAAGUUAUGAAAUUUAAAAGUCAAACAAGAAUAACAAAUGACCAUGGGAAGAAUAUCUGGUGUAAUAUUUUCUAGGUUAUGAUUGAUUUGUUGCUCUUAUUCAUAAUUAAUUUAACCGUUUCUGAAGUCCCCUGCUCCAGAUAUCGUUUGUUGUGGUGCUCUCCAAGGUGCUGAACCGGCUACAGGGAGCAGAUGCAGAGCAAGAAUGCUCUCUUCCUUCCUUGCCUAGUCACAGCCCUGGAGUUAAUCACUCUAUAAUUUCUUACAGUAACUCAGCCUGUCAACCUGUAAACCUUAUUAUCUUUCUUCAAGAUGAUUCACACUCUGAUGUGACGUUGCCCUGAUACCUUAAAAUCUGUUUGAGUGACCGAUUGAAGCAGGUGCACAACCUUUCUCUCCGCAGAGAAAGGCUAGUCUGCAGUGUCGGCUGGAUGUAUAUACAAAACGGACUCUCUGUGCAAGAAAUUAAAAAAAACACACAUCUAGUGUGCACGUAUCAGCAAAACAAGGCUGUCAGUUUUCCCUCAUGCUCAUGAUAUAGUAAAACAUGGCCCUGUUUACUGUUCAGGUUUGCUGAGAUUGAAACAUGAUCGAAAAAAAUCACUUUCCUGUUUUUUUUUUGCAAAGUUGAAAAGUUCUAGGCUGCUAAAUGCUAUACACAUCCCAAGGCAACAAGAGAUUCAUACACUUUUCUCCCUCUUUGGAAAUUUUUAGUGUCAGUUUCACAACAUCUGUCAGAAAGCUGCAUAUUAGCUUGUCUCUUUCAAUUACUUUCCAUUUAAUGAUUCAAUUUAUUGUGGAUUGGCAGCAUCCAGACACUGUGGAGAUGAUUAAUGGCCUGCUAUGUCUCCAGUGUGGCAGAGUACCUUCCCAGGUCCCUGCAGGAAAGGAUAGUCAUAUACUGUAUGCUUUUUUAUCAACAUGAAGAAUAUAGAAUAAGCAUGCAAUCUGGCCGGGUGGGUCUAUCUAUUUUCUUGAAAAUCAGCUUCUUAUGCCUUGCCUGGAGCUAUGAGCUUCAAUAUCACAUCUGGGGAUGUGCCAAGUCCUCCUGCAGCUAGGGGAUGGUAGGCUUACCGAACCCUAUACAUUUAUCUGAUUAGAUAUGCAGAGCGUGGGAUCAUACUUCACAUUCGGUUCUCUCAAGGCUUUACACUGCCGCCAGACUCGUCAAAGAAAAAAAACCUCUAUCUCAGAUGUUUAGAGAUUUCACGCUCGGUUUGAGCCCCAGGUCCAGCCUGCUCUUUCCCUUCCAUCUUUGACGUCCAUCUGGUGACCACUGACGCGGGAGCUGUGGGUGUGGAGGCACUCUGCAGACAAGCCGCGGCAGGUAGCCAUUACAGACUCUUGUCAGCUUGUUAGAUGGUGGCAUGAUGGGAUGGCCCACAUGUCCAGUUCACUGUGGCUUCCAAAUGCUGCUCCUUUCAGAGUGCCAGGGUGGAAGGGGAUAAAGCAAGUACAAAUGGACGGUUGACACAUUGAGGACACAUGGCUUAAUGUUUCAUUUCCAAGGGGACACACAUGCACUUUUAAAACAGAAAUACACAAUUUUAGGGAAAGCUCAUGGGUAACGCCUGAUGUCUUUGUAAGAAAUAGGGAUUUUUGUCAUUUAUAUGAGUAGAUAUUGUGAAAAAGAACAGAUCACAAAAUGAGCAUAACCCUAAUUAUUAGGGGUGGGAGAAGAAAUCAAUACAGCAUAGUUUUGCAAUAUUUUGUCUGGUGAUAUAUCGUAUCAUCUUAUUUACCAAGCAUCGAUUUUUUUCAGUGAUUCCCACCCUUACUCAUUAUGUAGACUUUCUUCAGGUGUUGUGUAUGGGGGGGCUUUGUAGCAUCCACAUGAUGCACUGAUAGAAAGUAGGUUUGAAAUAGUUGUCUACAGUGACCGCUGUGUGUGGAAGUGUAAACAAACUCGAGCAAAGAUUGAAAAAAAUCCAUCAGCCUCAAAUGUGAUGUAAAAACAUCAAAGUGAAAUAAUUUAAUCCACCGAUCAAUCGGGGGCAGCUGUGGCUCAGUGGUAGAUUUGGUUGUCUUUCGUAGGGUCAGGGGUUCGAUCCGAGGUCCCGUUGUCUGCAUGCUGAAGUGUCCUCAAGCAAGACUCUUGACCCCACUCGACCCCUCUGGCUGCACUUUGUGGUGUGUGAAUGGGAUCAGUCGAAAAGAAAUAGAUGGGCUCUGACAUCAGGGUGUGGGAAUCAUCCUCUCAUAAAUACAAUAGUGUUGAAAUUGUGGCAAAUAUUGUGCAGCUGAAGGUGGACACCUUCUAUUUUGCACAAAAUGCAUCAUACCAGAGAGAACAUGGCUCCUAAGUUGUCAACAUCCUCCUGGUAACCAGUGACUUGACCUCUGCUCCACAUGGUGGUCUUGUUUUUCCCUGUCAAGAUCUAUUUCGAAUAACUUCCAAACUGUUUGAAUAUAACCCCUGUUAUGGCUACAAGCUGAAUUAAUGGAUGAGUGAAUCGAUCCUGAGAUGAUUUUAUUGAUUUUAAAAUAAUGAAUUUAUUCAGCACCGUCGGAUAUGUUUCCAUGGAAAUGGUUUUCCUAUCACCCAUAAUAGACUGAAUUAACAUGCAUUUUUACACUUCCGUCCACAGUACAGUUUAAAAAAACAGUUAUGAAUCACAUCAAACAACAUUUGUAUUCAGGGUUAUGUCUGAGCAACAGCAGUUUUCUGUCUGCAUUUUUUAAUAGAUGCAGAAACAACAACAGCUCCUUUAUAACAUCCUCGACUCGCAGAACUUUUCUUUUCCCAACUAAUAACACUUUAAAGCCCAUUACCUAUGGCUGCUUCAUCCAUGUUUCCUUUGACUUUAUUAGCAUCUCUCAUACUGCAGCUCUUCAUACUGGAACAUCCCCUGCCAAUAUUUCCUUUUUUCUUUUGCUGGUCACUGAUCAACAAUAUACAGCUUUAUACUCAGUAGAUAAAUUGAAAGUAAUUAUAAAGUAUCCUUAAAGGAAUAUCCCGGCGUAAAAUUAAUUUUGGGUCAAACACACCAUAACACCGAGUUAGACACUCCCCUGCGAGAGAUGAAUAUUGCAGACCGCUUGCUUCUCUAGUCAUACCAACUCACCAACUCUCUUCCAGCAGCCGCUUGUUUGUACGGAGACCUCAGACGAGUCCAUCACGACUGCAGUGGGGUGACGCAGCUCAAGGAAGAACAUUUAUGAUCAUUACCUUUUCAUUUCCUUGAAGUAAUAAUCCUCAUAUUAAUCAUUUUGCACUGCAGAUGCGGUAGUUCUUCUGCCUUAGCGUCUCAGUCUGGUUACAUUUCCAUGAAGAAAUGAUCAUAAAUGUUCUUCCUUGAGCUGCGUCAUCCCACUGCAGUCAUGUUGGAUUCGUCUGAGGUCUCGCUACAAACAAGCGGCUGCUGGAAGAGAGUGGGUGAGUUGUGUUUAGUCCCUUUGCUAAAGAAAUCAGGCAAAGUUAAAAAGAUGUUUGGUGUAGUACUAUGGCUGGGACCCUAUAUGUCCUGUUGAUGAAGUUAGGUGCUGUUCUGAGCAUUAUUUGUGGCGUUUUGGUUGAGGUUUGUUUAUGGCUCCUAAGACCACUGUGUAUUGCUAUCGUGCGGUUGUUACUAAAGUUGGUUUAACAAGAGAAGCAAGCCAAUAAUAACAGAAACUAACAGAUUUGCCUCAUUGUCACUUGAAAGAGUUGAAAUCAUAAACAUUUUGAAAGCAACAGCCUCCUUUUAUCGAGUGAUUUGAUUUGACAAGUGGGAUAUGUUUGUCCCUGGCAACAUUCUCACUCUUCUGAAUUGAUUAACAGCUAUUGGGUUUGGACCAAUGAGAAUCAAGUAUCCAACACAGCCAGAUGAUUAGUCAGAAAUAGAUUGAUCCAUUUCCUGUUACAGAAAAAGGGUUUAAAGUUAUGAAAGUAGGUUUAAACGUUAAACUCCAAACAGAACAGCAGAUCAUUUUCUGUGUCCCUGCAGCAUUAUUGACUAACAAGUGGGCAGACAUGUUUUUUCUGGGUACGACAGGUGUUCAGGGCGUUACAGCCGUCAGAGCAGGAACUCAGAGGAAUCAAUCACAGGUGCCAGGUGAUUACAAAGCAGAAGAGCUCUAUUCUUGGUAAGCAAUAUAAAUCACAGCUGCACAGUUGUUUUUAGCUACCCAGGCCAGUGAAUAACUCAAUAAGAAUUGAUGAAUGAGGUUGAAAUUUCUCUCGCUUGACUUUUAAGUUAUCUGAAUACAGUUAGUCCAACAAACAGGAGAGAAAAAAACACACUCCAAAUUCCAUUUUCUCCAUGAAGGCAGAAAAGAGGACUCUAUUUUCAAAACAAAAUAACAUCAAACCACAAAAGUGGACUCAGCGGGCAAAAAAACUACAAGAGCAGACCUCAUGAAUGAAAGAUGAGCUCGAACGAGUGAAGAAAACACUCGCAGAGAAAGACAAAGAAAUAAACACAGAAAUGCUAAAUGUGAAAACUUCACAAGCUCUGGUCAGAGACUAAUCGCAAAGAGUGACUUUUCCAGUUUUGCUGCCUACGACACUGAUGUUAAAGAGCCGUGGGAGAAGCACCUGGGGGUUAAUUAAAGUCUCUAAUUGCAUUAAGAAGGAGAGGUUGAAAAGGGGGCUGACAGCAGGGCUGGAUCUGCCACUUAACACCCCUAGGCCACACUAGAGACUCAUUUACAUCCCCCGUCUAGUCCAUCAAGCUGUCAUUGUUCGCUCUCACUGGGGCGGACCGGCACGUCAGUCCCACCACCUCGUCAUCAGGUGCUGCAGUCAGAGAGUCUGUCUCCCAGCGUGGGUCCGUGAAAGUGGGCUUAUUAAACACCCUCAUGUUACAGCUAUAUCAUUAAAGCUAGCACAGCAGGAUCUGAAUGGCUGACCACAGGUAACAGCUGCCUAAACCCUGCCUUCAAACAGUUCUGUCCAAUAAUACCUAAGCAACAGUGGCAGCUAAUAACCACCUCUUAUUCUGAGUGCUGGUUAGAUUUAUAAUGCUCCACAUGCUCUUCUGUGUAUAGUGUGUUUGGCUGCUCUUAUACAAUGUAAGCAUGUCGGACUAACUGGCUUUUUACAGCCAGUUUUGUGGCACUCAAGUCUUGGACUAACUCAGUCCAACUUGAGUCACUGUUAGCAACUGAAUCCUUGAUUUCUGGUGUUUUGUUGGAUGGCCGAUGGGCUGUUAUCUCUUUAGGAUUUAACGGAUGAUACAUGCUUUUAUACUGACCUGUCUGGACUACUGUGAAGCACUAAAUGUUUGUGUUAAAGGGAUAUUCCGGAGUAAAAUUAAGUUAGGGUCAAACACACCGCAACACCGAGUUAGACACCCCCUCAAAAGAUGAAUGUUGCUGACCACUUGCUUCUCUAGUUAUUCCAACUUUAGAAACGACCACAGGAUAGCAAUACACAGCGGACUGAGGAGCCAUAAGCUCAUCCAAAAAGCCACUCUAUAGCCACAAAUAAUGUUCAGAACAGCACCUAACUUCAUCAACAGUACAUAUAGGGGUCCUAGCCAUAGUACUAGCCACCAAACAUCUUUUUAGCUUUAGUAUUAACAAAGAGACUAAACACAACUCACCCACUCUCUUCCAGCAGCCGCUUGUUAGUACGGAGACCUCUGACAAGUCCAUCACAACUGCACUGGGCUGCCGCAGCUCAAGGAAGAUCAUUUAUGAUCAUUUCUUCAUGGAAAUAUAAUCAGACAGAGACGCUAAGUCAGAAGAACUACCGCAUCUGCAGUGCAAAAUGAUUAAUAUGAGGAUUAUUACUUCAAGAAAAUGAUAAAGUAAUGAUCAUAAAUGUUCUUCCUUGAGCUGUGUCACCCCGCAGCAGUCUGUAAUGGACUGGCCUGAGGUUUAGCUACAAACAAGUGGCUACUGGAAGAGAGUAGGUGAGUUGUUUUUAGUCUCUUUGCUAAAGAAAUUAGGCAAAAUUAAAAAGAUGUUUGGUGGCUAGUGCCGUGGUUAGGACCCUAUGUACUGUUGUUACGUGCUGUUUUGAGCAUUAUUUGUGGCUAUAGAGUGGCGUUUUGGUUGAGGUUUGUUUAUGGCUCCUCAGAUAGCUUUGUAUCGCUAUCCAGCGGUCGUUAUUAAAGUUGGUGUGGAGUAGGUGAGUUGGUAUGACUAGAGAAGCAAGCGGUUGGCAACAUUCAUCUCUCGAGGGGGUGUCUAACUUGGUGUUACAGUGUGUUUGACCCUUAAUUUAUUUUACGCCAGAAUAUCCCUUUAACCAAGCUUUACUUAUGCAUCUACAGCUAGUUUAAAAUGCCUCACCAGCACUCAAGUCAAGAGCACAUUACCUCCCAGUCCACUUCAGGAUUCAGUUUAAGAUUUUAGUGCUUGUUUAUAAAUCUUUAAACAGAGUAGCUCCUCUGUGCACAGCUUCUUUGGGAAAGGUGAAGUAAGACAUGCAGCAUUGCAACUUUAUUUAUGAUUAACUUCUCCCGACUCGCCAACAGGAUCAGUCAGAAUCUAAUUUUAAUGAAUAAUAAAAUGUGGUUUUUGCACAUUCAAAGGGUCCCCCGCAGUCAGUCCACACAGCAGCUCCCUUUGUAAUAGAUGACAGUAAUGAGGACUGGACUCAGGCUUGAAUAUUGGAUACUCAAGACUGGAAAGCUGCUGAUACUGGUGACAGUCUGCCUCUACAGACCUUUGAGCAUCCUGCUCUGUCAUGUUCACACAAAUAAAUGCACUUAUGCACACCUCAGAGGUGUUUUUAACAGGAUGGGGAGGAAAUUACAGUAAUUCAGCGUGACUGAGCAAACCUUUUGACACCACGGAUGGAGCAUUUUUAUCGUCGGGUACUUCACAAAGAAAGAAGUGAGGAUUGUUGAGGUGUUAGGGGGGAGAAUCUCGAAACCAGGUUGUGUUUCACACUUUUGGGGAGGAUUCAGUACACAAAAGAAAGCUGGUUACGUGAUGCUGAGAAACACAUUUUAUUAUACAAGCGAAAAACUAAUAGCUGAAGUUAAAUGAAGGAUUAAUACAAAACUGAAAGACAGAAUGUGACAGAAAAGGUUUCAGUUUUUUAGGCAGAAAAGAAAAGGCUUCAAAAGAAGAAAGAAAACUGGAGACAGGACUGAAAAAGAACAUGUCACCUGUCACAAUAUUUCAGAAAAAGAAAAACCUGUUCAGAAUGAUGAAGUCAAAACUGGCCGAGAACAUUUUUUUAAAAACUGAUUUAUUUUUCUACAAAUGCAUAAAAAUGAAACAGCUGUAGAGCUGAACCAAACGUCCAUCCACCUGAGGGGCUUUCAUUUGUUUCAUUUCAGUUCAGAGAAAAGACUUUUUAUUUCACGUGUGAAAAAAAAAAAGAAAUCCCUCUGAGGUGCUGUUUCAGGAUUAGGCUUUCAUUUCUUCUCACAUGUUUUCAAAUAAGUCCAAGCUGUCUGAGGCGGCUCAUUGAACUGCUUUAUAUUCCUCUUAAAUUGGACGGCGUAUCCACCUGUUAAAACGGCCUUGUGGUGAUUUUCAACCUGCGCUUUAUCACUGACAGUGCAGGCGGCAUUUACUUAAUAAAUGUGACUUCAUGGGGAAAACUAAAAGAAUACCAAAUGUCUUUCAGUUUAGGAAAGUAAAAAGACAUUCAGAUGGCUUAUUCAGAGAAAACUCAUGGUCGUAUAAAAACAAACAUUCAAAUAAUUUUAUAUAAAAAAUGAUACAGUACGACAGAGUAUUAGGACCACAUUAAGACAAAAAAAAAGACUUUGAGAUUAAAGUCAUUGCUAACGAGAAUAAAGUCGUGGGAAAAUUUAAUUUUUAUGAGAAUAAAGUCGUAAUAAAAUCAUUAUAAAGUCGUAAAGUAAAAAAGCUGCUUUUGUGGAGGAGGAAAUUGCUGAACUGGUCAACUGCAGAGUUGUCUGUGGGCCAUUCAGAGAGCUUUUGUGUUUUCUCAAGAAACAAUCCAACUGAUGAUCAACAUUUGCGAUUCAGAGGGAGUUGAGCUCUGAUGAGCACCACAUCUGUCUCUGAUGCCCAGCACAACACCGGCAGCAACCUUCACCUGCAGAGGCACCAACAUCUAAUGGCAGAUAGAUUCAUGUUAUAAAAUAAAGCCAUAUGCUGUUGCUAUUUUUAUAAACGGCUGAGGGAUUUAGCCUCUGCACAGCUAUUUCCAGCUAUUUCUCCCUCUGCAAAAAAAGCGAUUCCCUACAAGUUCACCUGGUUCUUUCUGCAGAAAAAAGAUGCAUUUCUUGCACAUGAACGCAGAGGAUUUAGUACCUCCUUGUUUGUGUAACCUAGCUACUGAAGUUCAAUUCAUCUAAAUGCUCUACAGCACUUGUUUUAACAAUUUACAGCAGGUUAGAAUAGCUACUAGCUACGACUUCCUUCUCAUAAGUAAUUAUUUUAUUACGACUUUAUUCUUGUAAAUAAGUAUUUUAUUACGACUUGAUUCUUAUAGGUAAUUAUUUUAUUGCGACUUAAUUCUCAUAAGUAAUGAUUCUUUUACAACUUAAUUAUUGUAAGUAAUGAUCGUAUUACGACUGUUCUCAUGAGUAAUUAUUUAAUUGCAACUUUAUCUCACAAGAAAUAAUUUUAUUGAGAAUUUAUUCUUGUAUGUAUUUACUUUAUUACGACUUUAUUCUCAUUAGUAAUUACUUUGUUAUGAAUUUAUUCUUGUAAUAAAUGAUUUUAUUUCAACUUUAUUCUUGUAUAUAAUAAAUAAUAAUUUAUUAUGACUUUAUUCUUGUAUGUAUUUACUUUAUUACGACUUUAUUCUCGAAAGUAAUCAUGAAGUUUUAUUUAUUUUUUUCUUAAUGUGGCCCUAAUACUCCAUAAUAAAACCGGGCUUAAAGUAUGAAUGUAAAAAAGCAGCCUUUUUAAGAACUGUGUCCCAUUUCUACAGUUUUAUUCAUGAGAAAAGGAUGAUAAUUCAAUAAGGACGCUGAUAUGUCAUCAUUACACGCCCUGAAUGUACAGCCUCAAGUUCCCAAAAUCCCACUCUAACUCGGCCCUCUUGAUUCCUGCAGAGAUGCAUGUUUUUUCACCUUUUAGCCUUCAAGUUUAUACCAUUGAAGAUCGUGUUGUUUUUAUUCUUAUAAGCUCCCCCACAGAGCGUAAACUCGGUGUAGAGAGAGUUUCCUUUGUAGGAUCUAAGAGACAUAUUUAUAUCUUGAAUGGAUGAUGAAAUGUAUGAGGCAUUUACAGAAAUAUAACAACAAUGACAGAAGAAGCUCUAUAAGUCGACCCUCUACAUAAAACAGAACAUGCCGGCAAUUUGAAACAAGUGACUAUUAUUGUUAUUUGACCUCCUCUCUGUUUGUCAGUCAUGCUUUUAGAGCUCCCCAAAUCCUUGUCAGAUCAGAGUGUCGUCCUUUAACAAAAGUUGUUGUAGCAUGUUCUACUUUUAAAGUAUCUCUGGUGUGAUCCUCGGAGGAUUCAGAUGUCAGCUGGUUUGUGUGAACUCCAUUUUCUCCUCUAAAAGGACCUGUUCGCGCCUCUUAGUCGCUCCCAGAGGCCUCAGUUUAAAUGUGCACCGUGAUACAUGACACCGAGGGGAAAAGAAGGCGAGAGAUGACGAUGCUUUAUCGUUACUGUAAGUGAUGGCUUGAUUCAGCUGGUUAAAAUGAUUUGUCUUUUCUUUGCAACACAAGCAAAGAUUGAUCACGAAGGAUGUGGAAAUCUUCCCAAACACUGAAAAGAAUCAAAGCUUCUUUAUCAUUUUAACCCUUUUGCUUUUUAUUUCAGUCUUUACAUUCUGGUUUAGGCUUACUUUGAUAUGACACAAUGCAAUCUCAAGAUUCAAGGUGAUGCAUGCAGCAAAAAUACCAAAGAUGAUGGCUUUUAAUCGAAUGUGUGACGUUCACCGUUUCAAGUCUUUCAGGGGAACAAUCAGGUGUCUUUAAAGAAUCCAAAUAGUCCAGCAUGCUGUGAAUUUUUACAAAUUGCUGAGGGCAUGGAAAUGCUAAAGGCGGCGAUCAAAAGCAGGAAAUGUAUGCGUGUCUUUCAGUUCAUAUGAGGUGCCGCACUGUCUGUGAAGACGCUUUGAAAUACCAACCAGGGUUCGUCUUGUUAAUGAAGCUCAGCUGGCUUACAAACAAAAUGCAGGGUUUGUAAAAAGAGACAGAGAUCAGCCUUUCUUCAUCUUCUUCUUCUUCUGCGCUGGCUCUGUUCCUUCUCCUGAGGGAGCAGGUGAUGUUGUGGGCAGACAGACCUCAGGGAGCCUCUCUGGGGGCUUGAUAUGCAGCAGCUACAAGAGGCAAAAAGUUACUUUGAAGAGGAGGAGGUGGAACCCACAGGACGAGUUUGCAUUUUCCAGCAAGCUCCCGUGAGGAUGCUCAUAUGAAGGUAAAGUGAUGUGUAAAGGUCAUCCUUUUGUUGAAACUUAUCGCAGAGACCGCGGUCUCUUCGUGACUGAGAAAAAUGGCCUUUAGUGUUUGUGGCUGUUUGGACUCCUGGAGUACGUCUUAACUAGACUGUCUCCUCAUUCCUGCAGAGGUGAUUUUCAUACAGCUUUAAGCACUUUUAGCUAAGUUUAAAGCCUGAAGUUUGCCAUGGAUUCAGGGUUGAUUUAAUCUAGAUUUUUUGCUUGAUUACAGUUUGGCUAGCUCUUGAUUUGAAACCUGCUUGUGUGUGAUAUUUUGGCUAAUUAAAUUGCUUAAAUCAGGUCUUUUAACUUGUUCCUAGUUUGGCUUUCAAAGAUCUAAAGCUUGUCAAGUUUAUUUGUAGGGCUGGGCGAUAUGGGAAAAAGUUUGUCACAAUAUGUUUAUUUCACACCAGUAGAUAUCGAUAUAUAUCACGAUAUAAAAAUGAAAUUUAACAUUGCUUAUUGGUAACAUGUCUUUUGCAGUAUAACAAGCUACUGCAUCUGCGAGGUCUUUGUGUCUCUUUGACGUUUUGUCGUAAGCCAUUGUGCUAGAGAGAGCGGACUGAAUGGUCAGAAUGGUCGGCUGCACAAGCGCCAUGGGCUCCUUGCUCCGCUCUGGGUUUGUAAUCUUUUGCAUUGUGCGUGCUCUGCCGUAUGGCGCUGCUCCAGGUGGGGAAAAAGAUUUGAGGUAUACCCCGACUUUGCGAGAACAUGUACUCAACUCUCGUCGUCAUCUGUUGAGCCUUCAUCUGCAUUUCUGCUGGGGGUAGCACUCAUUUUCUUUUUUUCACUACACUGCUGUUGGCUUCACCUGUUAAAGUGCCAUGGUUGCAUGUAGCUGCUCUCUGCUACUACACAGUUGUUUGCUACUCUGUUCUAAUUCAGCACAUGAUUGGUUCAGUGCGAAGCGGACCUGGAGCACCUCCUUCUCAUUGGCUAUUCGUAUAGUCCACCAAAACAUGUCAGAAUGCCGACUAUUGAAAAGCAUAUUGACCAUGUUGAAAAAAUUAAUUUUCAAUGUAAAUCAUUUUCAUUUUAUCCCCCAGCUCUAUUUGUCGUUUAAACUUUAAAGUUUGUUUUGACUGAUAUUUUUGUCUAACAUUAUCUUAACUCUUGAAUAUCUAUUUCUAAUUUUGGUAUUCCUGGCUCAGCACUGGAAGCCUCCUUCACUGUUGUCAUGUAACAAAGUUGUGUGUCUUUUAUCAUUUGACAAACUGGUAUUGUCACAACACCUAAGAUGGAUUGUAUCCUGAUGAAGUUUUUUUUUAUUUUUUUGAUGAGACUUUCUUGACUUUAGCCUAACUUAACUAUCUUAAUAUCCUAAUUUUGAGAUGAGCCCUGGCUUGGCAUUUAGGUUUAUUUUUGACUCGACUUCAAGCAAGACUUAACUUGAUUUGAGCUUGACUUAUGCUUACAUUUUGCACCAAGACUUCUUAGAUUUUUAGCCUUACUUCUGCUUGGUUUGUAGUUUGACUCUCAGCAUUACACCAACUUGAAUUCUAGCUCGACUUAAUCACUACCUUUAACAAGAAGGACAAAAACACAUUAUUUAUUCAGCACUGAUCUUUCUCUUUUAUAGAUUCUCAGUUUUUUCUGUCAUCAUGAUUGAAACCAGCAGACUUUCGCUGUAUUUCCAUCAUCUCCAUUGUCAUCAUCUUUUCUUCAUUAUUAUUAUUUUUUAACUAUGUUCAGAUUCAGCUUUGCUUUUAAGAGCACAUUAAAGUCUUUGAAUUGGUGUUUUAAUUGUCAGCUUAUUUGUCACAUUUAAAAUCCAAAUGUGUUUAUCCGUCAAGGUCAUUGAGAAAAGUUAAAAUGAAGAAAAUGUUCUGCUGGAUGCCACUUACAACGACAGCCAGAUUAAAGCGAAGAGCCCCGGGGCUCAAUCUGCAGUCGCCUGAGAUAAUGAAAAAGUUCAAGUCAAAGAGAAGGAGAACUUCUGAUUUGCUGGAUGUUAUUGUGCCCACACUCUCUAAGGAGGCCAUUAAGAAGCAUAUAAGAUCAUGUCCUGUUUUCUAACAUCUUUUUCCCUGAGAAAAUUAAGACAUUCGCUGAUUAAAAACCCUCAUCACUGUAUUCCGUCAGGCUGGAUGGUGUUAUUUUCUCUCGGAGUAAUCUUUGUGACCUUUGCGGCAACUUGGUUUUGAAGGACUGGGCAAUUCAGAACUAAUUUAAAAGCAAAAUAUAAAAUUAACUUUUUUUUUAUAUUUGCAAAGGCGUCUGUCUAAAAAGGAGGAUUGGAUGCUUAUUGAGAAUUGUAGAGUCUCUUCGGCAAACCUGAGUCAUCACUCAGCCUUCAAGUUGUAGUUGGAUAAAAAAAACACACAAAGCAAGAUCAGAAAUGUAAAUUUUAAGGGUAUGACUUUAACAGAUGACCAGUUAAAUAAACUUAAACAUAAACAAAAAGGUGAAAAUGCUGAUGAUGUAAAACUGCAGUCAAAAAACGCCGGGGUUGAUAUUUUUCAUGGCUUGAAUGUAAAAUCCUGUACAAAUGUAUUGAUUGAAUUCAACCACUUGGCAUGCGCUGUCCGUGGUGCUGAACUGAUGUUGCUGCUGUUUGGCAGAGUGUACUAGUAUACUGCCUGUCAAGGCCUCAUGUUUCAAGGUGGAAAACCAGAAGUACAGGUCAGAAACAUCAGGCCGGGUUUGUUUAUCCUGAUGUAGAUGUUGAAAAUAUUAGUCUGUGAGGCUUUUGCUGCUGAAGUAUUAGACAUCAAGUGUUUGUAUACUGUAAGUUGUGGAUAAAGAAGACUUUGGUGAUUUAAAAUCAUUUAGACCCUGUAUUAUACAAAAUUGUGCAGAGGCAGCCUAUCGAAUGUUAUAUCUUAAAAGAUAUGAUGUUUUUUGAAUUAUGUGCUCUGUUCUAUUAAAAAUACGGUUUAAAUACUGCGUUUUUUGGACUAUAAGGCAUGCUUAAAAUCCUUAAACUUUCUCAAAAAUUGACUGUGCGCCUUAUAAUCCAGCAUGGCUGUGAAACGUCAUCGUCUGUCAGGUUAGGGUUAGGAUUAGGAUGAGGAUGAGGGUUAGGAGAUUCAGAAGUGCGAUAAUGUUCUGUAAUGUUCUGUUCAAUGUACGGAGCUGACAGCCUGCAUUUGGCUUAAGCGUGUGAUGACGUUAAGGCAAAGGAGGCGGGACUUUCCUCUACCGUCCUACAAAAAAAAAUAUCCCGGCCUGGAGUACGUGCUAGCAACAUUAUACCAAUCGAUGCUUAAUGCGCCUUACAAUCCGGUGUGCCUUAUGUGUAAACAAAAACAUGUUGAUUCACAGUGCGCACCUAAUCCAGUGCGCCUUAUCGCCCAAAACGGUACGGUAAUUUGCAGACUGUUGACGUCUGUUUUAUCAAUAUUUCAAACAGCAUCCCAUCAUUUAUGUAACUGGGAUUAUCAGUCAUCAAUCAUAACACCUGGUCUAUUAACUUCCUUUAAUCUAUAGACAAACAUUAACUAGAGAUUAAUGCCUUUCAUGUUAGCUACAAAACAUUAACAUUAAAAGCGUAAAAAUAACAAAUAAUUUUAAUGGCUGAACUUUGUAGAAAUGUAGUUUUCUGAGCUUGUUGAAUUACCACAUCAACUUUGAGUCCCACGUCCAUCUAGAGGCAAAAAGAAAACAUACCAAGCCCAGAAAUAUUGAGCUAGCAUUUUUAAUCCUGCCUACAGUUUCUAUACUGUGUCCAUGCUCAGUUUUAUUGAUAACAUUAUGCAGUGCAGAGGAGGAAAGCCCAUGAACACAAAAAACCUGCCAUCCUGUUUCUACGCCUAUCUGUCAAAAUGUCAAAGCGCCCCAGGUUGCCAGCGUCUUGUUUCCUCCUCUGCUCUGCAUGUGGUCAUCAGAGCGGCUUCGGGGGGAGAGCCAAAACAAAGCAGAAUCUCUCCAAGACAGGUUUAAAAAAAAAAAAAAGUUUUACCUGCAUGAGUACUUUUUAGCCUCCUCAUAUAAUGUUUCAAGGUUCAACGCAGAGUCAGCGAGAAAUCCAGCUCGCUCUGGAGUGGGAUGAUGGUUUCCAUCAGCUCUUAGAAGAUUGUGAGGACAUUAGUGAGGGCUGUUAAGGUGAAAGAACACCUUUACUUUAACACAGCAAGCAUUUUUACAACAAUAAAGCCUUAGCUAGGAGUAGGUCACUGUGAUCAUCCAUCAUUACUUUUUGUGCGGACUUUUUAUCCAACUCAGUCAUGGAAAAUACGAUAUUCAUGCCUCUCUCUAACAGGGAUAAGUUCAGCAGAUAGCAAAGGCAACAGUGAGAAGUCAGGCCUUUUAUUCUGUGUUUUAAUAAAAUCUUAGUAUUGAUACAUUUAUUGUACUAAAGGACUGCAUCUUUAGUCUGUUAAUAAAGCACGGAUGAGUAAAUAUCCUGAUAAAUCAUGAACUAAAUCACUAAAGUACUGCACAAACUCAGAUUUAGAAAGCAGAUGAAACGUUUGGUUGAAUUUUAGGAAAAGUAAAAUUGCUGAAAAAAAGCUGUCCUUCUACAAAUCGGAGAUCAAAUGGAUAUAAUCCACACACAUGCCGCUGUUUUCACUCUCAAAUCCCUGAACUCAGUUAAUCACUCUGCCCUCAGAUUAAUUACCGGAGAUCCCUCUGAUACUUAGAUUGCACUCUGAGUACAGAGUUGGUCGGUCUCCUCUGGCACAGAUAAGACAUGAUAAACACUUGGAUUUUUCUGUCACCACUCCUCCGCACCUACGCCGCACAUCCACAAAUGCACAGUACAUGUACACCACAUAGAAACACGCACCACUCCAUCAAACUAACUAAAUCACACAACACUGCCACAACACGUGUUCAUCACAUUAGCUCACACUCAUCAGGGUACCAAAUGCACACAAUAGAAGUGCAUUAUAUAUACACUAAAGGGCAAAGCGCACAUUUGAUUCAGCAGUUUUCAUGUGUCACAUGUGUUCAGGUACGUGCAGUAUAUGAGUGGAGGUGUAAUGUACACGUGAUUAUGAGAUAGCGGGGUGUUUGCUCGGUGGUUGGUCUUCUCCAGGUCAGCAGAGUCCAGAUAAACACUUGAGUCUUUUUUAUCUUUUGCUUCAGUUCCCACAGGUUUUAUGCUCAGAUUGGAAAAUUGUUCACAUCACACUCCUAAGUUUACUAUUUUUAUUUCUCUGAAAGCAGUUCAAGGUGAUCCCACACCACUUGACCUCAGUGCGCCGUUUAAUUCACUUCUCUAUUACUCAUUUUUUUAUGUUUUUUGUCAUGUUUUUUUUUUCUGUAUUUCGAAAUCAUGGAGAGGAAGCAAAAUAAUUGUGAGAAGCGUCUGUUAGAAUGAAAAAAAAAAAAAACACAAAAACACCAAGAAAUACAAAGUGCAUAACCAACAGCAAUGCUAUGUUAAAGGUGGGGUAGGCAGGAUCUGAGGAAGUGCCCGUUUUUGGGAGAAAUCUUGAAUGUAAACUCUACCCUCCUCCUCCUCUCCCCUCCCUCUCUGCUCCAGCAAGCCCCGCCCACAAACAGACGCUUCUGUUCACUCGUACCGCUUCAAUUAAAUUCAAAUAUAAUGCAGAUAAAUACUUCAGAUAAUUACAAAUGGGGCCCAGUCAACGUAAAAGUAAAAAGCAUUGGUGCUACUGUAGAUGCCAACAGACUACCAGCAAACACAGUGUUUGCAGGACUUCUACAACUCUGAUAAAGCGACAUAGUCCAGGACCUGAGGGAAACAGUUUAGCGGCGCUACAACACGCAGCAGGUCCCGUUUGACAAGAACACUUCUGUUACAGACACUUGUCCUACUUUGUUAAAGCAGUUUACCUGUCCAGCAGAAAGGUUACAGGGUCGGUAAGAUCCUGAAGCGUCCCCCAACGUUUAUUCCUUAUUGAUGUUGACCCAGCUUUUCAUCUCUUGUCCGGUCUACCUCUUUUUUAAGCGCCCGUUAUUCCGCCAGAGUCUCUGGUAUUUACUUUGUUUUCUUGCUUGUGUCGGCAGUCGUGGCCAAAGGAGGAUUCAGACAAUUUUCGGUAUUUUCUGGUUGGUUUCUACCGUCCAAUAUUGUAGCAAGCUAACUUUGUUUAGGCUCGUCAAUGUUAUUCGGACUACACAGACAAAACACAGCGAUAUCAUUAUAUUACUAAAUGUCAUCAAUAAGUAAUAGCUAUUGACUGAUAUUAAAGGCUUUUUUUGUAUGUCUUUGCAUAUAAUAGCCAGUUAGAAAACAAGAGAUCAUAAUACAAACAAAUAUGACAAAGUCAGAGUGUGUGUGCUUGUUUAUUUUCAUUGCAGAUCCCUAAUAUAAUGGCCACUAGAAGCAGACGAGUGUAGGGCGAAUGAGUGGCCUAUAAAGUGUUCCUUCAAGUGCAUCUAAAAACUGAUCCUCCUCACA
Molecule: non-coding RNA, 95837 nt
Organism: Xyrichtys novacula (pearly razorfish)
Lineage: Eukaryota; Metazoa; Chordata; Actinopteri; Labriformes; Labridae
Source: the annotation of a GenBank genome assembly